AAAAAUAAUAUGGUUAAAAUCAGUGAUUUUUAGUCUCCAGUAGUAUAAAGGGGAUGAAUUAUUAAAAUAAGUAUGUAAUCUUGUUGUUACAGAUCAAGCACGAACAGGAAUGAAAAGACAAACGUGUGGCUAAAAGGUGACUUUAAAUAAGAAUUCGAGGUAGGUUACAAUUUAUUAUAGUAAUCAAACCUGCUUGUAAGCUGAAUAAUUGUCAUGGCUUUCAAGCACUACUUGUGAUUAUUGACUGCAUUGUAUAUUCAAACAUAUUGAUGUUGUUGAGUUGAUGACUAUGAUUAUAAUGAUAUACAAAUCAUAAUGUUCAUGAGGUUGAUGGUGAUUGUGGUUUUGGUGAGAUGAUGAUGAUGUUUAUGAGAAUAAUAAGAGGAAGAGAUGAUACGUACAUCUUGCAUUCAUAUAUUCAUUCAUGUGCAUUGAACAUUCAAUUAUAAUUGUAUGUUGUGAUGUAACUUGUUGCUGAUUUGAUUAAGUGUAUACAUACAUGAGUAUGAGUUUGUAUUCCCUCUAAAGUGAAAUUUCAUGAUUGUGUAUUGUCUUUGAUUUUAUGUUUUGUGAUGAUCGCUUAACAUCUAUUUGAUUUACUUAUUAGUAUUGUGUCGGGUUGAGUCCACCUAUGAUGCCUAUCAGUGCUUGUCUAUGUACUGAUGCUAGUUAUGCUCUUCUUUUUUUUUAGUCCAAAACUUAUUUUCGACGUUUGAUACAAGACCUCGACUUUAGCUAGAUAUUUCAGACUCAGUUUCAUGAGUGAGCACAUGACCAGGCAGUAUUUGAAACUCUAUAUUAUUGUUCAUGUACUUUCUUUCAGGACUAAGCCACUCUUUUGUUAUUUACACAUUAUUGGAUGUUUUCCUAGUUAUAGACUUAAUCGUUCUUACAUUUUUUUGUACGGUGACUUCAGGUUCCAAAAAUGUAAUUAGUAGAGAAUUUCACACUUUAUCAGAUCAGGGAUGUUGAUGUUAGUUUGACAGUUUAUUUAUCUAUUGAUUGAAUGAGGCCUUUUUAGAAUUUAAUUAAAAAUGAGUCUAAUUUAAGGUGAAUGUGAAAGUAACACUUGGGUUAGUAAGGAUUGGAGUAAGAAUGGUUCUCCCACCAUAGGAUGGGGUGGGAGCCAAUCAUGACAGGUUGGGUCGUGACAAAUUUUAAAAUUAUACUUCAUAUUUACAUCAUAAUUCUUUAUCUUAUUUUAUGAUUUAUAUAUCAUUAGUUUAUAUAUCACUUAUUUUUGUUAAAUAAAAUAAAAAAUAUCAUUUUUGGGGAUGAUCAUCCAAUGUAUAACUCUUUAUUUUUAUUAUUAGUAAUAAUAAAUGAUAGACAAAGUUUGGGCAUGCAAAAAUCAGCAGACCAUUAAGUCGAAUCAAUAAAAAUGCUAUUGGUUUAUUAUUACUGGGUUAAUUAAUGAUUUUAUAAAUAUUUUAUUGGGUUAUUGAUUUGGUUUUGGUUAUUUCUUAUUGGACAAACUGAUAAUCCAAUAAGAAUAUAGUAAAUUACUACUUUUAUAUCACAUACAUCACAUUACAUUACAUUACAUUACAUUAUGUUACAUUUCUACAAACUAACGAGUCUAUUCAAUUUCCUGAACCAACAUUCAGUUCAAGCUUGAAAUUUUUUGUAAAUUAAAAUACAUCAUCUAGGAUUUUGGCUGCAACUAAGAUUCAGUUUCUUUUCGCGUUAGUUGCUACUAUUUCCAUUUUAUGAGUAUUUGCUUUUCGGUUAGACCGAGAACUGAAUUGUUACAGACUAAAAAGUGAUACAAAAAAUCGAUAAAAAAUAGCUUAUUGGUUUAACAUAUUUAAAAUUCAAAAACUGAUAAAUCAAAUCGAUAAUACAUAAAAUUGAACCGAUCGAUGCACACCCCUAGAUGAAACAUGUUGCAAGAUCAAAUGGUAUUUUGACAAAACUUGUAAAUAUUUACUUUUUUUUUUAAAAUAAAUAUUUAUGAAAAGUGACAUAUUUAUUAUCAUGCAUACUGUAAAUAUAUGAAUAUGGUGAUUGCUUAUAUUUAGUAAAUUUUGACAUAAUAGUAAAGAUCUAUCCAAAAAUAAAUUUAAUUAAAAAUAUUAUAUAGAUAUUUAAAACAAAUGUUCUCUGUAAAAUGGUUUUAGUAAAAGUUCAUUUAUACUUGCCCUUUUUCUUUAUUUAUUUUUCAAAAACACUACUUGAAAAAAGAUUAGCCAAACACGACCUGUUUAUAAAAAACAUUUUUUAAAUGAAUAUCAUAUACAAAUUGUCUAUUUUCAAAAACACUUUUCUAAUAAAGUUAUUUUAUAAAAAUGAUUUUCAAAUAAGUAGUUUUCAAACAAUAAUCCCAAACAAGCUGUAAUUUUACAUACGAAACAAAGAAAAUUUUUGUUUCUUUUUGUACUUGUGUAUAUUAUUUUUGGAUUUCCAAUCAUAAAAUAUUUUUUAAUGCUUUAUUGACUUGGCAAUAAAUUUUAUGUAUUUUAUUAAUGUUAUAAUUAAAAUAAAAUGGUAGAGAUUAUUGAGAAAAUUUAUUCGAAAGUUAUUUAGAACUUUUUGUCCUGAAGUUGUUUAACUUGAAGUUCUCAUAUUAUUAGCUUACUUAUAAAUGACACAAGUAUUUAUUUGCACUUGAUAUUUACUUUAAAUCAAAUAAAUUUAUCAUAGUUAAGUGAUUUAAUGAAGUAAGAAUAUAUAAGUAUUAUAAUUUUAUAUGUAAAUAUAUCAUUCAUCAUACUAUUCUAUAAGUUAAAAUUAAAGCCUCAUAACUUAACGUUAAAUUACGAAAAUACUCUUUGAAAAAUAAACAAGCAAUUACUCCUUAUCUAAAAGUAAAUUUACAUUUCAUUAAAUAAAAGAAAGUUGUCAAAAGUGUUUUGUAAAGUUGAUUUUCUUUCAUUACGAUGUUUAGCUUGGGUUCUCAUGCUCUACUUGUUUUAGACUUAUUUUUAUUACAAAUAGCAUGCUAUCUUGGUGAUCAUCAUAUCUGAAUUCCUCAAAGCUGGUGGCUUUUAAAGAGCGAAAAAAAAAAAUCCAGAUGGCUAUCAAUAUUUUUAAAGAAUUUAUGUAUUUGAAAAUUACGUAAAAUUACUAUAAAAUAACAUAAUUAACAAUUUGGAUGUUUAAAAAAUAUAUUCAAAAAAAUUUCGAUUAAAGAAAAACGUGGUUAGCUUUCAAAAUUUCGAUAUGCUAUAUAAAUUGAGACGAAGACAUUUUAGGCUAAUGACUAAGCUUUUCCCUCUUUUCCUGGUAGCGCAAUUGGAGCUUAUAGUAAGUUGCAAGGUCGUUUGGUAGAGUGUAUUAGGAUAAACAAAACAUGUAUUAAGUGUGGUAUUAUUUAGUAUUUUGUUUUGUAGCAAUUUUGAGAUAAUAUAUAACUAAUUCAUGUAUUAGUUAUACACCCUAUUUGGUAUUAUAGUGCGUAUAACUAAUUCAUUUUAUUUGCUGGUAUUAAUAGUACUAGUUUAACCACACGUGCCUCGCACAUGUACGGUGAUUUUUAAUGAAGUUCAAAAAGUUCAAAUCACUUUUCAAAGAUCCUUCACAUAAUAUAAUAAUGUAAACAUAACAUAUAUUUUAUUGUAAGCACAUAUAUAUUUUAUCACCAGAAAUUUUAAGUGGUUAAUGAAUCAUCAGUUUUACAUUUGUCAGGCAGUACCUCAUUUCCUUGUUGCUAGAGGCUACGAAAGACACAUCGAUUUGAACCAUAUUUGUAGUAUGAUUAUUUUUAUUUUAUUUUUCUAUAUUUAAAAUCUUUCCUUAUUUUUAAAGUUAAAUCUUUAAAAAUCCUUGAUUACUUACUUAAAACUUUUAAAACUUUGGUACUUCUUACAUUUUUCUUAUUCUAUCACUUUCAUAUUUAUUUCUUGAUUUUCAGAUCUUCUUAAAAUUAGAAUUAGUUGAUUUUGAAUUCUUAAACUGAUGAAAAAUGUAUUAUUUGUUAUUAGUUCAGAUGACUUCUAAUCAGAAAAAGGUUUUACUAUAAAUAUUUAAUUAAUUUUCAGCUCUUAAAUAUGAGAAAAAUAGUGAAAAGACUAUUUUGUUUAAAAUAGAGACUUUUAAUAAAGGGAAACAAGUUCAAACAAUAUUUUUAUAAGGUCCUUCACACUUUUAAUAUGAUAUAGAUAUAAGGUUUAAUACCAUGAGGUAAAGACAAAAAUAGUCUUCAAAUUCCCUUAACCAUUUUGUUUAUUUUCUUUCUUUUAUGUUUUAUAUUUAUACUAGUGAAUUUAUUUGAAUAAAUUAGCUUGAAAUUUUAUUAUUGGCUAAUAAUAUAAGCAUACCAAUUUGCCAAUUUACUCGGACAAUUUUAUUAUGCCAAUUUAAAGAUAAAAAGGACAGUAGAGCUUAGCCAAUUACUCUAGAAUGUUGAUUUUGAGUUAAUAGCACGGUUAGUUUGGGUAUCGACUCUUUAUUUUAUAUUUGAUCUCUCGUUUGAGAAUUAGGCAAAUUUUGCAAAAGGGAUAAAAGGGGAGGGGGUGUUUAAUUUAUUGAAAAUGAUUCUUUUUUUGAAAACAACAUCUCCAUUGAGUCAAGAAAUUCAAAAAUAACCUAAUAGUGUAGUUCGUUUACAUUUAUGGAAUUCUAAAUUAAUCACGAGGGUCCUAUCGGAAACUUGACAUUUUUGCUAAGUUGAUGGUGUUGGUGAAACUGCUUAAGCAACCAAUUGAUCGCUAAAGCGAAAGCUGCUUAAGUGGCCAAAGGGUCAUUUUAGAGUCCAACCAAUGUCAGAUUCAGUAGCUUAAGCGGGCCCCUUGACGCUUCAGUAAAGAUCGCUUAAGCGAAGACCUACCUUAUGUGGUAUGAUCGCUUGCAAUGACAUGAAAUUGUGAAUUUUCUAUUUUUAUGUUUUUUUGAGUAUUAUUCCUUCUCCAUAGUUGCUAUAUGUUAUUUACAGGUUCCGAGGUGGUUGGCAUGAUUUUUGAUGCAAUCGGGGAUGAUUUGUGUGAAUUUAUAGUUUUUAGAGGCUUAAAAAGUCAUAUGGUUGACUUCGGUCAAUAUUUGUUGUUCUGAGUGUUAGAUGUCAAAACAAACUAUGCUAGCAGAUCCAAAACAAACUAUGCCAUCCGAUCCAAAAUAUCAAAUUUGAAUUAGUAGCGGGGUUGGUUCGGAUUCGAAACUUUUAUAUGUCAUUUUGAUCAUUGGUUUGGAAAAUAGUAAAAGGGGUCUCGGGGAUUAAUUUUAUGAAAAUAAUUUUUUUACAAAAAUUCAACAUUGUCAUUGAGUCUAGAAUAUUGAAAUUAGCAUAGUAGCAUAUAUGAUUUACUUCUACCAGAUCUCGAAUGAAUUUCGAGGGUCAUUUGGAGACAUUAUUAACUUGGCUUUUGCUGCUGGUGUAGCAUUUUUUGGUGCAUUAGAUCUUUUAUCGUGAUUACUUGAACAUGUGUCACGAUCGUGGAACUUGAUGGCUCCCUUUAUAGCAAUCAUGUGGUGGUGGUAUCGCGAUAGCGAUGGGUAUUCAGGUGGACCGAAUCAAGUUUUGUCCUUGGCGGUCGCGAGGCCCUUCUCUCAUGAUCAGAUGACCAAAUUAAUCUUAGGUCAAUAUUUAUCCUCGUGAUCAUGAGGUGAGGCCCGCAAUCAUUGUUCACUGAACUGUAUAAAAGCCUUUCUUCAUAUUUUUCAUUCAUCUUUGGACCUUUGACUUCGAGUUUGGGCCAUUCUUGAAGAUUUCUUCACCAUCUGAGCUUCGGUAAGCUCCAAAACCAUAUUCUCACUAUUUUCCAUUGAUUAUAUCUUCAAAAACAACUUUAAAUUAAUAUUUUAAAAUUAAAAUUUUAAAAUUAAAAUUUGGGGGUUUACUGGUAAAGUUUAAAAGAGAUUUUUCAUUGAUUUGGACCACAUUUUGACAUAUUUUAUUUUUGCGUGGAUUUUCUGUUGGAGAAUGUUUUUUUAAAAUAAAAUUUUAGUUUUACCCUUUUGAUUCUAAACUCAUUUUUAGAAUCCAUUUUGGACCUGGCCUGAAUAUGAUCAAUAUGGAUAUCAUUAACUUUCUUUUAAUGCAUAGAUGUUAUAUUUGUAUGUUGUAGUUGAUUAUGUGGGGGAAGGCUCUAGGUUGAAGCACUCUAGAUCGGAAUUUCAUUGUUUUGAGGUAAGUUAUAACUUUUUUUUUUCAAAUUGAGUAGGGUAUUUAAUAAAUAAGUAAAGCAUGAUAUGGGUUAGGGUAAAUGACUAUGAAAUUUAUAUUUUGAGAUUAUUUUUAUCGUUGUGUACCCAUGUGGGGGAUUAUGUUCUGCUGUUUUGGACUUAUGAUAUCUGAUAUUGUGUAUUGCCUAUGUGAGUGCUUUAUUUGACAUCAUUGACUUUAUCUAUGCAUUUUAAUGCCUUUAUUCUAGAUAUGAUGCCUGUGUGGGGCUUAUUUUGCUAAUAUAGACCUUAUUUGAGCAUUGCUUGCUUUUAUCAUAUUAAAAAUACCCGAGUUAAAGGUUGAUAUGAUAUUAAUAAUGUCUUGCAUGCAUAUUUUAUUUUGAUGGUGCCUAAUUGCAGUUGAUAAUCAUGAAUAUUAUAUACAUGUGUGUGUUUGUGUGCGUGUGUAUAUAGGGAUUAGAUAUCAAAACAUUGAGUUGAUUGUGAGCAUUGCAUCCUCAUUCCAUACAUAUACAUUCAUGAGACACUGAUAUAAUUGAGAAACACUAUUUUUGAAAGAAAAUGAGACAUUUUAUGAAAACCCUCACCGUGAACACUAGCCAAAAAGGUGAGUUGAUAUUGAAAUUGAGAUUGAGUUAUGAGGUACAGUAUAUGAGUUGUGAACCCCCUAUGGAUUUCGCCUGGUAGCUGGGAGUUUGGUGGGUGUAUAUAGAAAGUCAUGUGAUGGCUUUCAUCAUUCAUCUUAUCCACACUGCGUUUUGCAUACACAUCUUGCUGGUCUUUUCUUAGGUUCCUUGAUGUGUACUUAGUGUCACGACCCCAAAACAAGGGUCAUGAUGGCACUUAUCAUGGCGUACCUUGGUAAGUAAGCCUAUCACCUAAACUGGUACAAAAAGAUGAAAAGACAGAAAUAUCCCAAGGUAAGGCUUCUAGAACGAAGCCAAACAAUAUAAGUGAUCAUAACAAUGCAGAAAGAACUUAUCCAAACUACCAAUCAUGCCCAAAACCAGGUGUCAAUAGUAUAAGAAUUACUAAUGAGCUCAAAUCUACUCCAUCAAAGAAGAUCUAGUCUCCAUAAAUUCCAAAACACGCUCAGGUGUCAAAAUAUCAAGUCUACCAUCUAGUUAGCUAAGACUGAACUGCUAUGUUCAAAGACCUAUCCUGGGUCAAAAGAUACGCUAAGCUACCCGUGCUAGUCAACUUUUGGCUCAGCAAAUCCUCAACCACAUUAGCCCUACCCGGAUGGUAGAGAAUAGUCAAGUCAUAAUCCUUAAGAAACUCAAGCCAACGAAGCUGCCUCAUAUUAAGAUCUCAUUGGGUGAAAAAGUACUGAAGGAUAUGAUGAAGGCUCGCCAAGCUUUUGAAGUCAAGAUAGGAGAUGAAGUUAACAAAUCCUUAAGCUUUUGAAGUCUCGCCUCACAAGCAUCAGGCCACUAAAAAGAAAUCUUCUUCUGGGUCAACUUGGUCAAUAGAGCUACAACGGAUGAAAAACCCUCAACAAAAUGAUGAUAAUAACCUGCCAAGCCAACAAAACAUCGAAUCUCAGUGGGCGAAGUAGGUCUAGCCCAAUCCAAAGAGCUGCAACCUUAUAUGGAUCAACUAUAAUACCUUCCGUAGUCAUCACAUGACCCUACAAAGAAACAGAGUCCAGCCAAAACUCAUACUUAGAAAACUUAGCAUACAACUUCUCAUCUCUCAAUCUCUGAAGCACAUUUCACAUGUGCUUUUAUGCUCAACCUUACAAGCAAGACAGGCGCACCCUAAGGUGAAACACUAGGUCGGAUUUAUCCCUUAUCCAACAAUUCCUGCAAUUGAUCCUUCAGUUUCUUCAACUCUAUUGGGGCUAUCCUAUAAGGAGGAAUAGAAAUGGGCUUGGUGCCCGACUCAACAUCAAUAGCGAAAUCAAUAUCUUGAUCUGGAGGCAUAUAAGGCACGCCUGUAAGAACACAUCCAUAAACUCAUGGACAAUACGGUCAAAAUCUAAGAAAGAAGAAGAAACAACACUGGUGUUACGAAUAUAGGCCAAGUAAGAUAAAUAUCCCCUCUUAACCAAUAUACGAGCCUAAACUUAGGAUAUAUCCUCUUAGGACCCAAAUGAAGUGCACCCUUCCAAGAAAUCCUUGGCAUACCCAACGAAGCUAAAGUCAUAGUCUUGGCAAAACAAUCUAAGAUAAUAUGAUAAGGAGCCAACCAAUCCAUGCCUAAGAUAACAUUAAAAUUGACCAUGUUUAACACAAGCAAGUCUACCAAAGUCUCACAUCCGGCAAAAGUCACAACAUAAGAUCGGUGCAUUCGAUCCACCACUAAAGAAUCAUCUAUCGAGGUAGAUAUAUGAAUAGACAUAGGAAUAGGAUCACUAACAGAAUCAAACCCAAAGAAAAAUACACAUACACAUAGAAGAAAGUCAAUGGGGAUAAUAUCGGUAAUCAUAAUACCAAAAACCUCUGUAUUAGGUCUGGCUGGUAUAGCAUAAUACUGACCACGACCACCAAUUACCUAGGUGGACCCACCACCACCACCAUGGACUCCACCAUCUUUACGUAUCGCACCUCUGGUAGAACCCCUACCUCUAAUAACUGAAAUAGGAGUAGCCCAAAUCACCCAACGAGGAUGGUCCCUAUCCAUAAGGCCAAUAUUAACACACAUACAACAACCUCUAUGACUAGCCUCAAUAGAAGAAGGUACAACUGGGCCUGAAUGACCAUCCUAAACUACAGAACUAGAAGAUCCACCACCUAAACUUUGUAAAGCCACCAAUGUCCUUCCAUGGUAUCCACGAGAACCUCUAAAAUCUCUACCUCGAAAGCUUUGACUCCUGAACUCACCAAAAUGUCAUGCCUUCCUAGCACCUCCCUAAAAUGCACUAAGAAUACCCUCGGUCAUCUUAGCAUGAUCUACUAUACUUUGACAAGAAAUCCCAAACACAACCAUCUGAGACAUAGCCAACUAAAGAGACCCUUUACAAACUUUUAAAUUUUCAUAGACUUAGUGGAAAUGCUAUAAUAGGAAUAUCUAGACAAGGAAUGAAAGCAUGUCUCAUACUCAGUAACUGUCAUGGAGCCCUGCUCUAAAUGAUCAAACUCGUCCUGCAUCCGAUUCAUCAAUCGGUAAGGCACGAAUCUCUCCAUAAAGUGAUCAGCAAACUGAUCCUAUGACAACUAAGGAGCAUCAACAGGCCUACAAUCGAAAAAUAAUCUCCACUAAUCUCUCACAGAAUCUCUCAACUAAUAGUAGUAUAAGCCACACCAUCCACCAAGAAAUAGUGAAACACAACUCAGAACAUAAGGCAUGAAAGAACUACACAUGAUAAAGAAUAAAAUGAGAAAAGUUUCCUAUAGAUAUUCUAUAGCCUCUCGAAGAUAGAUAUGGAUGUAUACAUACCAAUUCAUGAGACUAUUAUAUAUCUCGUUCUUACACCGUUGAGACCAAUAAAACCUAGCUGCUUUGAUACUAAUUUUUCAUGACCCAAAAACAAGGGUCAUGAUGGCACUUGUCGCGGCAUGUCUUGAAAAGUAAGCCUAUCACCAAAACUAAUACAAAAAAAGAUAGAAAUAUCCCAAGGUAAGGGUUCUAGAAUAAAGUCGAACCAUAUAAGUAAAAAUAACAAUGCAGAAAGAACUUGUCCAAAAUACUAAUAAUUCCUAAAACCAGAUGUUAAUAUUGUAAGAACUACUAAUACAAUCCAGGAGUCAAAUAUAUUAGAAAAAUAACCACAAGGGAAUAAUAUUUGUCUCUAAAUACUAAUUACUAUAGAAAGAUAGAGGUGAACUCCAAACGCAUAAGUAUUAAACCGCUACAUUGGAAGCUCCAACAAUCGGCCGAGUUAAACAAGAUGAAGUGCACUUGAGCUAGGAAUUGCACCGAGAGAGCACAGUAGACAUGAGUACGGUCCACUUGUACUCAGUAGGUAUCAUAGGCCGACCAAGCAAAGUAGUAAAUAAAGCAUACAAAAUAUACAAUAAGAGCGUGUCACCUGCAAUUAGAAAAUAUCCCACAACGGUAGCCCACACUGCUUGCACUAAUAGUUCUAAUAUAUCACACAUUUACUAAGAUAGAGCAUGAGUGUUCAUCAUAGCACAUAUUAGUAGAACAAGGGGGAACAUGUAUAUAUAAAAUCAUCAAAUAUAAGUAAAAGAAGAUAUGACAAUUACAUAGAUAGAAAAUCAAUACAGCAAUACAGAACAAUAUAAACACAAUAAAGUAAGUGAAAUGUAUAUGAUGAUGAUGAUGAUGAUGCAUGAGGUUAUCGCACAACUUUUGAGAUCAUCACACAAUCCCUGUAUAGCUAAAGCUUCCUAACGUAGGACCCAUAGGGGGUUUAUCAACCCAUAUACAAUCCAUAUAUCUCAUAACUCCUUUCUAGAACAUCUCUCAAAAAGGGUUUUAUAAGGUGUUACAAUAUCUCUUCCCCAGCAUAUCCCUCGUGGAGGGUUUUGAAAAGGUGUUGCUAGUGUUACUCAGGUAUUGCCAUGAUGGUACCAAUAUUUCAUUAAUGAGUAUGAUAUGAGGAUUUAAUGCUCAAAACCAAUCACAAUGAGUAUUUCCAUAACCAGUCACAAUAAAUAUUUCUACAACCACUCACAAUUAUACAUUUUCACAACCACGUGAGUCAAUAUUCACUCAUUAUUUGUGUUUCAUCCAUGAAUUUCCAUAUGUAUCAUAUAACAACAAGUAUGAAUGUAUCACAAUACCAAUGGUAUCACAUUAGAAAUUUCAACAACAUAAUACAAUCAUUCAUAUAUAUAUUCAAGGCUAUCAAUAUCACAUAUGACCCCAUACAGUCACACAUAUCAUAUAAUAUCUCAAUAUUGAUAAUUACAUCACAUAUAGGCCCCCACACGGGAACAAUACAUAGAUAGUCAUUUUUCAUGAUUAGUUCCCACCCUUAACAUGCAUUUUUUACCAUCAUUUACUACCCAACCUAGUCUGAAAGAGUUAAGCCAUAACCUACCUCAAAAGCCAAAAUUGGUCCUCUACAUUUCAAACCCACGACCUUAAUUUUCAUCAAUAAUUCAAAAAUCCAUUAAAAACAUCAAAGAUGGAAUCUACACAUCAAAACAAAACCAAUGAGACCCAUAUUAUCUAUUUUAGUUUGGGGUCAAAACGGACCCCCAAAAUGGGUUUCCAAAAAAAAUAGGUAAAAUUAAAACUCUACUUCAAAAAAUGUUCCCCUUAUUUUUAGAAAUUUACAACUGAAAACCCAAGUCAAAUUGAGUAAAAAUCGAGGUUCAAAUCAAAGAAAAAUUAUUUUUGAGCUUUACCGGGUAGAAUCUUUGAAAUCCGGGUUAAAAUUAUGAAUCAAAGUUGUUUUGAAGGUUAAAUUGAUGAAAAACUAAUAAUUAUAAGAUAAAAACAUUAUUCAAGUUAAAAGAAGUGAAAUUGGGGUUUAACAUCAAGCCCUAAGAUUUUUGGAUUUUUGAGAAAUUAAUCAAGAAAUUACUAAGAAAAAUAUGAAUUCUUACCUUAAAUCCAUAAUAGAAUAAAGAAAUAGAUGUUAAUUUAGAUUCCCAAGCUAUCGCAAGCUUCACUUUUAAGAUCUCACAUUAUUUUAGGGUUCAACUCUCAAGAGGAAGGUGAAAGAAUGAGCAAAAAUGGGAUUAAAAAGGGCUAUUUAUACUAUACUCGGGUUACCAAAAAUUUAACACAUAAAUUGCAAUACUCUAUCCCGAUUUACCCUUUAUGUAUCUCGUUGUACCAUUAACUUAGUGCACCAGAUAUUUUCUAAGUCGAAGAGGGCUUCGACGGGGGGCCCAAAAUUCGAUCGGAGUUCGAUAUACACAAACGUACUAUGUAACCACUCUAAAUUCGAUGCUCUGAAUUCAAUAGAAAUAUCAGAAUUUAAAAAAACAUCAUUUUCACAUAGUUGACCCCCGAAACCCAAAAUCUUAAUUUUCCAAAUCGAGGAUGAAAAUGAGAUUUAAAAGCCAUAAAAUCACACCAAACAUGUUACCACCAUAAAAUUGACUUUAUGGAUCUCCUGGCUAGGUCAGAUUUUCCAUCCAAGGUCAUUUUGACCAAAUGUGGAUCCCACACUCAUAUUUCUAAUUUUUCAAAUUUUCGACCAAUAGGUCAAAAUGAGCUCGAGUGCACCAGGACCUAAACCAAAGGUCUACCUAGCCUAAAAUCAAUGUUCUGGAGAUGUUGGCAUAGUCCUUUCGGCCAUCUGUCAUGUGGAUCAAAAGAUAUUCUUAUAAGUCUAAAAUAAGGAUCUCGAAACCAUCAACAACUACUAUAUCACAUUAAUUGUACCAAAAUACAUUGAAAAUCACUCCAAUCACUCCCACACCCCAAAAAUGCGAUAAUGCAACUACGGGGAAGGGUAAAAUAGUUAAAUCACACAAAAUCAUAAAUUUCAUCAAUAUUUUAGAUUGUUACACUUAUUUUCAUUGUAUUCUUCUUAUAUGUCUAUGUUGUUAUGUUUUUGUGUGCUUAUAUAUAUUAGAAUUGUUGAUGGAGACAGUGUGAGUUACUGUUUGAGACUUUUUUGCUUACAGGUAAAGUGCUCAUAAUAUAUUUUACUUAUCUUGUUUUCUACUUUGAUCAGUCGACACCAUACUCACCCUUAUUGUUCCUUUUUGUUGUUGGUCCUAGCUUGAGUAUGAUUUAUCGUGCGUUUUUGAGAUUGUGAUCGCGGUACUGGAUUGCUCUAUUGAUUAAAGUUGACUUUUGGACUUUCUCUUACCUUAUUAUGUCUUUACUUGACUUCAGAGAUAAACUUUGUAUUUUUCUUGUAUUUAGAUGAUGUAUUAGUUUACACUUUGACACCACUUCUUAGGAUUUUUAUGUUAUGUUAUUUUGAUUCUCGUCUCUUUAUAUCUUGUGUUUGUUUGACUUUGUUCUAGUAGUCUCACCUUAGUUAUUUUUUUUAAUUUUCUUUAUUAGUUUGAGUGAUCGACUUACUUAUCAAGGUUGGUCCACGAUAAGUGCCAUCAUUACCUAGUUUUUUUAAUCGUGACAAAUUAGUAUCAAAGCUAUCAAAAGCAGCCAGGUUCACCGAUCUCAUAAGUGUAAAAGGAAGAUAUCUAGUAGAGUCUCAUGGAUUAGUACGUAUCUAUCUUCAAUAGGCUAUAAGAUAUAUUUAGGAAAAAAUUCUCUAUUUUGAUACCUAGACGUGCAGGUUAUUUUUACCCAGUGUUUUACUCUUUCAUACGCAGAUGGUGAGUACUAAAUCUUGUGAGGAAGGGGAUGUUAAGCCAGCACCCGAGGAUAGAGCUCAGACUAGAGAGAUGCAUCAGUUGUGGAUGGCACAGAGGUAUAAAAUGGUUAUGAAUAUCUUCCUCUAUUAGAGUAGUGCUAGGGCACCUCCCUCAAGCUCGAGUUUGAGCAUGUAGGACACGUGAAACCUGAUCAGGUUCCACAAGGUACUACUACCCCAAUUCUAGAAGGUCUAUUGAUUUGAUUAUUGACAAUUUGGAGGGUGUUCCCUUGAGUGCACCUAGUGUUCCACCAAUUCUGUGUAUGGUACACCUAUCAAAGGCAGUGUCUGCUUAUGGUGUUCCUUUGACUCCAAGUUGGUUCCUUCAUCCGUACCUGCAUCUGCUUAUUGUAUUUAUCAAACUUUAAGUGGUGUUACACCCUCUAUUCUAAUGUUUAAUCAUGGUAUUCCUAGUUCAGGGGUACAACCUUUAUCUAUAGUACCCCCAUAUGGAUUCUCAUCCUGCUAGACUUACUAUCUUUCCAGUUACUUUGGGUACAGUUAUGUCUUCUGAUGAUCAAAAGAGGUUAGAGAGGUUUAUUCGCUUGGGUUCACCCAAGUUCAGUGGUGCUACUGGCGAGGAUGCCUAUGAGUUUUUGGUUGAUUUCUAGGAGAAGUUACAAAAUCUUGGAUCCCUUGAGUCUCAUGAAGUUGUUUAUACUACCUAUCAAUUGACGGAUAUGGCUAGGAAUUGGUGAAGGUCGUUUGCUAGUUGUACACCUUUGGGUUUGCUUGCUAUGACUUAGACUUAGUUUUUUGAGGCCUUUUUGGAGAGAUUUAUACUGUAUAGACUGAGGAAUCAGAUGUGUGAUGAGUUUGAUCACUUGGAGAAGGGCUCCAUGACUAUGAUAUGAGGCUCAUUUUUGAAGUGCUAUAUAAAUAUAGCACUUUCGAUGCUUAAAAUGAGAAAAAUAUGCAAGAUUCAGAGUUUUUUUUUGUUAGAUGUGAUGCAUUUUAGGUAUGUUUUGUAGGAAAUCAUGUUGUGGAUGUGAAUAAGAUGAAAAAAAGGCAUUUUUGGCUACUUAUGGGAGAAAAUAUGGAUGUUUGAGACACUUUUCGGCUUGCUAUGAUCAAACCAUGUGCAGGAAUUGAAGAUAAGCUAAAAAGAUGACUCCCGACACUUGCUAAGUCAACAUGUGGACCGCAAGUAGUACAUGUGGACUGUAUGUAGGGAANNNNNNNNNNNNNNNNNNNNNNNNNNNGGAAAGAAAGUUUUAGAAGUCCAAAAUCACGAGAGCUGACCUGCAAGAUUUUUUGGUCCUAGCACUUGCAAUCAUCACUUGUGCCCAUCCUGCAGGCCGCAAGUACCACUUCCACCCGGGGUUAGGGAGAAAUUAGGGACCAUAAGUGGCCACCGACCCUUUUUUCUCCUAUUUCGUUUGGGCUUUGAUUUUAGGGUUUCCUCAUGUACUAUAGAUACCCCUUAUGUGUUUUUUAGUAGGAGUUACACACUCUUGAUACUUACAAACAUAUUUUUAUUCUGAGAUUCGAUCUUGAUCUUUGAAUUCUCUUGUAUUGACUUUACUUGAUUAAUUCAGUUAUAGUUUUGGAUUUUUACUUCUUAUUAUUAUGAUUUCAAUCGAGAAUGUUGUAAAUUACUUCACAAGCAUGAGUGGCUAAGAACCCAUAGCUAGGGUUGUCAAAAUUCCGGUGGAUUGGUGAAGUAGAGAAAGUGCUAUUGUUGUUCAGAACCGAUAUUGUAUUAUGUUCACUUUAAUAGUUAUUCCAGUAGUUGUAAAUGUUAGGAUCCCGCCAAUAUUAUUUCUACUUACUCCAAAAGAGGAGUAGUGACUAGGAAAAGAUAAUUACGACAACAAUUUGGAGUUUAACGGUCGAUCCACGCUACUAUGUACUAUCUAAGUAAGAUGGUUAGAUUUUAUCUAAUAACUAGAGACUCAAAAGGUAAUAGUUAACUGGGAUCAAGAUAAGGGUUAUUAAAGCGGCAUCCUGAGACUCAAAAGGUAAAGGGUUAAAUCCUUCUACUCAUCAAAAAUAUUGUAGAAUGUACAUAACUUAUCGAUUCUACAUGCAAGGUAUUGAGUUCAUUUAACAAAGCACGAAUGAUUACAACCGAAGUUGAUAUUUGCUACUAGUUUGACAUUGAUACUCAAAUCCCCCCAUUUACUUUUCCAGUUCUAUCCAUUGAUUACAACAUCUAAGAGCCACAAUACAAUGUAUUCCCUUGGGAUUUGACCCCAACCUUUGUUGGGUUACUUUAUUUGGAAGCAACCUUAUCAUCUUGUGAGAGAAAGUGUAACUUGUAUGUCACCAGUUUUCAAAAUUUAUCCAAGUAUUCAACUACUAGCAUCUCUACCGAGUCUGAGAGGAUUAGAAGCUUAUGAAUGGGUUAGAUGGUGCUUAUAAGUUGGCUACAGCUCAGAUGGUAGUUUCAAGGGCUUCUUUUCAGAGUAUUAUUGAGCAUUCCAAGAUGCUUGAGUAUAUUAUCCAGACUACUCAGGAAGGCACCAAUAAGGUACACUGUCAUGGUAAAUUUAGUAGACACACCUCCCGAGGUAGAGAUUUCUCGAGUAGAGGUUUCUAUAGUUAUCAUGGUAAGCCGAUUCAGGACUCUUUGUAGGAAUCAAGUGGUAGACCUUCACGUUCAACAACUUUGGGUAGCCAGACAUUAGGUUAGGGUAGUCGUCAUAUUUUAGUCGAACCCCUUUCCCAUUCAAUGACCAGUUCAUUAAGGAAUUUAAACAUGACCUAAAGGGUUCGACAAUCUAAAGAGGUAUAAUAUGAGUAUAACUAGUCCAUCCCCAAUAUGACAUCAAAAUUAAUGAUGUCUAACUCUAUCAGAUUUACCAGAUUUUCUCUACCACCAACAAAAACCACACAACCCUUAUAGACUCUUUUAGUAACCACAGAGUCACCCACCGAGGUUAAAACAAAAGGGUAUCGAGGAUACACUCAGGACCAAAACUAAAAUGCACAGCCACAAAUGGGGUCAAAUAAGAAAGGGUAAACCCUGGAUCAAGAAAGCAAUGAACAUCACGAGAAAAGAGUGCUAACAUACCAGUGACAACAUCGAGAGAUUUCUCAAAGUCUUGGUGGGUAUCAAGAGAAUACGAGUGAUUUAGGCUAGUGCCUGUACCAGAAGUAGAAGGAACAACCUUUGGUGCAAGAGUUGAUGAAGUGGCAACAAGAUUCAUAUUUGCCCCUGAAUCAACCUUAGAAGGACAAUCCCUCUGCAAGUGACCAAUCUGUCCACAUUUAAAACACUUGUUUUUCCCCUUUUCACAAAAUCCACGAUGCACCUGCCCACAAAAUUUACAAAAAGGAUAUGAUGGAGCAGAUUGAACCCCACUAACCUGAGAUUGGGCACCCUGUGCCCUAAAUCCACUAUCAUGCUGAGAACGAAGGUCACCCAACGGCUUCAGAUAAGGAGCACUAGCCGUUUAGUAGGAACCAAAACUCCCCAUUUCUUCUUAGAUCACUUCGAGAUAUCUCUACCACUCUACUGUUGACCUCCACCUUGAUUAGAAAAUCUAAACUUCUUAUGUUGUCUUUCCCCUAUCUCCUCCUGUUUUUUUCUCUUUCUUAACCUGCUGUAGAUAUACAUAUCCUUGUUCAACAAGGAAACCUUAAUCUAUAGAAUCAAAUCACGGGGCAAUUCAGAGGCAAACUUACUCAUUCUAGACCCCAUGCUAGAUACUAACUGAGGAGCAUAUCGGGAAAACUGAUGGAAUUUCAAGGCAUACUUCUUGACCAUCAUCCCAUCUUGCUUCAAAUUAAUAAGCUCUUUCACUUUCACCUCCCUCACCUCUUGAGGAAUGAAAAGGUACAGAAAAGCACUAGAGAAAUUAUCCUAUAUUGCGGAUUCGACAUCAUCUCCCCUAGAUUAUUUCUAUUUCUCAUACCAUUGGUAUGCUACAUUAUUCAGUUGAUAAGCAGUGAAUUCUACACCCUCCAAAUUAGUGGCAUGCAAAACACAGAAGAUCUUCUCCAUCUUACUAAUAAAACCUUGAGGAUCCUUCCCAAACUUAACACUAGUGAACACAUGAGGGCUAAACCUUAUAAACUGGCCAACCCUUUUGGCCUCAGAAGAUAGAGUAACAGAAGCUACAUGUUCGGACUGAGAAGCUACCAAUUGAGCCAAAAGAUGUAUAGACUGAUGAAAUUCCACAUUCAAUACAUCAACUUGAGGAGCUCGAGGAGGACUAGAGGGGACCAGUGGAAAUCCAAGAAGGAAGUCAGGAACUGGACCCCUAGAUCGGGUCUAUACCCCAUAAACAGGGCAUGUCCUAUCAACAUUGUCCUCAAUUAGGACAGAGGAAUUUCUAUGAGCUUCAUAUCGUCAGAGAGGAAUGGUCUAAAAAGAAAACAAAUGGAUAUUAGAGAGACUCAAUACCUUAGACUCUAGAGCUUGAAACAAAACGACAAGAAAAGGAAACAUUCCUAAAUGUCUCGUAGCUUCUCCCGUAUAAGUGUGGUGCAAUACACACCCAUAAAAGAGACUCUACUUGACACGCCUUUGUUGGACACCCAAUGACACCAAACCUAGGAUCUAAUACUUCUUUUGUCAUGGCCCGAACUAGGGCCUGGCAGUGACGGGUAUCUCAAGUCCUACGUGGACUGAAUAUCACCCAUGUACUUGACAAAACCAAUCAAUUCCAGUAUCAAUGCCAAUACCAAUACUAAUACCGACACUAACCAUGCCCACAGUAGUCCGACAAAUUCUUUAAUCAAAAUUAAAGAAUAUCAAGUUGGGACAUGCCCCCGACCGUAGACAAAACCAAUACUAAAGGAAUAAUAAAGUCAUACAGAAAUACAUAACAUGAAAUAGAGUCCUCCGAAGUAUAGAAGCUCAUCACUUCAGUCUGACUCAAAAGCUGUCCCUGAAUCACCUAGUCACUGAGCAACAGGAGUGGAAGUAUGACUAAUUCCUAUAUCGCGUGGGGAUACAACAUCCGAAAUGGUUAGUGGGGUGAACACUAACAUGUAACUUAGGGAUAAGGAUAACAUAAUGAUAUGAUCAACAGUUUAAAAUCAUUCACAAGCUAGCACACAUAAUCAAAUGCAAAUACAUAAGUAUAUGUAUCACAUGUUGGGAUAGAGAACAAGGCUUAACAUGCUUUACAAAAUUUUAACCUAGAUUUUGUUGCUCAACCAUCAUAUAAUAUUACACACGGGCUAUAUGGGACCCAUCUUUCACCCCCUGGUCGUGCCCCAGUGCGUGUAGUCAUACAAACCAGAGAAUAAUCUCAUAUAUAUGCACAUGGGGGACUUGAACCCUCCAACAUAUACCAAGGUGACUUAAGCACCUGAUUAUUUAAUAAUUUAUGAAGGAAUCGAACCUCCCUAAUAAUAAAAUAAUAAUAAGGGCGAAUCGAACCUCCUCGGUUACUUUGACCCCCUCGUUGGAAAAUGCGGUUUCCAUUAUCGAUCGCUCAGACCUCCACUUUCACGACUCAGCUACAUUACCGUUAUUAGAGUCCAAUUAUAACUAUUGUCACACAUUUCCAUUUAAUGAACCAUAAUACAAUUUUAGCCAUACAUUAUUGGUAUCGUUAUACCAACUACACUUGCAAGGUAACACAUUAUGCCAAAACAAUCCCAAUUAACUUGGGGAGAACAACUCCCUUUCUCCAUUUAUACAUAUUGGGGAACACCAACUCUUGUUGUACAUUAAAUCAUACUAUUGUAUUUCAAAUACCUUUUUAUAUCAUGCAAUAGUUCGAGACUAGUUAAAUUUUACAAAUUCCCACAGUUCUCAUAACUAAAACCAAUUUCACAUUAUGGGGUUAGGGUUGUAGCCACUUCAAAAGUCACAAGUAUGGAAAAAUCACAAUUUCCUAGUUUAUUCACCCUACCCAUGCACCCACAAGUUCAAAACCACAUUGAAAGCAUGAAAAUCAUGUAUAUAUGAACUAUGAGAAACAUUGUUCAAUUCAUAACAUUCAAAACCCCAACCUUUGGUUUCAAAAUCAAAACAAUAAUCUUAUGAACCGUACUUUAAAUCACAUGAUUUUACAAAAUAAACAAUGAGGGAAGAGUAACAUGCCUGUAAUAGUAAGAUGUAUGGAGAGAAAUCCCCCUUGAGAGCCCUAAUUAAUCAACCUUUUAAAACCCUAGCCUUAACUUGAACAGAGAGUUUGAGAGAUAAUUUAAGAGUAUUCUGAGAGGUUAUUUGAUGUCUUUGUGAUAGCUAAUGAUGCCCUAAGGAAGUUAUAAGACGUGGGUUUUAAGUUGGAAAAGAGGAAAAAUGUCCAGAAUGCCCUCAACUGAAAUGCUGGAAAAAAGAUGCCUUUGAUUAUGAGUCAACCCUUUGACUUGUACCCACACCUUAAGACUCUUGACCACGAGUCAUAACCAAGACAGUGACUAGGAACCCCAUACACUGCCUACCUUACGACUAAACCAACCCACUCGUAAUAAGAUUUUACAAAUCCUAAGGUCAGUCGUGAGCAACACAGAACCUAAAUGAAUUGAAAAUUGUGCAUCCUAUGAUUUGAACCUACGACUCAUAACAUAUCCUCACAGCUUAUAGUAAGACACUCGUACUCAGAGUAGAACCUUUCCAAUAAGUUUCUAAUUUGGUUAUGACCAGGGCCCUAUGAAUCGUAACCACAUCUCACGACUCAUCACCAUGAGUUGUGACCAAGGUAAUGAGCCCAAAGAUUAAGAAUUUUCAUAGGCUAAAAUCUGAGGUGUUUCAAUUCUCCCCCACUUGAUCAUUCGUCUCCGAAUGAUAGGACAAGGCAAUUGCUAGGAUAAUUUGACUCUAUAUUCCCAUAAUCUUACCUUUAACAAACUUAAAAAAUAAAGACGCAAAGGAAAUCACCAUUUUCUUUAACAAAGUAAACAAACAAAGAUGUUAAGAAUAACACAUACCUUACAUACAAUUUCUUAGAGCGGGAAACAAGAAUGGAUACUUGGACUUUAUGUCCUCUUGGGCUUCUCAAGUAGCCUCUUCAACCUUGUGGUUCCUCCACAGAACCUUUACUGAAGCUAUGUCUUUCGUUCGUAAUCGAUGAACUUGCCGAUCCAAGAUCUCAAUCAGGACUUUCUCAUACUGUAAGGAAUCUAAAAUACCCACCUAUUCCAAAGGAAUAACCAUCGAAGGAUCACUUUCUCAACAUUGACAUAUGGAACACCGGGUGAAUAGAGUUCAAACUAGGAGAUAACUCCAACUCAUAUGCAAUAUUACCAACCCUCUUCAAGAGCACAUACGGGCCGACAUAUCAGGGAUUGAGCUUCCCUUUCUUCCCAAACCACAUUAGUCCCUUCAUGGGAGAUACCUUCAAGAGUACCUAAUCACCAACAUCAAACUUUAACUCCCUACACCUCACAUCCGCAUAGGACUUUUGGCGACUUUAGGCAACUUUAAGUUUAUCCCGAAUCAUCUUUACCUUCUCUAUCACUUGGUGAACCAAAUUCGGGCUAAACAUUUCAGCCUUCCCAAUCUCGAACCGCACAAUAGGAGAUAUAUAUAUCCUACCAUACAACACCUCAAAUGAAGCUAUCCCAAUACUGGAGUUGUAGCUAUUACUAUACGCAAACUCUAUAAGAGGCCCAUGAUCAAACCAACUACCACUAUAGUCAAUCAUGCAAACAUGAAACAUGUGUUCCACUAUCUGAAUAGUACUUUCUGCUGAACAUCCAAUUGAGGGUGGAAAGAAUUACUAAGGCUCACCUUAGUUCCCAAACCUUUUUGAAACAAAUGCUAAUAAUGUAAUGAGAAGUUAGUAUCACAAUAUGACAUAAUAAAAACAGGUUCCCCAUACUACUUCAUCAUCUCUUAGAGGAAUAACCUCGCAUAAUCCUCUGCCAAAUAAUUAGUCCUUACUAGUAAGAAGUGAGCAUACUUGGUCAUCCAAUCCACAAUGACCCAAAUCAAAUCAAAUUGAUUAAAGACCGAGGAAGAUUAGUAAUGAAAUCCAUAUUAAUCACUUCCCACUCCACAUAGGCAACACAAUCUCUUAAGUCAAUCCAUUAGUCCUCAAGUGCUCAACCUUCACUUGUUGACAUACCAUGCAUUUAACCACUUAACUGGCCAUAUCACGCUUCAUAUUGUUCCACCAAUAAAUCUCCUUAAGAUUAUGAUACAUAUUCGUCAAAUAGGAUGAAUGACAUAAUGCGACUCACUUAACCUAUCUAUGUUGAUAACACAUAAUCUGCAUUGGUACCUUAAGAUACCAUCGCCACUAAUCUCAAAAGCUAUAACCUUUUGCUGACCUACAUAUCCCUUAAUCUUCAUUAAAAUAGGAUCCAAAAUCUACUUCUCCUUUAUCUCUAUAACAAGGGAUACUUCUCCACCUUUUGCAUAAACACACCACCAUGGUUAGAAUCCAAGAGAUGAACUCCAAGGUUAGGGAAACGGUAAAUAUCUUUUACCAACUCCCAUUUAUCCUCAUUCACAUAAGCUAGACUCCCCAUAGAUAACUUUCUAAGAGCAUCAACAACCACAUUAGCUUUAUCUGGGUGAUAGUGGAGACUCAUGUCGUAAUCUUUCAGCAGCUCAAGCCACCACUUCUUCCUGAGAUUCAACUCCUUCUAGGUGAACACAUAUUGUUGGCUCUUAUGAUCAUAAAAGAUAUCUACAUGGAAUCCAUACAAAUAGUGAUGCCAGAUCUUCAAUGCAAACACCACAACCAACAACUCCAAGUCAUGAGUCAGGUAAUUUCUCUCAUGAACUUUCAACUACGUAGAAGCAUAGGUCACCACCUUGCCAUGCUGUAUCAACACACAACCAAGUCCCACACAGGAUACAUCAUAAUAGACAACAAAACCUACCUUCAGGCAGAGCUAAAACUAGAGCUGAAGUCAACUUAUCUUUUAGUUUCUCAAAGCUAUACUCACAAGCGUCAGACCAUAAGAACUUCUUUUUUUAUGAGUCAAUUUAGUCAAUCGGGUAGCUAUAGUUAAGAAACUCUCCACAAAUGUACCAUAGUAACUAGAUAAACCCAAGAAGCUCUAAAUAUCGAUUGGAGUUAUGGGCCUAGGCCACUUUUUAACCACUGUAACUUUCUAUGGAUCCACUAUGAUACCUUUACUAAAAAUGACAUGACCUAGAAAAGUAACAGUUUUCAACCAGAAUUCACACUUUGAAAACUUAGCAUACAAAUACUAAUCUUUCAAGGUUUGAAAUACGAUAUGGAGGUGAUCAACAUGAUCUGCCUCACUCUUGAAAUAUACUAGAAUAUCAUUUAUAAACACAAUAAUGAACAAAUUCAAAAACUGACGAAAGACCCUAUUCAUCAUGUCCAUAAAUGCCGCCGAGGCAUUAGUCAAACCAAAAGAUAUGACUAAGAACUCAUAAUGACCAUACCACAUUCAAAAGGCAAUCUUAGGAAUAUCUACUUCCCUAAUCUUUAGCUAGUGAUAAUAAGACCUAAGAUAAAGCUUAGAGAAAUAUCUAGCACCUUGACGCUGGUCAAACAAAUCAUCAAUUCAAGGAAGAGGACACUGCUCCUUAAGCUUCUUCAACUCAGCUAGAGCUACUAUAAGGAGGGAUAAAGAUAGAACGAGUGUCCAGAAUAAGGUUAAUCCCAAAAUCAAUCUCCCUAUUGGGAGAGAUAUUAGGAAGAUCAUCAAGAAAAACCUCGAGAAAUUCACUAAUCAAGGGAACACAUAUCAAUGAAAGACCUUUCAAGUUAGAAUCUUUAACCUAAACCAAAAUAUAGAGACAUUCCUUGGAAAUCAACUUCCGGGCUCUAAGAUACGAUAUAAACCUUCCCUUAGGAACUAGAGAACUCCCUUCCACUCAAUGACCGACUCAUUAAGGAAUUUACAUUUGACCUUAUGGGUCCGACAAUCUAAGGAAGCAUAACACGAGUGCAACCAGUCCAUCCCUAAUAUGACAUCAAAAUCGACCAUGUCUAACUCUAUCAGAUCUAUCAGAGUUUCUCUACCACCAAAAAAUACCACAUACCCCUAUAGACUUUUCAAGCAAUCAUAGAUUCACCCAUCGGGGUUAAAACAUAAGAGGGAUUGGGGAUACACUCAGGACCAAAACCAAAAUACAUAGUCACAAAUGGGGUCACAUAAGAAAGGGUAUCCCCUAGAUCAAGCAAUCAAUACACAUCGAGUCAUAAUAUACUAGUGACAACAUCGAGAGAUGUCUCCAAGUCCUGGUGGGUAGUAAGAGCAUACAAGUGAUUUGGGCUAGUGCCGGUACCAGAAGCUGAAGUAACACCCUUUCCUGUAGGAGGUGAUGAAGUGGCAACAAGAAUCUUAUUUUCCUCAAAGCAACCUUAGAAGGAAAAUCCCUCUAGAAGUGACCAAUCUGUCUAAAUUUAAAACACUUGUUACUCUCCUAUUCACAAAACCCACGAUGCACCUGGCCCCAAAAUCUAUAAGGAGGAUAUGAUGGAGCAGACUAAGCCCAACCAAAAUAAUAUUAGGCUCUCUGUGCAUAAAUCCACUAUUAUACAAAGAACAUUGGUCACCCAACGACUUCAGAUAAUAAGCACUAGCCGUAGAGUAGGAACCAGAACUCCGCCACUUCUUCUUAGACCACUUUCCACCAUCUCUACCAAUCUACUAUUGACCUUCACCCUAAUUAGGAAAUCUAAAUUUCUUAUUUUUUCUUUCCCCUAUCUCCACCUAUUUCUUAUUCUCUUCCUCAACCUGCUGCAUAUACACAGCCAAUCUGGAGAUGUCUAUUUUCUUAUUCAAUAAGGCAGCCUUACUCUUUAGAAUCAAAUCAUGGAAUAAUCCUGAGGCAAACUUCCUCAUUCUAGCCCUCAUGCUAGACACUAGCUCGGGAGUAUAUUGGGACAAUUGAUGGAAUUUUAAGGCAUAUUCAUUGUCAUUCUUCCUUGUUUCAAAUUAACAAACUCUUUUGCUUUCACUCUCAACUCCAGAGGAAAGAACCGAUCUAGAACAGCACUAAAAAAAUCAUCCCACAGUGCAGAUUCGACAUCAUCUCCCCUAGGACGUUCCCAUUCCUUCUACCAUUAAUAUGCUAUAUCCUUCAGUUAAUAUGCAAUGAAUUCUACACCCUCCAUAUUAGUUCCAUGAUUAAUAUAGAAGAUAUUCUCCAUCUCAUAAAUGAAACCUUGAGGAUACUUUUCAACCUUAACACCAGUGAACACAGGAGGGCUCAACCUUAUAAACUACCCAACCCUUGUGGGCUCAACAGAUGGAGUAACAAAAGCUACAAACACAAAAUGAGAAGCUACUAGCUGAGCCAACAUAUGAAUAAACUGAUGAAAUUCCACAUUCGGCAAAUUAGCCAGGGAAGCUCAAGAAGGACUAGAGGGGACUGUUAGAACCCCAGGAAUUAGACCCCUAAACUGAGUAUGUACCUCAUAAGGAGGGCAUGUCCUAUUAGCAUUGUCCUUAAGUAGGACAGGGGAGUUUCCAUGAGCUUCAAAUCAUUAGGGAGCUUGAUCUGAAAAGGAAACAAAUGAGAAUUAGAGAGUCUCAAGAGCUUAGACUCUAUAGCUUUAAACAGAACAAAAAUAAAGGAAAACAUUCCUAAAUAUUUUGUAGCUUCUCCAUUAUAAGUGUGGCACACUACACACUCAUAAAAGAGACUCUACAUAACAUGAUUUUAUUGACAUCCAAUGACACCAAAUCUAGGCUGUGAUAUCACCUUUGAUACGAACCAAACUAAGGCUUGGCCAUAUGGGUAUCUCAAGUCCCAUGUUGACUGAAAAUCACCUUCUAUACCUGACCAAACCAACUAAUUCUAGUAUGAAUGCCAAUACCAAUAUCAAUACUAGUACCAAUACCAACACCGCCCAUGCCCACAGUAGUUCGACAAAUUCUGUAAUCAAAAUCAAAGAAUAUCUAGUUGGGACAUGCCCCCGACCAUUGCCAAAACAAAGAUAAUAUGAAUAAUAAAGUCAUAAGGAAAUCUAUAGGAUGAAAUGGAGUACUCCUAAGUAUGGAAGCUCACCACAAGCUCACCACUUCUAUUAUACUUAAAAGCUAUCCUUCGAUCACCUAAUCAUCGCGCUGGAGGAGUGGAAGUAUGACCAAUUGGUGUAUCGCGCGGGGAUAUAACAUCCGAAGAAAUGUAGCAGGGUGAACGCUAGCAUGUAACUCAGGGAUAAGGAUAACAUAAUGAUAUGAUCAAUAGUUUAAAAUCAUUCAAAAUCCAACACACAUAAUCAAAUGCAAAUACAUAAGUAUAUAUAUCACAUGUCGGGAUAAAGAACAAGUCUUAACAUGCUUUUCAAAAUCUUACCCUGGAUUGUGUAUCUCAACCAUCAUAUAACAGUACCCAUAGGCUAUAUGUGCCCCAACUCUCACCCCUUGGCUGGGCCUCAGUGUGUGUAGCCAUACAAAUCAGAUAACUGGACAUAUAUAUGCACAUGGGGACUCAAACCCUCCACUAUAUACCAAAGUGACUUAAGCACCCGUUCAUAUAAUAAUUUAUGGGGGACUCAAACCUUCCUAAUCAUGAAAUAUUAAUAAGGGGGACUCAAACCUCUCUGGUCACUUUGACUCACGCAUCAGCAAAUAUGGUUUCUAGUAUUGAGCGCUCGGACCUCCACUUUAAUGACUCAGCUACACAACCCUUAUUAGAGCCCAAUUAAAAUAAUUGUCACACAUUCUCAUUCAAUGAACCAUAAUACACUUUUAGGCAUACAUCGUUGGUAUCGUCAUACCAACUAUACUUGCAAGGUAACACAUCAUGCCAAAAUAAUCUCCAUUAACUUAGGGAGAACAACUCCCUUUAUACAUUAAUACACAUUGGGGAACACCAACUUCCUUUGUUUAUUAAAUCAUACUAUUGUAUUUCAAAUACCUUCUUAUCAUGCAAUAGUUUGAGAGUAGUUAAUUUUUCAAAUUUCCACAUUUCUCAUAACUAAAACUAAUUUCACAUUAUGGGGUUAGGGUUAUAACCACUUCAAAAGUCACAAGUUUGAAAAAAUUACAAUUUCCUAGUUUAUUAACCAUACCCAUGCACCCACAAGGCCAAAACCCUAUUGAAAGCAUGAAAAUCAUAUAUAUGAACCAUGAGAAACAUUGUUCAAUUCAUAACAUUCAAAACCCCCAACCUUUGUUUUCAAAAUAAAAAUAGGAAACUUAUGAACCAUACUUUAAAUCAUAUGCUUUUGCAAAAUUAACUAUGAGAGAAGAGUAACACUCCUAUAAUAGUAAGAUGUACGGAGAUAAAUCCCUCCUUGGGAGGCCUAAUUGAUCAACCUCUUGAAAUCCUAGCCUUAACUUGAAUAGAUAGUUUGAGAGGGAAUUUAGGAGUGUUCUGAGAGGUUACCUGAUGCUUUUAUGAUAGAUAAUUAUUUCCUAAGGAAGUUUUAAGAUGUGGAUUUUAAGUUGGACAAGAGGGAAAAUAUCAAGAAUGCCCUCAACUUAAAAGCUGGAAAAAGACGCCUUUGGUUACGAAUCAACUCCUUGACUCAUACCCACACCUUACGACUCAUGACCAUAAGGCGUAAACAAAAUAGUGACUAGGAACCCCAUAUACUGCCCACCUUAUGACUAUGCCAACCCACUCGUAAUGAGAUCUUACGACUUAUAAGGUAUAGUCAUGAGCAAUAUAGAAUCUAAAUAAAUUGAUCACCAAACAUCCUAUAAUUUAAAACUAUGACUUGUAACUUAUUCUCAUUGCUUAUAGUGAGCCACUCGUACUUAGAGCCAAACCUUGUCACUAAUUUUAUGAUUUGGAUACUGAUGUGCUAUAGAAAUAUAACACUUUUGAUGCUUAAAACAAGGAAAAUAUGAAGGUUUCUGAGGCCGUUUUGUUAGAUUUGAUCUAUUUUGGGUAUGUUUUGUAGAAAACCAUGUUUUGGAUGAUAAGUUUGUGAAAAUGGUGAAAAAAUAUUUUUUGCCACUAUUGUAGCGAUUACGAAUAUGUGCGAUUAGAAUCAAUACAUGUUCGAGAGUCAAAGAGGAGCUGAAAAACUGACUCUCGGCACCUACCAAGUCAAUAUGUGGCUGUAAGUAGGACCUAUGAACCGCAUGUACACAAAGCGGUUGACAGAAAGUCAAAAUCUCGAGACCUGAACAUUGUAGGAUUUUUGCUUCUGCUACCUACACCUGCUACCGUUGCCCUAUGCCUGGUUUGUAGGUAUUACCUGUACCCGUCCAGACCACAGGUACAGGGAGUAGGUGUCCACCGACCUUGUUUUCUCCUAUUUUAUUUGGGCUUAGUUUUUAGGGUUUUCUUUUGUAGUAUAAAUACCCCUUAUGCACAUUUUAGCAGAAGUUACACUUUUAAUACUAAGAAAUAUAUUUUGAUUUCAAGAUCCAUCUUUGAUCUUGGAAUUUCCUUGUAUUGACCUUGAUUGAUUAUUCAAUUUUUGAUUGUGGGUUUUCAUUCAUCUUAUUAUUGUGAUUUCAUCUUUGCCUUCGAAUAUGAAUAUUGAUUUUUCACAAUCAUGAGCGGCUAAAACCCAUAGCUAGGGUUGUGGAAACCCUUGCGAAUUAAUAAAGUAGGGGAAGUACAUUGUUGAUCUGAACCAAUACCCAUGGCAUGCCUUGUUUUAUCUUUGUUAUGAUUGAUUUCUUAAUGGGUGCACACAUUAGAAUCCCUCCCAGAUAUUGCUUCUUUCUCCAAAAGAGGAGUAGUGACUAGGAAAAGAUAAAGACAACAAUAAUUUAGGAGUGAAUUGCCGAUCCAUCGUCAUAUGAUGGAAUAUAGUGAAUGGUUAUUAGCUUUUAUCUAAUAACUUGAGACUCAAAAGGUAAUAGUUAAUUAGGAUCAAGAUAAGGGUUAGUAAUGCGACAUCCUGAGACUCAAAAGAUAAAGGGUGAAAUCUUUCUGCUCAUCCGAAAGACUGUAGAGGGUACAUAACUUAUCAAUUCCACAUGCAAGGUAUUGAGUUGGUUCAACAACACAUGAUAAGACUAUGGAGUUGAGAUGCCAGGGGGAACACAAUAUUAAUUUUCACUUAUGACUGAUUUUCAACCAAGUGAAUACUGGUCUUUGCUCGAGAUUACUACAAAAAAAUCCCCUAUUUACUUUUCCUAUUUUAACCAUAGACUUUAACCACUAUAAUCUAAAAAGCCACGUGUUCCCUUGGGAUUCAACCAGAACCUCAAUUGGGUUACUAUAUCUUUAUAAAAACCAUAUCAUCAUACAAAAAGAGGAGUCACUUGGAUGUCAUCAAAAAAUUGGUACCGUUGUCAGGGGACUCGGUGUUUAUUUGUGGACUAAGGUUGUUGUAGUUUUUGGGCUUUUAGUUUUUAUUUUUUUUCUUAGUUGGGCAUGUUCCCGUGUAUGCCUAGCACAUAGAGUAGAGGUAGUCCCUUUCUCCUAGUGAAUCCAAAUCUAUAGAGGAUCCUAUAAACACCUAGUAGGAUAUCUGAGCUAAAAAGAGCUGAUAAUCCUGAAAGAGUUCAUUAUGUUGUACCUCCACCUGAAGCAGUACAAGAUAUUGUUGACCAUAAAAUCGAUGAGAUGUUAGCUCAAGCUAAAGAUGAGAAAAGGGCAACAAAAAUAGUUCAGAGAGUAGCUAGGGAAGUAGAUCUUACGAAGCAGAGACAAGCUGCAGAGUGCCGAGCAACACUUGGUGGAAAUCAAAACAGAGCCAGAUGUGUCUGUGUUUAAGUAAUCCCAGUAUAUCAGUACAUGUAACCAUAUAUAGAUGAUGAAGAAGAUAUGGGAUAUGUUGAGCUAACUAAGGCUAGAGCCAAAGUACCUCAUGCUUUGACCCUAGGCAUCAAAUUUGACAUCACAAGUGCCAUAAUCCAACUUUUGAAUUUGAAGGGUGUGCUUGCAGGAUUGUCUAUCGAUGAUGCAAACUUGGAACUUGCUAAUUUCCUUGGGAUUUUCACGUCGUAUAACAUUUCAGGGGUAGAUCAGGAAACACUUAGUCUAAGGAUUUUCCCCUUCUCACUUAUAGGAGAAAUAUUUUUAUGGUUGGGGAAUUGCCAAGAGGCUCUAUCACGACUUGGAACUAGCUGCACAAGUAAUUCUUGAAUAGGUUGUUUCCUUCAUCAAGAAUGUUGUAGCUCAAGGGCGAGAUCUAUAAUUUCAGGUAGCUACAGUCAGAACCUAUGUAUGAGGCUUGGUUUAAAUUUAAGAAGAAGCUGAGUAUGGUGCCUAAUCAUCAGUUGACUGGGAUGACCUUAUCUGAGAUAUUAUACAGAGCCCUAACCAUCAUCUCUAGAGCCAUGACAGACACUAUAUCUAGAGGAGCGUUUAUGAGAUUAUAAUAGAGGUAGCUUUAGAGAUACUAGAUCGAACAUCACUCACUAACUGAUGGUGGAAAACUUAGGAGGCUGAUAGGGGAUCUGAUACUUAUGCUAUUGGUGCCUCCUGUGAUUAGAAAGUAGCUGAUGAAUAGUAGCACAAGAGAUUGCAUUACUAAAAACUAAUUUAUGGGUGCUAGAAAAAUAGUUUGCAGUGACCAGUUCUAAGAUAGUGAAUGCAGUAGCAGUAUAGGGGACAAUUUCCAAAGCAUACGAGUUAGAAUUAGAAGAGAAAGCUAACUAUAUAGAUCAUCAGAUAAUGGGUUUCUGAUCCAAAGGGAAAGGUAACCAAGGUCGGAACUAUUAUGAUCAAAACAGAGACAUAACAGAGAGCGAGAUAAUGACUAGAGGAAGAAGGAUGGCUAUAGAGAGAAUGGAGAUAGAUACAUUCCACCUAAUAUAUGCAAUGUAGAAUCCAGAAUGGAGGAGAUGCUGGCUAAGUUGGUGAAGGGUCAAAAAAUCAGGAAACCAACCUUAGGGAGAUUAAGGCUGAUAUUUCAGGGUUGAAACAGAAGGUCGAGUCAUAUGCCACUACUAUUAAGUAGUUAGAGCACCAGUUUAGGCUGAUGUCAACCACUUUGAACUAGAGACAGCGAGGUACCCUUUUAAGCAAUAUAAUACAAAAUGUGAGAAGCGAUGGUCACAUACUUACUAUUACCAUGAGGAGUGGUAUCACUACUAUGGAUCCCCCACUGCCUACUAUAGAAGUUGUUGUUGAUGAGACACCUUCUGUUGAAUUUGAGAAGGUAACAGGUAAUACAGGUACAGUUCUUUAAGAUAAAGGUAAGAGUCCGACCAUUUAUCCAGAAAUCAGAUAUAUUUUUGGACCACCUCUAACUUUUCCUCAAUGACUGAGGCAAAGAAAAGUAGAAGGUAAGUUCAAGAGAUUUAUUGAGAUGCUGAAAUAAUUGAGCUUGAAAAUACCUCUUAUUGAGGCAUUAGAGUAGAUGCCUUGAUACACCAAGUUCAUAAAAUAGUUAGUUAUAAGGAAGAAAGAAGUGACUACUAAGGAUAUUGAUGGUAUGUACCACUGCAGUACAGUUACGACAAGGUCCUUGGAGUAGAAAAAGGGUAACCACAGAGCAUUCACUAUAUCAUGCACUAUUGGGACAUCUAAAUUUUCCCGAGCCUUAUGUGGUUUAUGGGUUAACAUUAAUCUAAUGCCACUGGCCAAUUCAAGCAACUAUGCUUGAACCCUCCGAAACUUUUGAUGCGGCUAUUGAUGGCUAACCACACCGUGAAGAACCCUGUUGGAAUCUCGUUUGAUAUAAUCGUGAAGUUUAAAAGUUUGUCUUUUUGGUUGACUUUGUCAUCUUGGACUUAGAGGUUGACACUGAGAUGCCCAUUUCUUUUAGAAGACCAUUCAUGGCCAUCGGUAAAGCUAUGGUUGACAUGGAAAAAGGUGAGUUAAGAUUUUGAGUCAAUGGUGAGGAACCAACAUUCAACAUCCGAAAGAUAAUGAAGCAGCUAAUCGACAUGAGAGUAGUAUCAGUGAUUGAUUGUAUUGAUACCUGGAGGAUAUUCAUAUGGGUAUCUUAUUGAUAUUUUCUACUAGUUUGGCAUUGAUACUCAAAUCCCUUUAUUUACUUUUCCAGUUCCACCCAUUUAUUACAACAGCUAAGAGCCAUGAUUCCACGUAUUCCCUUGGUAUUCAACCCCAACCUUUGUUGGGUUACUAUAUUUGGCAGCGACAAUAUCAUCUAUUGAGAGAAGGUGUAGCUUGGAAAUUACCAAUUUUCAUACUUUAUCUAGGUAUUCAACUGCUAGCAUCUCCACUGAGUCUGAGAGGAUUUGGAAGAUUGUGAAGGGGUUAGAUGGUGAUUAUCAGUUGGCUAUAACUCAGAUGGUAGUUUUAGGGGAUUCCUUUUAGAGUAUUAUUGAGCAUGCCAAGAUGCCCGAGUCUAUUAUCCAGGCUACUCAGGAAGUCACCAUUAAGGUGCGCAUCAUAGUGAGUUUAGUGGACAUACCUACCAAGGUAGAGAUUUCUCGAGUAGAGGUUCCUAUGGUAUCAUGGUAGGCCGAUUUGGGACUCUUUUUAGGGAUCAAGUGGUAGACCUUCAGGUUUAACAACUUUGUGUGGCUAGACAUUGGGUCAGGGUAGUCGUCCUAUUUUAGCCGAACCUCUUCAAAUUAAUUCAGGCGUAGAGGACAUUUUGUAUGUGAUAAAUUCGGCCAUAUGGCCAAGAAUUGCCCUCAACAUAUUUUAAGACUUACUCCUAUAUCGAUUGUGAGAGGAGGCUCUUAGAGUGGUAGGGUGUCAUGACUCGAACCAGGGCCUGUCCGUGAUGGGUAUCUAAUGUCCCACUUGGACCGAAGAUCACCCCCUGCACCUAACAAAACCACACACAUCACACUCCAAGGUUGGAUGAAUUCUGAACAUUUAACAAGAUAGCGUGAAAUAGCUUAAGAAAAAUUUUAUGCAUUUCUAUAACCGACGACUGGUGAUCAGCCAACCGGCCAACGAACGCCACCUAAUAACCGCAAUAAUCCAAACAAAGUCUUCUAAUAAUGUACCAAAAUUGAAUAUCAAUAAAGUGUCGAGACAUGCCCCCGACUAUUGCCAAAAAUAAGCCUAAACUUUUGAGAGAUAAAAGACCAAAACAUGAAAUGUAGACUUAUGAUGUAUGGAAGCUCACCACUUCAAUGUCAACUCACGAUCUAUUCCUGAAUCCUAAUCACUGAGUAGGAGGAGUAGAAGUAUGGCCAAUUCUUGCAUCGCGUGGGUAUACAACAUUUGAAGACGAUUAGCGGGGUGAAUGCUAACAUGUAACUCAGGGAUAAGGAUAACAUAAUAUCAUGAUCAUCAAUUUCAAAUCCAAUGUACAAAAUAAAAUGCAAAGACGUAGGUAUAUCACAUGAUGGGAUAAGGAACAAGGAUUAAUAUGAAUUUCAAAACCUUAUCUUGGAUUGUGCAGCUCAACCGUUAUAACAUGUACCUACAAGCUAUAUGGGCCCUAUCUCUCACCCCCUGGUCGGGCACCAAUGCUUGUAGCUGCACAAACUAGAGAAUAAUGUCAUAUAUAUGCACGGGGGACUCGAACCUCCCAACCAUAUACUAAGGUGACUUAAGCACCCGAUCAUCUAAUUAUUUACAUGGGACUCGAACCUCCCUAAUCAUGAAAUAAUAAUAAGGGGGACUCGAACCUCUCUUUUCACUUUGACCCUCGCGUCGAUAAAUAUGGUUUCCAGUAUUAGUCUCUUGGACCUCCAAUUUCACGACAUAGAUGCACAACCCUUAUUAAAACCUAAUAAAAAUAAGUAUCACAUAUUCCCAUUCAUUGGACCAAAUUCCACAUUAAGGUAUAUAUUUUUGGUAUCGUCAUACCAAUUACACUUGCAAGGUAAUAACAACAUGCCAAAACAAUUUUCAUUAACUUGGAGAAACAACUCCCCUUGAUCAUUAAUACAAGGUGGGGGAAUACCGACUCCCUUUGUUCAUUAAAUCAGGCCAUUUUGUUUAAAAUACCUCUUUAUAUCAUGGAAUAAUUUAAGACUAGUUCAAUUUUACAAAUUCCCAUAUUUCUCAUAAUUAAAAGAAAUUUCACAUUAUGGAGUUGGGGUCAUAGCCACUUCAAAAGCCAUAAGUUUGGGAAAAUUGCAAUUCCUUAGUUCAUUCACCAUACCCAAGCAACCACAAGUUCUAAACCAUAAUUUAAAGCAUGAAGAAUCAUAUGUAAACCAUAAGAAACAUUGUUCAAUUCAUAAACAUUCAAAACCACCUACCCUUAUUUCAAAACCAACACAACCAUCUCAUGAACAAUACUUUAAACACAUGCUUAUAACAAAUUAACAAUGAGGAAAGAGUAAUAUGCCUUAAAAACCAAAAAUUUGGAGAGAAAUCGACCUUUGAUCCCUUAGAUGACCAACUUGAUAAAACCCUAGAUUGACUUUCUUGGGGGAAUUCAGAGAUCCUUUUGUAGUAUUUGAGAAGUUACUUAGAUUGUUUCUGAGUUCUAAUAACACUCUAAAGAGGUUAUGAGAUGUGGGUUUCAAUUUGGGUAAGAGAGAAAAUGUCCAGAAUGCCCUUAAAUUAAAAGCUAAAAGAGUGCCACCAUUUACUAUGGGUUAACAAUUGACUCGUAGCAACUCCUUACGACUCAUCACCAUAAGUCAUAACCAAGGCAGUCUCUAGGACCCCCAUCCACAGUUGACCCUAUGACUCACUGGUACCACUCAUAAUGUGACCCUACGACUCAUAAGUUCCAGUCAUAGUUAACACAAAGCCCAAUUGGGUAAACACUGGAAAUCCUACGAUUUGCACCCAACGACUCGCAACAAGUCCUUACGGUUCAUGGUGAUCCACUCAUACCCAGAGCAUAACUUAGUAGCUAAAUUUUUGAUUUGGUUACGAUUCCAUCCUAAUGACUCGUCAUGAGUCAUUAUGAUUUGUGUCCCCAAGUCGUACCUAAGACAGAAACUUAAACACCAUUCACCGGACACCUUACGGCUAGGGUCACCUGACUAUCAAGACAUAUUACAACUCGUUAGAUGAGUCAUUUCCAGGACAGAAAACUUAAAACUCAAAAAAUCUUUGAGGACCAAAAACCUGAGGCGUUACAUACUCCCCCCUUAGGAGCAUUUGUCCUCGAAUGAUAGGACAAGGCAUUUAUUAGUACGGUUGGGCAUAAAAUUCGGAGAAUUGAAUUACCAAACUGAACCAAAAAAUUUGGCAAUUGGUAUUCGGUAAUUCGGUAUUUGGUAUGAUAUUUGGGAGUAAAAUUUUAAUAUUUUAGUAUUCGAGAUUGGGUUUGGUAAAAGAUAUUAAUACCGUUUGGUAUUCGGUACUUACCGAAUAUUGAAUUAUAUAUAUAUAUAUAUAUAUAUAUAUAUAUAUUAUGAUAUGUCUAACCAACUCAAUAGACAAUAGUAUUAGUCAAUCCCAAAAAAUCUCUUGGACCUUGGUAAUAUAUUCGUAAAAAACAACAAAAGGAAUACUGAAUAGGGUUUCGAUAUAUAUAUAUAUAUGUAUAUAUGUGUAUAUAUAUAUUACGAUAUGUCUAACCGACUCAAUAGACAAUAGUAUUAGUCAAUCCCGAAGAAUCUCUUGGACUUGGUAAUAUAUUUGUAAAAACCAACAAAAGAAAUACUAAAUAGGGUUUUGAUUAAAUAUACUCUUUGAAGUUUAAUACAUUUGGACAUUUCCAACUUUUAUAUGGUAUUACCAAAAACCAUACCGAACCGAAGUUUAAUUUACCGAUUACCGAAUUACCAAACCGAUGUUUAUAAGUAUGGUAUGUUGUAUGUACUUUCAAAUAUCGAUUACCAAAUUACCGAACUCAAAAUUUAAAAAUACCAACCAAAUACCGAAUGCCCACCCCUAUUUAUUAGCACGAUUUGACUCCACAUACCUCUACUAUUACCUUUAACAAAGACAUAAAACAAAAAUACUAAGGAAAUCAUCAUUUCCUUUAACAAAGUCAGAAAACAAAGAUAUUAAGGAAUACACAUACCUUAAGAACGAUUAUUUGAAAUGGGAAAAAAGAAUGGAAAUUUGGACAUCAUGUCCACCUCGGCUUCCUAAGUAGCUUCCUCAACCUUUUUGUUCCUCCAAAGAACUUUUACCAAAACACAUCCUUCGUUCGCAACCGACAAACUUGUCGAUCUAAAAUCCCAACCGGGACUUUGUCAUAGUACAAGGAAUCCAAAAUACCCACCUUUUCUAAAGGAACAACCGCCGAAGGAUCACCCCCACACUUUCUCAAUAUUGAAACAUGAAACACUGGAUGAAUGGAGCUCAAACUAGGAGGCAGCUACAAAAUAUAUGCAACAUUACCAAUCCUCUUCAAAACCAAGUACAGACCAACAUAACGUGGACUGAGCUUUCUCUUCUUACCAAACCGCAUCACUCCCUUCAUAGAAGACACCUUCAAGAAUACCCAAUCACCAACACUGAAUUCUAACUCCUUCACCUCACUUCUGCAUAGUACUUUUGGCGACUUUAGGCCGCCUUAAGUCUAUCUCAAAUCACCUUCACCUUCUCCAUCGCUUAGUGAACCAAAUCAGGGACAAAUAACUUAUUUUCACCAACCUCAAACCAUCUAAUAGGAGACCUGUACCUCCUACCAUAUAAGGCCUCAAAUGGAGCUAUACUAAUGCUAGAGUUAUAACUGUUAUUGUAGGCAAAUUCCAUGAGAGGCAGGUGGUCAAUGUAACCACCCUUAUAAUAAAAUACAUAAGCCCGAAACAUAUAUUCCAAGACCUAAAUCAUCCUUUCCGCAUGCCCAUUUGUCUACGGGUGGAAAGUUAUGCUAAGGGUCACUUUAGUCCCCAAACCUCACUGGACUGAGCUCCAAAAGUAAGAAGAGAACUGAGUACCCCUUUUCGAUAUGAUGCAAACUGGAGUACCAUGCAACUUCAUAAUCUCCUCAAUGAACAACUCGGCAUAAUUCUCAGAAGAGAAAUUUGUCCUCACUGAUGACCCAAAUUGAAUCAAAUUAUUAGAGAGACCAUGGAAGACCGACAAUAAAAUAAAUAUUAAUUACCUCCCAUUUCCACACUGGCAGCUCAAUCUCUUGAGCUAACCUACCGGGCUUUAAGUACUCUACCUUCACUUGUUGACACACCAUGCACUUAGCCACAAAAUUGGCCACAUCCUACCUCUUAUUAUUCCACCACUAAAUAUCCUUAAGAUCAUGAUACAUCUUUGUCGAAUACAGAUAAAUAGUAUAACGCAACUCAUGAACAUUGACCAAAAUUCUUUAUUGCAACCUAUCAACAUCGAUAACACACAUUCUACCUUGGUACCUUAAGAUACCAUCACCACCAAUCUCGAAAACCAUCAUUUUCUGCCUACCUAUAUCAUUCUUGAUUUACAUCAGAAUAGGAUCCAACACUUGCUUCUCCUUUACUUUUGUACUAAGAGAUGACCUCGUUAUCUCUUGAAUAAUUACACCACCAUCCUCAGAAUCCAACAUACAAACUUUGAGAUAAGCCAAAGGGUGAAUAUCCUUCACCAAAUCCUGCUUCUCUUCAUCUACAUACGACAAGCUUCACUUGGACAACCUGCUAAGAGAAUCAACAACCACGUUAGCUUUACCUGGAUAAUAGUGUAGACUCAUCUCAUAGUCCUUUAGCAACUCAAGCCAUCUCCUUUGCCUGAGAUUUAAUCCCUUUUUGGUAAACACCUAUUGUAGGCUCUUAUGAUCAGAAUAAAUAUCAAUAUAGACCCCAUACAAAUAAUGACACCAAAUCUUUAAUGCAAAUACCACACAACAAUUCCAAAUCAUGAGUCAGAUAAUUCUUCUCAUGAAAGUUUAAUUGUCUUGAGGAAUAAGAAACUACCUUUCCAUGCUGGAUCAACACACAUCCCAAUCCCACUUGGGAUACAUCACAAUAGAUAACAAAACCAUCAGUGCCUUCAACCAGUGUCAAGAUAAAAAAUGAAGUCAACUUAUCCUUAAGAUUCUAAAAACUACCCUCACAAGCAUCAGAUCAUAAGAAUUUAACCUUUUUCUGAGUCAAAUUAGUCAAUAGGGCAGCGAUAUAAGAGAAACUCUCCACAAACCUUCUAUAAUAACCGGCUAAACCUAAAAAGCUCAAAAUAUUAGAUGGAGUUGUGGGUCUAGGCCACUUCUUAACCACUACAACCUUCUGUGGAUCCACCAUGAUCCCUUUACUAGAAACAACAUGACCCAGAUAUGUUACAGUAUUCAACCAAAACUCACACUUAGAGAACUUUGAAUACAAAUAUUGAUCCUUUAGGGUCUACAACACAAGGCGGAGGUGAAUGAUAGGAAUCGCCUCACUUUUGGAUUACACCAAAAUAUCAUCAGAAAAGAUAAUGACAAACAAGUCUAAGAACUGGUGGAAAACCCAAUUCAUAAGAUCCAUAAAUGUGGUGGGGCAUUUGUCAAACUAAAGGACAUCAUCAAAAACUCAAAAUGACCAUACCGCAUUCGAAAAGCAGUCAUAGGGAUAUUUGCCUCCCUAAUCUUCAACUAAUGGUACCCAAACCAAACAUAAAUCUUAGAAAAGAACUUCGCACCUUGAAGCUGAUCAAAGAGAUCAUCAAUCCUCAAAAGUGGAUACUUAUUCUUUAUAUUUUACUUUAUUUAGUUAGCAGUAGUGAAUACACAUCCGAAGGAAACCAUUUUUUUUACACAUGAAGAGAAUAAGAGCACCCCACAGAGACACACUAGGGCAGAUAAAACCCUUAUUAAGAAGAUCUUUCAACUACUCCUUGAGUUUCUUCAACUUUGCCAUAACCAUUUUGUAAGAAGGGAUAAAAAUAGGACGAGUGUCCGAAAGAAGAUCAAUCCCAAAAUUAAUUUCCCUAUCGGGAGGAAUACUAGAAAGAUCAUUGGGGAAUACCUAAGGGAAUUUACAGACCACAGGGAUAGUUUGCAAAGAAUGAACUUCACAUGUAGAAUCCUUAACAUAUGCACUAGGUGGUAGAGGCAUCCUUUCGAAACCAAUUUUUGGGCUUUAAGAUACAAGAUAAAUCUUUCCUUAGGCACUAGGGAACUACCUUCCCAUUCAAUUACCGGCUCAUUUGGGAAAUUGAAAUUGACCCUUCGAGUCCAACAAUUAAGAGAAAAGUAGCACAAACGCAACCAAUCCAUCCCCAAAAUCAUAUCAAAGUUUAACAUGUCUAACUCUAUCAUAUCCACAAGGGUUUCCCUACCAUAAACCGACAUCGCACAACCCCUAUAAUCUCUUCUGCCCAUAAUAGAGUCACCCACUAGGGUGGACAUAGAAAAAGGAUCCAAAAUACACUCUGGAUCAAAACCAAAAUAGAUUUCCACAUAAGGGGUCACAUAAGAAAGAGUAGAACCGGGAUCAAGUAGACAAUAUACAUUACGAGAAAAAUGUUUAAACGUACCAUAAAUAACAUCGAGUGAUUCCUCAAAAUCUUGGUGAGUGGUAAGAGUACUAGUAUCAGAGCUAGAAGAAGAAGUAACACCCUUUGGUGUAGGAGCAGAUGAUGUAGCAACAGGAAUCUUAUUCGCUCCAGAAGCAACCUUAGACAGAAAAUCUCUUUGUAGAUGACCAGUCUGACCACAUUUAAAGUACUUAUUCCUCUGACCAUAUUUAAAGUACUUAUUCCUAAUUUUCUUAUAGAAACCAUGAUGCAGUUGACCAUAAAUAUAUAAGAAGGAUAUGAUGGUCACCUGACAUAUUGAGAAUGACGGUCACCUGACAGAUUUAGAUAAGGAGCACUAGUCAUAAAUAGGAACCAGAAUUUUCCCACUUCUUUUUAGACCAUUUUAUACCAUCUCUCCCACUUUGCUACUGACCUUUAUCUUGAUUCGAAUAGCGAAACUUCUUAUUUUGCCUCUCGAUCAUCUUUGCUAGCUUAUUCUUUUCUUCUUCCACUUAUUAUAUAUACACUACUAAUCUAGAGAUGUCCACAUCCUUAUUCAAGAAGGAUUCCUUGAUCUCCAAGAUCAACGGGACAACCCUAAAGCAAACUUCCUCAUUCUAGCCCUCAUGCUGACAAUUGAUUAAACUUCAAGAAAUACUUUUUUACUGACAUCCUGUCUUGCUUAAAAUUCACAAAUUCCUUAGCCUUUGCCUUCCUCAACUCUUGUGGAAAGAAGCAAUCAAGAAAGACACUAGAGAAGUCAUCCCACAAGGUGAACUCAACAUCAUCACCCUUCAACUGGUCCUACUCCUCAUACCAUUGGUAUGCUACAUCCUUCAACUAAUAAGCUGUAAACUCCAUACCCUCCAUAUUAGUAUCAUGCAUCACAUAAAAGAUCUUUUCCAUCUUAUUAAUAAAGUUUUGAGGAUAUUUCUCAACUUUAGAACUAGUAAAAAUAAGAGAACUUACCUCAUGAAUUGGCCAACCCUAGUAGCCUCAGAUAAUAGAGUAAUAGAAGCAAUACACUCAAUUGAGAGGCUACCAAUUGGGUAAGUAAAUAAAUCAAUUGGCAAAACUCAAUAUUAGACACAUUAGCUUGAGGUGCCUGAGAAGGGAUAGGGUGAAACGGUGGAGCUCCCUCAAGGAAAUUAGAAGAAGCGACCUUCAACUGGGUCUGAACUCUUAGAGUUGGAUGAGCUACGCCCACAUUAUCCUCAGAUGGGGCAGAGGAUUUUCCACAGAUGUCAGAUCUUCUUGGAGGCAUGAUCUGAAAAGCAAACACACAAAAAUUAGAGGAGCUUCAAGACCUUAGACUCUAUAUCUUGAAAUAGAUCAAUAAGAAAGAGAAAUAUUCCUAAAUGCCUCGUAGCCUCUCCCUUGUAAAUAUGGCACGCUACACAUGCAUAAAUGAGACUCUACUUAACAUGGGUUUGUUGGACACCCAAAGACACCAAACCUAGGCUCUGAUUCCAUUUUUGUCACGCCUCAAACUAGGUCCUGGCCAUGAUAGGUAUCCUAAGUACCACGUGACCAAAGAUCACCCCAUGUACCUAACCAAACCAAACACAUCACACCCCAAGGUCGGAUAAAUUUCAAACAUAUAACAAAAUAGCAUGCAAUAACUUAAGAAAAAUUUAACGCAUGUUUAUAACUGAUGAUCGAUGACCAGCCAACCAGCCGACCAACACCGCUUAAUAACCACAAUAGACAAACAAAGCCUUCUAACAAUGAACCAAAAUUUAAUAUUAGGACAUACCCCCGACUAUAGCCAAAAAUAAUCCUAAAUAGUCUGAGACAUAAAAUUCUAAGCGUCGGCAAACACAGUUUCCAGUAUCGGUCACUCGGACCUCCACUUUUAGGUCUUAUCUAUACAACCCUUAUUAAAGCCCAAUUAAAAUAAGUAUCACAUAUUCCCAUUCAUUGAACCAUAUUACAUAUUCAGGCAUACAUUAUUGGUAUUGUCAUACCAACUACACUUGUAAGGUAAUAACAACAUGCCAAAAUAAUUUCCAUUAACUUAGAGAAAACAACUCCCUUUAUUUAUUAAUACAAGGUAAGAGAACACUAACUUCCUUUGUUUAUCAAAUCAGAUCGUUGUAUUUCAAAUGCCUCUUUAUAUCAUGCAAUAAUUCAAGACUAGUUGAAUUUUACAAAUUCCCACAUAUCUCAUAAUUAAAACUAAUUUCACAUUAUGGGGUUGGGGUCAUAACCACUUCAAAAGUCACAAGCUUGAGUAAUCAUAGUUCCCUUGUUCAUUCACCAUGCCCAUGCACCCACAAGUUCAAAACCAUAAUUUAAAGCAUGAAGAAUCAUAUGUAAACCAUGAGAAACAUUGUUCAAUUCAUAAACAUCAAAGCCACCAACCUUUAUUUCAAAACCAACAUAUCUAUCUCAUGAAAAAUACUUUAAACAUAUUCUUUUAACAAAUUAACAAUGAUGGAAGAGUAAUAUGCCUUAAACACUAAGAAAUUUAGAGAGAAAUCAACUCUUGAGCCUUUAGAUGACCAACUUGAUAAAACCCUAGCUUGAUUUACUUGGGGGAAUUUAGAGAGCCUUUUGGACUAUUUGAUAAGAUACUUAGAUUUUUUAUGAGUGCUAAUGAUACCCUAAAUAGGAUAUAAGACAUGGUUUUUAAUUUGGGUAAGAGAGGAAAUAUCCAGAAUGUCGUUAACUUAAAAGCUAAAAAAGUGCCACCAUUGACUAGGGUCAACCAUUGACUCAUAGCAAUUCCUUACGACUUGUCACCACGAGUUGUAACCAAGGUAAUAUCUAGGACUCCCAUUCACUAUUGACCCUACGACUCACUGGUACCACUCGUAGUGGGACCGUACAACUUGUUGGGUCCAAUAAUAGUCCACACAGAACCCAAUUGGGUAAACACUGGACAUCCUACAAUUUUCACCCAAUGACUCAUAACAAGUAUUUAUGGUUCAUGGUGAGCUCACUCGUACUCAGAGUAAAACUUAGCCACUAAAUUUUUGAUUUGGUUACAAUUUUAUCCCAAUGACUCAUCAUAAGUCAUUAUGACUCGUGUCCUCAAGUCGUACCUAAGAUAGAAAUAUGAACAACAUUUAGUGGACACCUUACGUUACCUGAUCUAUCAAGACACAUUAUGACUCAUUAGAUGAGUCAUUUCCAGGGUAGAAAACUUAAAACUCAGAAAAUCUUAGAGGACCAAAAACUUAGGGCAUUACAUAGGGGUGUUACUAUUAGUUCUUGAUAUAGAGGUAGAGGUGGUUUUAUAGGUGGUCGCAGAGUUAAUCAAUCUGAGAGUGGACACAGUCAGUUUUAUCCCAUAUCUUAUAGACCCAAGGUAGAGUCCUCCAAUAUAUUUAUUACAUGCAUCAUCCCCAUUUGCUAUAGAUUUGCUUCCAUGUUAUUUGAUCUUGAAGAAGAUUUCUCCUAUGUGUCCACAUAUUUUUUUCUAUAUUUGAUACUGCAUGUGAUCCUCUUGUUAUACCUCUUUGUGUUUCAACCCUCUUAAGAGAAUUCAUUAGGGGUGGAUCAGGUGUAACAAUCUUGUGUGCCUUUGCAUACUGUGAGACUUGGGUAGACUUUAUUUUUCUAAAUAUAACUGAUUUUGAUGUUUCCUUAGGUAUGGAUUGGUUAGCUCCAUUUAUGCUAUUUUGGACGAUUAUAACAAGAAUGUGACCUUAGCUACGUUGGGUGUGUUGAGGAUAACUUGGAAUGGUAUGCUUAAUUCGGGUCCUAAGGGUGUUAUAUCUUUUCUACGUGUUUUUCAUACGAUAAAUAAUGGGUGUUUGUCUUAUUUAGCUCAAAUCCAUGAUACUAUUGUUGCCUUAAUACCUCAUAUGGAUUCUAUUUGGGUUGUUUAUGAGUUUAUGGAUUUGUUUUAUACAUAUUUGCCUUGUAUACCUCUGGAUUAUGGUAUUAAUUAUCUAUUGAAGUGGAACUGAGCACUAAGCACAUUUCUAUUCCUCCCUAUAGGAUGGCCCCAACAGAGUUGAAGAAGUUAAAAAAGUAGUUACAGGAUUUGUUGGGUAAGGAGUUCAUUAGAUGUAGUGUAUCUCCUUGGGGUACACUUGCCUUGUUUAUAAAUAAGAAGAAUGGCUCUAUUCAUAUAAGUAUUUAUUAUAAAUAGUUGAACAAGAUGUAAGUUAAGUACAAGUGUCAUCUUUCUCGCAUUGAUGAUCAUUUUGACCAGCUUCAGGGAGCUUUGGUGUUUUUAAAGAUUAAUCUGAGAUUCGAGUAUUACCAAUUGAAGAUUAAAGCUUUGGAUGUUUUGAAAAUGGCUUUUCAAACUCGAUAUGUUCACUAUUAGUUCAUCGUUAUGUCUUUUGGGUUAACCAAUGUCCUUAUAAUAUUUAUGGAUUUGAUGAAUUGAGUAUUUUGAUCGUAUCUCAGCUCUUUUGUGAUUGUAUUGAUAGAUCACAUCUUGGUUAUUCCAAGAAUGAGGUUGACCAUGUGAAGAAUUUGAGGAUGGUAAUUCAGAAGUUGCGUGAUGAGAAGUUAUAUACUAAGUUUUCUAAGUGUGAGUUUUUAUUGGAUUUUAUCUUUUUCUGGGGUAUGUGGUGACUAAGGAUGGUAUUAUGAAAGAUCCAACCAAGAUAACGAUUUGUGAUUAUGAUAGACCACCCCUCCUAUCGAGAUUUAGAGAUUUGUAGGUUUAAUAAGGUAUAUUAAUAUUUUGUAGAGGGUUUCUAUAACACCCUCAAAAUUUUGAGUAUUUUUUUUUGCCCUCUUAUGUUCAAAACAUUAAUUUUUGAUUUAAAUGGUGUUUAUGCAUGAGAAUGGGGUGCCUCAGGAGAGUUUUGGAAUUUUUGUAUGGGGUUCGAGGUAGAUUCAAACCCCAAAUAAUAAGGAUCAAUAUCCGAAAGAUAAAAACUACCUAACUACCUAAGGAAACAAAGGAAAACCAAAUUCAAGAAAAAGAAAAAGAUAGGUAAAUUGACAUAAGAAACUACAAGGAAUUAAGAACCAAUGAGUGUAUCAAAAUCACAGACCCUUAAAACUCGUAGAAUCAAACAUCAAUUUCUUACGUGGACCAAGAGGUAUUCAAUACCCUUUAAUCCCCUAUUUCUAAGCAAACAUUCAAUAAAAGUUUCACUAAUACUCUCUCAAGACAAUGUUCAUCCAAUAUCAAAGAUAAACCAAAGAGAAAAUAACCCUAACAAAUAGCUAUUUAUAGUCUAGUACAAAAUGGGCCCAAAAGUGACCAAUGCAUGAAAUUACUGAAACACCCUUAAGUGAAAUUAACUCUCCAAAGCCGCCGGUUCCUCUUAUUUAGACUUUAAAGUGUGAAACACCUUGGAGGGACUCAAGAUAUGUUCAUACACGUCCAUCUUCAUAAAUAAGCCUUGAAGGAUUUGCUUAGAUCCUUGUAAAUGGUUUUGAACUCCUCAUGCUCGUAUCACCCUCUCCAUCUUGAAAAGAAUUUGACCUCAUAUUCAUGGAUUUAUCUCCCUCAAUAGUGUCAUUAAGUGAGAGGUCACACACAUUGAAUGUGUUGUGCACUUGGUAUUUCGGGGGAAGAUCGAUCUUAUAUACAUUAUCGUUGAUCCUUUCAAGAACUUGAAAGGGGCCAUCACCCCUCAGCAUCAACUUGUCCUUCUUUGUAUUGGAAACUGAUCCUUUCUAAGGUGCACCUACACCCAAUCUCCUGGUUCUAGAACAAACCUUAUUCGUCCCUUGUUGUCCCUCUUAGUAACUUCUUGGUUUCUCUUCUCAAGGUGUGCUCUCACCUUUUCAAAGAACUUCUUCAUAGCUUCCACUCUUUUGCUUCCAUCUAAGCUCAACAUAAGAUCACUAGACAAGGGGAUUAGAUCUAAAUGGGUAAGGGGAUUUAGGCCGUACACACACUCAAAGGGAGUCAUGCCGGUAGUCAAAUAGAUAACAUGAUUAUAACCAAACUCGACUAGGGGUAGGUGAUCCUCCCAAGAAGUCAUCUUACCUUUAACCAUGAAGUGUAGCAUAGAACCCAAAGUACUAUUUACUACUUCUAUUUGGCCAUCGGUUUGUGGGUGGCAAGAAGUUGAGAAUAGCAAUUUAGUACCAAGCCUACCCUACAUCGACUUCCAAAAGUGACUAAGGAACUGAAAGCCCCUAUCACUAACAAUGGUCCAGGGUAUCCCAUGUAGUUUAACAAUAUGCUCAACAAACAAAGAGGCUACACUAGAUGCAUCCUCAUUCUUAGAACAUGGGAUGAAGUGGGGCAUCUUUAAGAACUAGUCAACCACCACAAAAAUGCUAUCCUUACCUCUCCUCAUCCUUGGUAGCCCUAAAAAAAAGUCCAUAGAGAUAUCAACCCAAGGGAGUAGGAGAGUGGGUAGCGGGGUAUAUAAGCCUUGAGGAAGGAGGCGCGGUUUGACACUCCUACAAUCCAUGCAUUGGUCGUAAAUCCUAGAAACAUAAUUAUGCAUCUUGGUCUAAUAAAAUUGUUUAUCUAGGAUCCUGAGGAUAUUUUUAACCUCAAAGUGUCCCAUCAAACCAUCAUUUUGUGCCUCUCUUCGAAAUAAUUCAUGCCAAGAACUAGAGGGAACACACAACCUUCUUUCUUUGAACAAAUACCCAUAAAACAUUGAAUAGGGAGUAGAAACCCCAUAAUUGAUCCAUCUUUCCCUCCCCCACUCCUUAUAAUCUCUAAAUAUAAGAUAAAAUGUAGGGUCCUUGGGAUACAUUGUCUUAAGACUCUCAAAUCUCAUCAAUUUAGGAGAUAAUGUAGAAAUAAGCACAUGUUUCCUAGAUAAUGCAUCGACAACCACAUUUUUCUUUCCCUUUUUGUAUUGAAUGACAUAAGGGAAGGUUUUUAGGAACUUAAUCCACUCUGCAUGCCAUUAUUUAGCUUAUCUUAGGCCCUAAGAUUCUUCUAAGAUUCAUGGAUUAUUCAGAUCACAAAUUCUUUGGGCCACAAGUAGUGUUGCCAAUUACCCAAGGCUCGAAUCAAGGCGUAAAACUCUAAAUCAUAAGGGGAAUAAUUUAAAGUAGUGCCCUUGAUCUUCUCCCUAAAAUAGGCAAUAGGUUUAAGAUCUUGCAUUAAGAUGACACUUAUUCCUACUUUACUUGCAUCACAUUCAAUUUCAAAUAUCUUAUCAAAGUUGGGUAAUUGCAACAAGGGGGCGAAAGUAAGCACAGUCUUCAAGGUUUCAAAUUCUUUGGCUUGAUCUUCACCCAUUUGAAAGGUUUGUACUUUUAGAUGACCUCGAUCAAAGAAGCGACGACGGUACUACAUCCUUUAACAAACUGCCUAUAAAAACUAGCCUACCCAUGGAAGAUUCGUAUUUCACUAAUGGAUUUUAGAGUUGGGUAAUUAUUUAUAGCAUCUAUCUUAGAUUCAUCCACCUCGACUCCUCUUGAGCUUAAAACAAAUCCCAAAAACACAACUUCAUCCACACUAACAGAGCAUUUUUCAAGAUUAGCGUACAACUUUUCCUUUCUAAGGACUUCAAACACACUUUUCAAAUGUAAAACAUGUUCUUCAAGGAAUUUUCUGUAAACUAGGACAUCAUCAAAGUAAACCACAACAAACUUCCCAAUGAAUGGUUUUAUCACAUAAUUCAUUACCUGCAUGAAAGUAGUAGGAGCAUUAGUGAGGCCGAAUUGCAUAACCAUCUAUUCAUAGAGACCAAACUUGGUCUUGAAGGUGGUUUUCUAUUUAUUACCUAAUUGCAUUCUUAUUUGGUGAUAGCCGAUCCUAAGAUCAAUUUUUGAAAACACACAUGAACCAUCCAAUUCAUUAAGUAUAUCAUCCAAUUGGGGAAUAGGGUGAUGAUACUUUAUCGUUAUUUUAUUAAUGGCUCAGUAGUCAACACACAUGCACCAUGUUCUAUCUUUAUUUGGCACCAACAACACCAGAACCGCACAUGGACUCAUGCUUUCUUUGAUAUAUCCCUUUUUGAGGAGUUCCUCAACUUGUCUUUAUAGUUCUUUGGUAUCCAUAAGGUUACUUUGGUAUGCCGAUUUGUUUGGCAAUUGAGAGCCCGACUCAAAGUCUAUUUGAUAUUCAAUUCCCCGAAGUAGGGGUAACCCUUGUGGAAGUUCCUUUGGGAACACAUCUUCAAAAUAUUGCUAAACCAAGGAGAUAGAAUAAGGGAUAAAAUAAAUAGAGGGGUUAGUAAUUAAAACAUGGGCUUGGAGAAGCAUGGGUAUUUUUUCAUUAUGCUCCUUAAAGAGAUCCUUCUUCCUAGACAACAUCACCAAAGGCUUUUAUCCCUUUCAUUGUAUUGAUUUCUUCCCUUCUUCACCUUAUCUCUCUUCAGCUUCCCCUCCACUCUCUUUUCUUUUCUAUCUCCUUCAACUCUCUCAAUUGUUGAUGAAAUCCAUUCAUUUGUGAUAGGGUGAGAGGGUGGAGUGUAAACUUUCAGCCAUUGAAUUCAAGAGAGUAUUAGUUGAUUCUUGUAUCAUUCUUAGUGGAUAGAUCAUAUUGACAUAGCCUUCCCUAUAAUAAGUGACAAGCUUGCAUAGGGAUCAUAUUACAAAGCACCUUAUCUUGGUAGUUUCCUACCUUGAAUCGAUUUAUAACUUGCCAAGUUACCUUCAAUCUCCACAUUCAUUCAACCAUUGGAGUUUGUAAGGACUUGUAUGUGUAGUAGUGGGAAGCUUCAAGAAAUCAACCAUGGUGGCACUAGAAACAUUAGUAAAACUUCCAGUGUCAAUGAUCAUUGAGCACACACCUCCAUUAAUAAGGCAUUUGGUAUGAAAAAGAUUCUCCCUUUGACUAGGAUCAUCCAAAGCCUUACUAACCAUGACUCAUCUUACCACACAGUUUGGUACUUCAAGAUCACCACCUUGUGGCCAAGUGUCUUCUUCAUCUUCCUUCUGUUGAAUAUCAUUUUUUAUAUACUUUCCAUCUCGAGACUUGUCACCAUUUUUAUCUGUUUCUAAUCCCACCUCUUAUCCAAGAUAAUACAAUUUUCAUUCCCUAAGGAUCAUAUUUCAUCGAUUAGGACAUUUUUUUGCCUUAUGCCCCCCCCCCUUGACAUUUAAAGAAUUUGAAUUCCUUAGAGUUGGAAGUAGGAUACUUGUUACCUUCAUUUCUUGGAGGAUGUUUUGGGGCAUCCUUGGCUAUGGGUUGCUUUUCAUUGGAUUGGUGAUCUUUAUUUUGUUACAACUCAAGGAUGAUUUAGCCAAUUCUUUGUUCUUACCCCAAGUAGUGGAUGAUGGAUGAACCUUUAAUUUAUAGUCGCUUUCUCUUUGAUCUCCCUUUCAAUUUCUAAUGCCGCUUGGAUGAUACUAUCUAUGGUCUCAAGCUUGUGAAGAGUCAUGCACGAGGAUAUAUAUUUGUUCAAACUAACCUUGAAGCGUAUGAUGUCAUGGUUUAAUUGCUCCCCUUAAUGAUCAAGCUUCAAAAUCAAUUAUUGAAACCUAUCGUAGUAGGCCAUAACACUCUUGCUUCCUUGCCUCAAGUUGUAUAACUUGGCAAGGAGCUUAUGUCUAUACCUCUCCAACAAAUACCAUUUCCUCAUAAGUACCUUCAAUAUGUACCAUAGAGGAGGUUGUCAUUCAUUCAUCAUAUUCCCAAACCUUUUGGUAUACUCCCACCAUGUGUUGGCAUAACCUUUGAAGUAGGCUAUGGUAUAGCAAAUCUUCUUAUCUACGGUGAGAUUAUUAAAUUGGAAGAUACUUUCAUAGGAAGAUUCCCAUGAAAGAUAAACUUGGGGAUCACUCUCACCUUUGAAAAUUGGAAGACAAACCUUGAUGGAAUUGAUACCCACUUAUCAAUCUCGGUUACCUUGUUGAUUCCAUUGACCAACUCUCUCUCCUCGGCCUUGAAGUCCCCUUUGAUCUAUAUGUCUACCUCUCAUAUUUCCUUUCAUCACAUAGGCAUCAUCAUUAUCUCCAUAAUCCUCUUAUUGUUCCUCUCUACCAUAUUUCUCUACAUGGACGGAAUGGUUUUGGUUAUGUGGAGCUUGGUAUGGGGGAACUAAAUUUGGUGGAGAUUGAGGCAUUUGGUUAAGUGGAGCUUGGAAAGGAGGAAUCAAAUUUGCGGAUGGCAUUUGGCUUCCAUUUUAUUCUUGUUGUCUUUGGUUGAAUUGACGAUGAAGUGGUGUAUUGAGAUUUUGGCUUUGAGGAUAACUGGUAUUUUGGGUCGUGGGAUUUUGUGUACGUCUUAGUGGGUUAAACAUUUGGUGAAAGGUUUCCAGGGUAAUGGUAGCAAAAGUGUUUUGAGCAUGUCCACUUGAAUAAACAUGGUAGUGUUGAGGAGUGGAGGGACGGUGUUCCUUUUUCUUUCCACAGAUUCCAACCUUUCACUCAUAGUAGACAUAUCCCCUUUCACUGAGGACAUAUCCGAUUGUAAUCUCUCAAUGCUAUGGGUGAGAGCAUCAAGAGAGGCCAAGAUAGUUUUAUUGACAUUGUUCUCCACGGUUUGAGAUGUUUUUCCUUCUGUUGCCAUUGUACCUAAGAAAUACACUAACAAAAACAACAAACAAGUUAGAGUUAAAAAAAAGAACCUCACAACUCUACUCUCCUUUGGUUACCUCACACUUGGCUUCACAAGUGUUGAAUAUUUUCUUAUAUUCCGUGAGAAGUUGAGGGAUGAUAUCUACUCUUUCCCAAAAUGGAUUUUUUUAUGUGACAAAAAGAAAUCUCAUACGGACUUGAGCCAAGAAGCUACGAUGAAUUGAAAAUGAGAAAAGCACAAAAAAAAAGAAAACACGAAGAAAACAGAUUCAAAGCUAACUCACAACUAACUAGGUGAUUACUAGUCGCUAAUUAGCAUUAGAAUCAAUAAACAUAAACCUAAGAAUCAAAGAAAAGAAACUAAGAAUCUAAAUUUGAGCUUAAGGUAAUUGGACGGCAGAGUAAAAUGGAUGCGCUAAAUUUGACGUUGAAUGCUGGUUGACGUUUUGGAGAUUUCUUGUUUCCAAUUUGAACUUCAAUCAAUAUUCAUCUUGGAGGUGUUGAAAUCGGUUAUGCAUGGAAAAAUACAAAGAAUUUGGACCUUUCAAUUGUUCUUUCAAGCUCAAGGGAGUUCGAAUUUUCUUAUGGUCCCCCCCCCCCCACAUACUUUUCUUUGUCUUCUUCUUUGAGAAUAUUCUUUUUUGAUGCUUUUUGUUUCUUUUCUUUUUUUGAAAGACUUGGAAUAUCCUUGGAAUAUUCUUUGAGACAAACAAGUUCCACACCUUCUCUCACCUCCUUUUUUGAUCAAACAACCAAUUUUUGAAUGUUCUUCUUCAAUAAUAUAUGAAGAUGAUGAAGAACACAAAGAACAUUCAAACUUGAACCUAAUCAAAUGACCUCGAAAUUUGAUGAUUUUUUAUUUUCCAAGCUCACGUUGAACUCCUAAACACAACCAACACAUUUUUCAACCCAAAAUCUCAACAAAAACAUUCCAAAUUCGAGACCUCACCUUCAAGCUUCUUUAACUCAAGCUCAAUAAUGGUGGAUGACUCAAUAUCAACCCGAAAAUAGCUCAAAUUCAAGAUCUAGACUCUAUUAGUGUUAGGGAAUAAGGAUCUUACACUAGAAAGACCAAAAGACACAAAAAUCUAAGACCUAAAGUUUCAGCCUAGGGGUAAAAUGGGAAUAAUACUUUUUUUAAAUUUUCAGCUUUGAUACUUUUAUUUUGUGGAUUUUCAAGAUAAAAAACCCAAGAUUGACUUCGUAGGAAUGAAAUCAAGCUCGAAUCUAAUACCAAAUGAUAAGGAUCAAGAUAAAAAAAAAUAAAAACUACCUAAGGAAACAAAGAAAAACCAAAUUCAAGAAGAAGAAGAUAGGUAAAUUGAAAUAAGAAACUGCAAGGAAUUAAGAACCAAUGAAUGUAUCAAACUCGAAGACCCCUAAAUCUCAUAGAAUCAAACACCAAUUUCUUAAAUGGACCAAGAGGGAUUCAAUACCCUCAAAACCCCCAUUUCUAAGCAAACAUUUAAUACAAGUUUCACCAAUACUCUCUCAAGAGUAAUGUUCAUUCAUUAUCAAAGAUAAUCUAAAGAGAAAAUAACCCUAACAAGGAGCUAAUUAUAGUCUAGUACAAAAUAGGCCUUAAAGUGACCCAUGCAUGAAAUUACUAAAACACCCUUAAGUGAAAUUAACACUCCAAAGCCGCGGGUUUCUCUUUUUCACACUUCAAAAUGUGAAACAUCUUGGAGGAACUCAAGACAUGUUUACACGCGUCCAUUUUCAUGAACAAGCCUUGAAAGCUUUGUAAUUCCCGAUCUUGGCUCUUUGUAAAUGGUUUUGAACUCCUCAUGAUCGUAUCACCAAAGGCAGUGAGACUUUGAGAUAUCCUUAUGUCAUGGAGAAUAGUUUCCACAUUAAGGUCCAUGCCACAGAGGAUAGUUUCCACGUUAGGCUCUAUGGCACGGAGGAUAGCCUCUGCGAUGAGGUCUGUGCCAUGGACCUAUGUAAAAUUUGGGUAGUUUUGUGUUAUUUCCUUUAGGAUGAGGGGUAAUGAGGUAUUUUCACCUAUGAAUGACCUUUAAACACUAUAUGAACCUGUUUCCACCAGUUUUUAUGUUACCAAGACUAUUAUUCAACUCCCAAACUAAAAAACCCCAAGAAAGCCAAGGGUUUCAUUGUACGUUCAUAUUUUGGGUUUCAAGCUCCAAAUUAAUUUUCAAUUAUCGUGUGUCCAAGGAAUGUAUCUCUUUCCAUAUACUUGUAUUUUAUUAAUGGCAUAAAAUUGAUUUAGUAUUCACAUGGUUUUGAUGUUGGGUUUGAAUUAUGGGUUGAGGGUUUUGGAUAUAAAUUGUUUAAAUAUUUUCUCAUGAUUAUACAUUGAAUUAUUGGUUUGUGCACUCAUUGGGGUGAAUGGGAAUGGUGGAUGGAAUAAGGGUACAAUGGACUCUCUAAAUUUUCAAACUAUGGUAAUAGAGGUACAAUGAAAUCCCCAAUAAUUGGUUUUGGUAGGGAAACUGAUAAUAAUCUCAACCCAUUUGCAUAAUGGAUUUUGGAAUAUAAAUUAUCAUUUGGUUUGGCUUAUCCUUUACGAAACUAAUGCAUUGCAUAAAUGGAUAACAAUAAGUAUAAUCUUGAAAACCUUGCGGGGUACAACAGACUCCCCCAAGUGAAUGAUUUUCUUACAAACAUUGUGGGGUACGUAGGAAUCCCCCAAGUGAUUUUAAUAAUGAAGUCUACGGGGUAAGAAGGAAUCCCCUAAGUGUUGUCUUAAUGAAAUUAAUUACAAGAUAUAGUAGGUAUGAUAAUACCACUUAACAAUGACUUAAUAAUUGACUCUAGAAUUGGUGGAUGGGUUAUGUGUUAAAUGUUUUACUUGGGCUAAAAGAGGGUUAUGAUAGCUAGUCGUGAAGGUGUGAGUCCUGAAGGACUAAUUAUAGAAACUCAUGUUUGCCAAUGUGAGGAUUAGUCUUGAUGACUACUUUCUUAUGGGGUAUAAAAAAAUCCCCCAAGUAUAUAUAUAAUUGUAUCAUAGUUGGCGAAGGGUACAUCAGAAUCCCCGGCCUUCUAUGAUAUCUCCAGUUUGUGUGGCUAACAUGCACUGGGGCCCGACUAAGGGGUUACAAUUGAUCCCAUAUAGCCUGUGGUUGGUUUUAGGAUGGUCAAGCUACACAACCUAGGCUAAGGUUUUAAAGUUCAUGAUAACCAUGUUCCUUCCCCCAGCAUCCUUUAUAUAUAUAUAUUCACAUAUACACACAUAUGGAUAUCCAUGGAUACGUACAUGUGCAUUUGUUUGACUUGGUUUUGGAUUGGUGACAUUAUUUUAUCCUGUAUCCUUGAGUUACAUACCAGCACUCCAACUGAUAAGCGUCUUCAGAUAAUAUAUCCCCAUACGAUAUAGGGACUGAUCGUACUUCUAUUCCUCAUACAUAGUUACUAGGUAAUCGAGGGAUAACUCGUGCGUCACACUGAAGUGGUGAGCUUUCAUUCUUAGGAAGACCCCAUUUUAUACUUUGAGUUUCCUUAUGUUUUGGCUCUUUCUUUUGGACUUGGUUUUGGCUAUGGUCGAGGGCAUGUUUUGACCAGACUAUCUUUGGUUUCCAUAGAGAUUUUUUUGUAUAUUACCACAGACAUGGGUAUUAUGGUUGGUUAUCGGUAUUGGUUAUUGGUUGGUGGUUGCUGAAUAUUAAUCUAUCAUAGAUUUUUUUGGGUGUUUUCUUAUCAUAUCUUGUUUUAUGUUGAAGUUCAUCCGCUGCUAGGUAUACUUGGUUAUGUUGGAUUAGGCUAAGGGGGUGGUCUCCGGUCCUCGGUGGACUUGAGAUGCCCAACACGACUAGGUAGUGAUUUGGGUUGUGACAGUUUCUUGUAUAUUGCUGACUCCCCCCACCUCCGACCAAUUUGACUCAAAAAAUGUGAUUUUUCAAUAGUUAGAUGUGUGUGAGAAGAGCUUUCAAAGGAUCAAAGAGUAAUUGACUUCGGCUUCUAUCAUGAUUUACCCAAAGAGGGUAUGGAUUUUAUUGUGUUUUGUGAUGCUUUUGGUGUUGGUUAGGGUGCAGUGUUGAUAUAAGGGGGUAAGGUGAUUGUUUAUGCCUCUCGUUAGUUGAAGCCUCAUUAGAGGAAUUACCCUACCAAUGAUUUGGAGCUAGAAGCCUUCGUGUUUAUAAUUAAGUUGUGGUGUCACUACUUGUAUGGAGUUUCCUGUGAGAUUUUCUUGGACCAUCAUAGCCUUCAAUACUUCUUCAAACAGCGAGAUCUUAAUAUGAGGAAGCGGUGUUGGCUUGAGUUGCUUAAGUAUUUUCUCAUGACCCAAAAAUAAGGGUCAUGAUGGCACAUGCCGCGACGAACCUUGACAAGUAAGCCUCCCACCCAGACUGAUUCACACGAGGAAAAGAUAGAAAUUUCCUCCAGGUAAGGCUUCUAGAACAAAGCCAAACCACAUAGACAUAACAAAAACGGAAAGAAUAAAAUUAAUGCAUACAUAUAUAACUCCUAAAACCUAGUGUCAGAGGUGUAAGAACUAUUAAUACCAUCCAAGAGUCAAAUACACCAGAAAAAUAACCACAAAGGAAUAAUAUCUCUCUCUGAAUACUAAUAAAGAUAUAACUAAUACAGAAAGAUAGAGGUCAACUCCGGAUGUAUGAAUGUCUAAACACUACCUUUAAUAAUUUGAAAGCGCCCUAAAAUCAACUAGUCUGAGGCGCACCCAAACCUGAAGCUGCACCUAAAGGGUGAAGUAGAAGUGAGUACGGUCCUCUUGUACUCAGUAGGUAUCAUAGGACGACCGAGCAAAGUAGAAAAUAAAAUAUAUAAAAUACACACUAAGGGCACAUCACCUGCAAUCAAAAAAUGUCCCGCAAUGGUAGCCCACACCGCUUGCUCUAACAGUUUUAAUAUAUCACAUACAUUACAACAUCAUUCCAAGUUAGAACAAGUAUUCAUUAUAUCACAUAUAAGUAGAACAAGGGGGAACAUGCAUAUCCAAGAUUAUCAAAUACAAGUAAAAGAAAAUACGAUAACUACAUAAAUGGGAAGUCAAUAUGGUAAUAGAACACAAUAUAAACACAAAAAAUUAAGUGCAAUGUAUAUAAUGAUGAUGAUGAUGAUGAUGCACAAGGUCAUCACACAACCUCCGGGAUUGUUGCAUAAUCCCCGUAUACACCAAUGGAGUUAAGCCUCCAAAUGCAGGACCCAUGGGGGGGUUUUCAACCUGUAUACAAUCCAUAUAUCUCAUAUCUCCUCCCCGAAACAUCCCUUGGUGAGGGUUUUAUAAGGUGUUACAAUAUCUCCUCUCCGGUACUUCCCUCCGGGGAGGGGGGGUUAUAAAAAGUGUUGCUCCGUGGUGGUACUAAUGCUUCAUGAAUGAGUAUGAUAUGAGUAUAUAAUGCUCACAACCAAUUAUAAUGAUAUAUUUCCACAACCAAUGACAAUUAUACCUUUCCACAACAACGUGAGCCAAUAUUCAGUCACUAUUUUUGUUUCGUCCAUGAAUUUUCACGUCUCAUAUAACAACAGGUAUGAACAUAUCACAAUACACCAAUGGUACCACAUUAGGUAUUUCAACAACACAAUAUAAUUAUUCACAUAUAUUCAAGGUUAUCAACAUCACAUAGGACCCCACACUAUCACACAUAUCGCAUAAUAUAUCAAUUUCAAUAAUUACAUUACAUAUAGGUCCCCGCACAGACACAACACAUAAAUAGUCAUUUUUCAUGGUUAGUUCCCACCCUUAACAUGCAUUUUGUAUCAUCAUUUACUACCCAUCUCAAUCUAAAAGAGUUAAGCGAUAACCUACCUCAAAAGCUGAAAUACCGCUACCAAGACUUUGACUAAAGCCUUACUCCUCACUAAUGGUUCCAAAAUCUACUAAAAUCAUCAAAUAUGUAAUCUACGCAUCAAAACAAAAUGAACGACACCUAUAUUAACUACUUUUGGUUUGGGGUCAAAAUGAAGCCCUGAAAUGAAUUUUUGAAAAAAAGGGUAAAAUCUUAACUUUACUUCAAAAACAUGUUUCCCAUAUAUUUAGAAACCUACGGCUGAAAACCUAAGUUAUUGAGUAAAAAAAGAGGUUCAAAUUGAAGAAAAAUUAUUUUAAGCUUUACCGGGUAAAAUCUUUGAAAUUCGGGUUAAAAUUAAGAAUCAAAAUUGUUUUGAAGGUUAAAAAGAUGAAAAAUUAGUAAUUAUAAGAUUAAAAUAUUAUUCGAGUGAAAAGAUAUAAAAUUGAGGUUUAAAAUCAAGCCCUAAGAUUUUUGAAUAUUUGAGAAUAUAAUCAAGAAUUACUAAGAAAAUGAAUAAUUUCUUACCUUAAAUCUAUAAUAUAAUCAAGAAAUAGAUGUUAAUCUAGCUUCCUAAGCUCCCACAAGCUUCACUUUUAAUCUCCCACACUAUUUAGGGUUUGACUCUCAAGUGACAAGGUGAAAAUGAACAAAAUUGGCCCAAUUUUUUUAAGUCCGGAUGGGCUUCGACAGGGUGCCCGUAAUUCAUUCGGAGUUCGAUAUACACAAACGAACUAUGUAACCACACUAAAUUCGAUGCUCCAAACUCAAUGGAUAUAUCAUAUUUUCUUUAAAACAUCGUUUUCAUAAAGUUGACCCCUGAAACCCAAAAUUGCAAUUUUCCAACUCGAGGAUCGAAAUGAGAUUUAAAAGCCAUAAAAUCUCACCAAACAUGUUAUGACCCUAAAAUAGACAUUCUGGAUCUGCUGGCAAAGUUGGAUUUUCCAUAUGAGGUCGUUUUGAUCAAAUGUUGGUCCCACACCCAUAUUUCUAAUUUUCUAACUUUUCGACCAAUAGGUUGAAAUGAUCUCGGAUGCACGGAGACUCGAACCAAAAGUCUACCUAGUCUAAAAUCAAUAUUUCAGAGCUACAGGCGUAGUCCAUUUAGCAAUCCAUCGCACGGAUCAAAAGAUAUUUAUAUAAGUCCAAAAUAAGGCUUUCGAAGUUAUCAAAAACCACAAUAUCGAAUAAAUGGUGCCAAAAUGCAUCAAAAACCAUGCCAAUCACCCCCACGCUCCAGAAAUACAAUAAUGGAACUACUGGGAGGGGUAAAAUAGUCAAAUCACAUAGAAAUACACAAUUCACGUAUUUCAUAAAAAAACUGGUUGUUACAUCAUCCACCACUAAAAAUCUAGUUCGUCCUCGAACUAAGACAAAGAAAUACCUGAAUCAACGAAGAAUUAGGGAUAAAAAUUAUGCAUGUCAGACUCGACCUCCUAAGUAGACUCAUCUAUAGGUUGAUGUUUCCACUGUACCUUAACCGUAGGGAUCAUUCUAGAGCACAAUCGCCUAAUAUUCGUAGCCAAUAUGGAGGCCGGCUCCUCAACAAAAUACAACCGCUCAUUUAACUAAACUGACUCCCAAUGAAUAACAUGAGACUCAUCUGGAAUGUCACGGCGAAGCAUAGAAAUAUGAAAAAUUUGACAAAUAGAUGAUAGAUCAGGGAGCAAUACCAACUCAUAAGCCAUAUCACCCAUAGUUCGAAGAAUCUCAAAUAAACCAAUAUACCUGGGGCUAAGCUUCCCCGUCUUUCCAAACCAUAUCACACCCUUCAUGGGUGAAACUCGAAGGAAAACACGAUCACCAACAUCAAAUCUCAAGGCAUGAAGUCUGCGAUCAACAUAACACUUCUGCCUACUCUGAGCAGCUCUAAGUUUAUCUUGAAUGACCUAGACUCUAUACAAAGACUCACAAAGCAAGUCUGUACCUUGAGGUUUCACCUCUGAAACAUCAAACCAACCUAUUGAGGAGAGAUAAUGCCUACCAUAUAAUGCCUUAAAAGGAGCCAUGUUGAUACUGUAAUGGUAGUUGUUGUUAUAUGCAAACUCUACUACAACUAAAUUCUACUCCUACUGGCCACCAAAAUCCAUCACGCAUGCGUUGAGCAUAUCCUCCAAAGCCUGGAGAGCCUGCUCUAACUGGCCAUCAAUCUGGGGGUAAAACAUUGUGCCAAGAUCAACCCGAGUACCCAACUCAUCCUGAAAAGUCUUCCAAAAGUGACAUAUGAACACAGAGAGCCUCGAUAUGAUAUAAUGGACACUGACACACCAUGAAGACACACAAUCUCAAGGAUGUAGAUAUGUGCCAACCUCUUAACACUGAAUGAGACCUGAAUCAAAAUAAAAUAAGUUGACUCGAUCAAUCGAUCCACGAUGACCCAAACACUAUAAAAACCAUGAGAUGUAUGAGGCAAACCAGUCACAAAGUCUAGGUUGAUCCAUUCCCACUUUCACUCAAGAAUGGGCAACCUCUGAAGCAAUCCAUUAAGUCUCAUAUACUCGGCCUUCACCUGCCGACAACACAGGCAAAAAGCCACAAAAUUUUCUAUAUCUCACCUCAUACCACCCCACUAGUAGUUCUAUCUCAAAUUAUGAUACAUCUUAGUCACACCUGGAUGGAUGGAAUAUCUAGAACAAUGGGCCUCCUCCAAGAUCAACCUAAUCCAAUCACACACUCUCAGCAUACAAACUCGGCCUCCAAUCCUCAAAACUUUAUUUGAAAUAAGUGAGCCUUCCUUAGCCUCCCCACUCAACACAUUAUCUCGAAUCAACAUCAUCAAACUCAUGAGCUCGAAUCUGCUCCAUCAAAGGAGAUCUAGCCUCCACAAAUGCCAAAAUGAGCCCAGGUAUCAAAAUAUCAAGCCUAACCAUCUAGUUAGCUAAGGACUGAAACUCUAAGGAAAAAGGCCUCUCCUAGAUCAAAAGAUGCGCCAAGCUACCAAUGAUAGUCGACUUUCGGCUCAAGGCAUCCGUAACCACAUCACCCUUGCCCGGAUAAUAGAGAAUAGUCAAGUCACAAUCCUUAAGCAACACAAGCCAACGACGGUGCCUCACAUUAAGAUCUUACUGGGUGAAGAAGUACUAAAGACUACAAUGAUCUGAGAAGAUCUCACAACGGACUCUAUAAAAGUAGUACCUCUAUAUUUUCAAGGCAAACACAACUGCGCAUAAUUCCAAAUCAUAGGUAGGAUAAUUUCUCCCAUGAGGCUUCAACUAACGAUAUGUAUAAGAAAUCACCUUUCCCCCUUCAUCAACACCACCUCCAAUCCAACAUCUGAAGCAUCACAAAACACGAUAAAUCCAAUGCCCUCCUUGGGCAAAGCCAAUAAAGGAGCUGAAGUUAACAAAUUCUUAAACUUUUGGAAGCUCGCCUCACAAGCAUUAGACUAAUGAAAGAAAAUCUUCUUUUGAGUCAACUUAGUCAAAGGAGAUGCAAUAAAAGAGAAACCCUCAACAAAACAUCGAUAAUACCAAGUCAAGCAAACAAAACUCCAAAUCUCGGUGGGAAAAGUAGGUCUAGCCAAAUCACAAACCACUGCAACCUUGGUUGGAUCAACCAUAAUACCUUUCCUAGUCACUAUAUGACCCAAGAAAGAAAUAGACUCCAACCAAAACUCGAACUUAGAGAACUUCGCAUACAACUUCUAAUCCCUCAAUCUAUGAAGCAUGAUUCUUAAAUACUCCUCAUACUCAACCUCACUCUUGGAAUACACCAAGAUAUCACCUAUAAAUACAAUAAUAAAGGAGUCAAAAUAUGGUUGGAACACCCGGUUCAUCAACUCCAUGAAUGUGGCAGGGGCAUUGGUCAACCUAAAGACAUGGCCAAGAACUCAUAAUGACCAUAUCGAGCUUAAAAAGUUAUAUUCAGAACAUUCGAAUCUCUAAUCCUCAACUAGUGAUAACCAGACCUUAAAUCUAUCGUAAAAAACACCACAACACCCUGAAGCUAAUCAAAUAAAUCAUCAAUGUGAGAAAGAGGAUACUUAUUCUUAAUUGUCACCUUAUUCAACUAUCAAAAAUCAAUAUACAUAUGCAUAGACCCAACUUUUUUCUUCACAAACAAGACAGGCACACCCCAAGGUGAUACACUAGGUUAAAUAAAUUCCUUAUCCAAUAACUCCUGCAACUGAUCCUUCUAUUCUUUCAAGUCUGUCGGGCCCAUCCUAUAAGAAGGAAUAGAAAUGGGUAUGAUGCUCGUCUCAACAUCAAUAUCCAAAUAAAUAUCUCAAUCACGAUGAAUACCAGGCAAGUUUGUAGGGAACACAUCCAUAAACUCAAAAUCAACAUGAAUAAAAUCAGAGAAAGAAGGUGAAACAACACUGGUGUCAUGAAUAUGAGCCAAGUAAGAGACACAUCCCCUCUCAACCAAUUUAUGAGCCUGAACAUAAGAUAUAAUCCUCUUAGGACCUGAAUAUAGUACACCCUUCCAACCUAUCUUGGCACACCCGUCGAAGAUAAAGUCAUAGUCUUAGCAAAACAAUCUAAGACAUCAUGAUAAGGAUCCAAUCAAUCUAUACCCAAAAUAACAUCAAAAUCAACCAUAUCUAACACAAGUAAGUUUAUCAAAGUCUUACGCCCGUAAAAAUUUAUAACACAAGAUUGAUGCACCCAAUCUACCACUAAAGAAUUACCAACUGGGUAGAUACACAAAUAGGCAUGGAAAGAGGCUUACUAACAGAAUCAAAACCCAAAGCAAAAUACACAGACACAUAGAAGAAAGACAAUCAAAGAUCAAAUAAUACAGAUAUAGGUCUGAAACAAAUAGAGACAAUACCUAUAAUCACAACAUCAGAAGCCUCUGCCUUAGGUCUAGCUAGUAUAACGUUAAAGUGACUAUGACCCCUAACUAGUUGAGUAGCCCCACGACCACCAUUACAGGCUCCACUAUUUCUACUUCUCGCUUUUCUAGUAGUACCCCUACCUCUCAAAGCUAAAAUAGAAGUAGCCCGAAUUACCCAGUGGGGAAAAUCCCUAGACACAUGGGCAAUCUCAUCACACACAUAGCAACCUCUACGACCAGUCUUAAUAGGACAAGGUACAAAUAGGCCCGAGAGGCAACCCUGAACUGUUGAACUAGAAGAUACUCCACCUAAACUUUAUAAAGCCUCUUGGACUGGCCUAUCUUGGUAUCCAUGAGAACCUUUAAAAUUUCUACCUCAAGAGGUUUGACUCCAGAACUGAUCAAAAUGUCAUGCUUUAUUAGUACCUCCCUGAGAUGCACUAAGAAUAUCCUCUAUCAUCUUAGCAUGAUCCACAAUACUCUAAAAAAAAGCCCCAAAUAUAACCAUCUGAGAUGUAGCCAACUGAACAGAAAAUAUCCAAAUCCAUAAUGAACUUUCAAAUAUUUUCAAACUCAGUGAAAAUACUAUCAUAGAAAUAUCUGGACAGGACAGGGCAUGGAAGCAUGCCUUAUACUCAGAAACUAUCAUGUAGUCCUACUCUAAAUGAUCAAAUUUAUCCCACAUAGCAUCUCUCAAAUUGAAAGGAAUAAAUCUCUCCAAGGAGGCAUCAGAAAACUAAUCCCAAGUCAUAUCAGGAGAAUCACAGGGUCUAUAGCUCACAAGCAACCUCCACUAUUCUCUAGCACCAUCUCUCAACUGAUAGGUCAUACAGGCAACACUAUCCACAUAAGAAGAGUGAAACACAACUCAGAACAUAAGGUAUGAAAGAACUUCGUACGAUAAAGAAUAAAAUAUGAGAAUUUUUCUAAAGAUGUCCUAUAGCCUCUCUAUGAUAGAUAGGAAUGUCAACGUACCAAUUUGCGACUCUAUUAGACAUCUUGUUCUUACACUAUUGAGACCAAUGAACUUGGCUGCUUUGAUACCAAUUUGUCAUGACCCAAAAAAGGGUCAUGAUGGCACAUAUCAGGCAAACCUCAACAAGUAAGCCUCUCACCUAAAAUGAUACACAUGAGAAAAAGAUAGAAAUGCCCCCAGGUAAGGCUUCUUGAAUAAAGCCAAACCACAUAGAUAUAAUAAAAUCAAAAAUAAUAAAAUCAACACAUGCAACCAUAACUCCAAAAACCUGGUGUCAAAGGUGUAAGAACUACUAAUACUAUCCAGGAGUCAAGUAUCUCAAAAAAAUAACUAUAAAAGAAUAAUAUUUUUCUCCGAAUACUAAUAUGAACAUAGUUAAUACAAAAAGAUAGAGGUAAACUCCAUACAUAUGAAUGUCCAAUAGCUACCUCGAGUAAUCUGAAGGCACCCAAAAAUCAACUAAUCUGAGGUACACCCGAACCUAAAGUUGCACCAAAAGGGUAAGGUAGGAGUGAGUACGAUCCACUGGUACUUUUUAGGUACCAUAGGCCGAUCGAGCAAAGUAGAAAAUAAAGCAUUCAAAAUACACACUAAGGGCGCAUCACCUACAAUUAGAAAAUGUCCCACAAUGAUAACCCACACCACUUGCACUAACCAUUCUAAUAUAUCAUAUAUAUUGUAACAUCACACCAAGAUAGAACAUACAUGAAUUAUAUCGUAUAUAAGAAGAACAAGGGGAAACAUGCAUAUAUAAAAUCAUCAAAUACAAGUAAAAGAAGAUAAGAUAAUUACAUAAAUGACAAGUCAAUAUGGCAAUACAAUAUAAUAUAAACACAAUAAAUUAAGUGCAAUGUAUAUAAUAAUGAUGAUGAUGAUGCACGAGGUCAUCGUACAACCUCCAAAAUCUUCGUAUAAUCCUUGUAUACACCUAUAGAGGAAAGCCUCCCAAAUGUGGCACCCAUGGGGGGUUUGUAAACCUGUAUAUAAUUCAUAUAUCUCAUAUCUCCUUCCCGAAAUAUUCCUCGGGGAGGUUUUUGUAAGGUGUUACAAUAUCUCCUCCCUAGUACUUCCCUCGAGGAGUGUUUUAUAAAAGGUGUUGCUAGUGUUUCUCAAAUGUUUCCAUGGUGGUACUAAUAUUUCAUGAAUGAGUAUGAUAUAAGGAUGUAUUCUCAAAACCAAUCACAAUGAUAUAUUAUCACAAUCAACCAUAAUUAUACAUUUUCACAACCACGUGAGCCAAUAUUCACUCAUUAUUUUCGUUUCGUCGAUGAAUUUCCACAUGCCUCAUAUAACAAUAAGUAUGAAUAUAUCACAAUAUACCAAUGAUACCAUAUUAGGCAUUUCAAAAACACAAUACAAUUAUUCACAUAUAUUUAAGGCUAUCAACAUCAUAUAGGACCCCACACUGUCACACAUAUCAUAUAAUAUAACAAUUUCAACAAUUAUAUAACAUAUAUGCCCCCACACGGGCACAAUACAUAGAUAUUCAUUUUUCAUGAUUAAUUCCCACCCUUAAAAUGUAUUUUGUACCAUCAUUUACUAUCUAACCCAGUGUGAAAGAGUUAAGUCAUAAUCUACCUCAAAAGUCAAAAUACCACUACCAAGAAUUUUCUCCCAAAGCAUUACUCCUCACGACCAGUCCAGAAAUCCACUAAAACAUCAAAUAUAGAAUCUACACAUAAAAAUAGAAUUUACACAUCAAAAUAAAAUCAUACACCCAUAUUGACUACUUUUGGUUUGGGGUCAAAACGGACCCCCGAAAUGGGUUUUUGAAAAAAGAAGAGAAAAAUCGUAAAUUUACUUCAAAAACAUGUUAACCAUAUUUUUAGAUAGAUAUAGCUGAAAACCCAAGUCAAAUCAAAUAAAAAUGAGGUUCAAAUUAAAGAAAAAAUAUUUUUAAACUUUUCCAGAUAAAUUUUUUAAAAUUCGGGUUAAAAAAUCAAGAAUCAAAGUAGUUUUGAAGGUUAAAUUGAUGAAAACUAGUAAUUAUAAGAUUAAAAUAUUAUUCAAGUGAAAAGGAGUGAAAUCGUGGUUUAAAAUCAAGCCCUAAGAUUUUUGAGUUUUUGAGAAUUUAAUCAAGAAUUACUAAGAAAAAGGAUGAUUUUUUACCUUAAAUCCGUAAUAGAAUCAAGAAAUCGAUGUUAAUCUAGCUUUCCAAGCUCUCAAAAGCACCACUUUUAAGCUUCUACACAAUUUUAGGGUUUAAAUCUUAAGAAAUAAGGUGAAAAUGAGCAAAAUUGGCCCAAAAACUGUUAUUAAUAACACAGAAAAAUCUGGACCAAUUUUUUUCUAAGUCGUGACGGACUUCGACGGGGUGUUCGAGAUUCUUUCAGAGUUUGAUAUACAUAAAUGAACUAUGUAACCACACUAAAUUUGAUGCUUCAAACUCAAUGGAGAUAUUAAAAUUUUGAAAAAACAUCAUUUCGAUAAUGUUGACCCUCAAAACUCGAAAUCACAAUUUUCCAAACCGAAAAUCAAAAUGAGAUUUAAAAGUCAUAAAAUCACACCAAACAUGUUAAGAACCUAAAAUAGAUAUUUUGGAUUUGCUGGAAAAUUUGUAUUUUUCAUCCGAGAUAGUUUUGACCAAAUGUGGGUCCCACACCCAUAUUUCUAAUUUUCCAACUUUCCGACCAAUAGGUCAAAAUGAGCUUAGGUGCACUGGAUCUCGAACCAAAGGUCUAACUAGCCUAAAAUCGAUAUUCCAGAGCUGUUGGACACAGUUUGUUCAUACACCCAUCAAACAGAUUAAAAGAUAUCUACAUAAGUCCAAAAUAAGACUCUCGAAGCCAUCAAAAUCACAAUAUCGCCUAAAUGGUACCAAAAUACAUCGGAAACUAUGCCAAUAAGCCCACACCCUAGAAAUAUCAUAAUGCAAAUAUGUAGAGGGAUAAAAUAGUCAAAUCACACAGAAAUACACAAUUCACAUAUUUCAUCAAAAAAGCUGGUCGUUAGAAAUUUUGAACAUCACUAUUUUAUAUCAUUUAAGCAAGUCUAAUGUGGUUGUGGAUGCUUUGAGACAGAAGUUGAAAUAUAUGGGGAUUUUGACUCAUAUCUUGAUCCAAGAGUGACCUUUAGUCUUGGAGGUUCAGUCUUUAUCUAAUCAGUGGUUAAACUUGAUAUUUUGACACCUGAGUAUAAGUGGACCGUACUCAUCCUUAUUGUGCCCUUUGGAUGUUUACUAGCUCGAGUACGACUCACAGUGGAUAAUCGUGCUUUUUUGAGAUUGUGAUCGAGGUACAGGGUUGCUCUAGGGGUUAUAGUCAACUUUCGAACCUCCUCUUACCUUAUUAUAUCUUUACUUAUAUUCAGAGGAAGACUUUGUAUUUUCUUUAUAUUCGAAUGAUGUGUUAGAUUCUAUACACAUUAACAUCACUUCUUGAAGUGUUAUGUUAUUUAGAUUUUCGUUCUUUUAUGUAUCGUGUAGGUUUGAAUUCAUUCUAGAAGUCUUGCCUUAGUUAUUUUUUAUUUUUUACUUUAUUAGUUUGAGUGAUCAGUUUACUUAUCAAGGCUAGAUCAUCGAUAAGUGCCAUUAUGACCUAAUAUUUGAAUUGUGACAUCACUUUAGCGACACCCUAGCCGCUUAAGCGGCCAUUGCUAGAGUAGUAUGUAUGUAUUGAUACAUAUACACAGACACACACACACACACAUACAUAUAUAUAGCUCAAUUUUGCAAUUUUCUUCAUUUUUGGACCUCCAAUCUUUGAAAAAAAUGAUUCCACAAAGGUUUCUUCUUCGUUUUUGUAUGGGUACCUCUAAACUUAUCUUCCAUUAUUUCCUAUUGAUUUCAUCUUCAAAACCACUUCAAAUCCUUGAUUUUAAAUAUAGAUUAGGGGGAUUUUCUCAGAUAAAACUUAAAAAUAGUUUUACUUUGAUUUGAACCUCAUUUUUAAUUCUAUUUCACAUGGUUUUCAACUGUAGGAUCCUAUGAACUUGGAAAAUAUGUUCCUAAAAUAAAAUCUCUAUUUCAGUCUGGUGUUUUGAAAAUGAUUAUCAAAGUUGAUUUUGGACUCAAAAUAAAUAUGAUCGAUAUGGGUAUCGUUGGGCUCCUUUUGACUUGUAGAUAGUAUAUUUGAUUAGAUUGAACAUGUUUGGAGUUGAUAUGGGGGAGUAGAGCUUUUGAUUGAUGCUUUGGAUGGUGUUUUGUCUUGAGGAUCUUAUUUAAAGGCAAGUUGAAUAAAAUAGUCUAAAAUACCCCCAACCUUUACCCAAAAUCCCAACUACACACUCGAACUUCAUGGGGGUCCUAUCACCCCCACCCCCUCUUAAACUAUUACAGAAUAAAAUUAUUUACUCUCGAAACACUGAGAUGGGAAAGAAGGUGGAGUUCACUCUCUUUAAGAGAGUGAGAAUCCAAAAAAAUAUUAAAAAUUAUUUUUAAUAUCUAUUUUCACACACGUACACUCACACUUAUAUAUAUAUAUAUAUAUAUAUAUAUAUAUAUAAAAUUAAUUAUUAAUUAAAAAAUUUCUAUCUUCUUGACCAACAUAACCCAAUCUCACCAUCACUCCUAUCCCAUUGUCGCUUUUGACACCGCCAACCACCAUCUCUAUUGGAUUCAGUACCGCAUGUACAUUCUUCUUCACCUUUCUCUAUUUUCUACCCUAUAUAAAUCUCUUACCCUUUUCGUGUCUUUCAUUGACUAUUUCCCACAAAAUCUUGCAAAUUUGAAGAAUCAAACAUAAAAAUCAAGAAUUUUCAAGGCAAUAUUACAUUACCCACUUCAAUUCAAGUAAUACCCCACCUCUAACUCAAAUCAUUGAUCUCAUCUCACCCAUCACUACCACCACCACCCCAUUAGCCGCCACCAACCCUACUUUAAUUUUUUUCCUCAUCACAUGUCAAACGAUGUAAUACCAUUUAGUUAUUUACUCCACUCAAUUCCAUUUGAUGAUACAAAUUUGUUUUGAGAAUGGAGACGACUACUAUCCAACGACAACAUAGUACACAAAAUUAUUCGUAUUGAACUUAUUGUUUCUACGUUUCUCUCUUACGAAAAGACUUGAUUCAAGAAUUUUGAUAUUUUAUUGGGUGAGAAUAUGAAAAAAUUGAUCUUUACAAGAAAAAAAUUAAUUGUUGGUUUGGAGAUGUGAAUAUGGUUGAAGAUAAGGAUAAAUAAUUAAAAAAUAAAUAAAUUUUCACAUGUCAAAUACGUGAGUUUCAUUGAUGAAAUGGAUGUGGUUCUGCCAUUUUAAGGAUGUAAUAGUUUUAUUUUUAGACAGUUUAGGAAGACAAUAGGACCUUCGUGAAGUUUUAGUGUGUAGUUGAAAUUUCGGGUAAAGGUUGGGAGUGUUUUAGACUAUUUUCUCAAGCAAGUUGAGAUGUACCUUGAUUUCUUAAAAAUGUUUAUGUGUUGUAUGCCUGCUUGUUUGUAUUUUAUGAUUUCUUUAAGAUUGGGGGUCCCGCUUAGUUAAAAUGGUGAGAGUCUCUACGGAUGUUGGAGUCUUUUAUUGGAGCGUAGUUAGGUAAAUGCCUAUACUAGUUAGCCAUGCUACUUGUUAAUAUCCCUGGAAUAGAAUGUAGAUAGAUAACUUGAUGUUUUUAUAAUUGAUAGGAAUUAUCUAUAUUAUAAGCUUGUAUCGAACUUGGUGACUUUUUAGGCAAAAGUGCUAACAUGUUUCUUCAAACUUUUAUUUGGAUCAAAUACAAUACUUCCAAAAAUAUUAUAUAAUAAUAUAAUUAUCUAUCAAGUUAAGAAUAGUGAGAGGAAAAAAGUUCCUACCUUAUAGAAGGAAGAGUCGGUUCCCAAAAUUAAAACCAUUACCCAAUGGCCAAUAUGUUAUUCGAGGUAGGAAUCCUAAUUUGUUUUUGGAUAAAUUUUUCAUGCCUCAAUGAGAAUUAGAAAGAAAAUUAAAUACUAAUUUAAAUAAUUUACUUAGCAAGAAAAAUAUUAUCAUAAAUAAUUUAUUACCAUAAUUAAUUUUACUUUUACCAAAAUAUAAGAAAACUUUUCAUAUUUAAGUAACCUCUGUUUAAGGAAAAAAUAUGUUGUAUUUCUAUAAAUUGAAUAAUCUUCCUUUUGCAAAACAUAAUAGCAUAACAAAUUGUUUGUGUAUGUUUGUAAGUAGCUUUAUCAUUGAGUUUCAAACUUAAUUUUAUGAUUGAUAUUACAGUUUCAGAUUUCUUUUUCUACUAUACUGGUGUUAUUGAUCAAGAAUAACAAAAUAUAUUUUUAUGUUUUUAAGUAACUUCUAUUAUUGAAUCUCUGACGUACCUUCGUGGCUUUCGGUUUUCUGUUUUCUUUUCUAUUACAUUAAAUUUCUUGAUCAUGAAUAACAAAUGUCCUUUUAUUUUAAGUAUAGCCUCGAUCGAAAUUUAUUUCACACGCCAAUCUAAAACACAUAAUAUUGUUAAAGGGAAAAGAAUUAUUGUAUAUUUUAAAUACAAAAUCUUGUGAUAAGUAAAAGGGAGCGAAUACAUUUUUAUGGAUUAACGUAAUAUACACGUGCAACACACGUACUUUAGAGGAUUAUUACUUUUAGAUGUUUUUUUUUUUGAAUCAUUGAAGUUGAAGAAUUUUAUAAGAUAUACAAAAACUUUUAUUUAUUUCCUUGGCAUGGACAAAAGAUAAAUUUUACCGGGCACUUCAAUAUACUUAACUAAUUAUAAUUUUUGUUUGUUAUAUGAUAUUUUUUCAAAAAUUUAUUUUAUUUUCUACGUAGAUUUGUUGCCUAUCUUAUUCUACAAAAGAAUUGCUUUCGUUCGAGGAGGAAAAAAAUUGAUAAAGAAAAGGUAAUAGUACAAUUUAGUCGAUUUGUUUUUUUUUUUGAGUAAAUGCUCUGUUUCUACCCUGAACGAUACAUGAAAUUGCUGAGACGCACUCAAACUUUAGGAGGGUCCUAUUACCCCUAUGGACUAAUUAAAAUCAUAUUUUUGGCAACCUUAUGUAACAACCCGAGAGUACACCCUGGGUGUCACACAGUGCUUACGAUCCCGAAAGGCCACAAGCUAACCCAUGACUGAUAUCUGUUGUGACCACUGAGUAAUAAUACUAUGAUAAAUGUGGAAAAUAGAAUGAAAUUACAUAAGGUUCAAAACAUCUAAAAUACUGAAAAAUAUACCAAUUUGUUAAAAACAUCUGAAAAAUAAACAAUGUCUGAACUGGUCUAGUCUAAAAGCCUCUAGAUGAACUUUCUGAAAGUGGAGUUGGUGGGACAAAACCCCAACUAACUCCAAACUACUGAACUAAGGAUAAACUGAAAUGCUGAAAUAAAAGUAUAUCCUCAAUAGAUGAGGACUCACUACUAAAUCUGCGACUGCUGACUGGAUCUAUCUAAGCGUGAUUGGGAACCUGAGCGUCUGAACCUAUGAUAUGAAAGAUCAUAGCACAAAAAAAUAUGCAUCAGUACAUGGGAAUGUACUAGUAUGAUAGAUGAGGUAAGGCUGAAUGCAAGAGCACAUAUGCAUCAACAAUAAUAGACUAAAUGAUAUAGAGUAACUGAAUAUAAGAGUACACGAAUAAUAUAUAUACAUAUAUAUAUUGUAUCUGAGCAUUUCUGAAGCUAAGUACUGAGUUUGAUAACUAAGUAUCUGAUAUCUGAAGUUACUGAUAAUUGAUGUUUUGAUACUGAUAAACUAUGUCUCACAGUCCUGAUUCUGUAAAAAUAAACUGAGUUCUAAACUGAAUACUAACAUUGAAAUAGUGGGAGGUAAUUAUCUAAUCGACAUGCCCCAAAUCUGAGCUAAUAGGGGUCAAACCUAUGACCCUAGUUGGAAGGGUGCUAAUACCGUGCCACGGGUACUAACACUGGAAAACUAGGAUACUAAGCCUAGCUGGCUAGUCUGACGGGUGACUCCUCAUCCUGCGCUGGCUACGCAAUUCUAGAGUACAAGGACUGCUACUAUUGAAUCUGCCUCUCUGACGGGAAAUCCGUCAUCCCUGCACUUGCUUGGUGCUAAAUUCUACUCCCAACUGAAAGACACUGAACAGAGUAUACUAAACUUCACUGGACUGAUACAAAAUUUACUAAGUUUUCUUGAGUUCUGUAACUGACUGAAUUUACUGAGUUCUAUUGAUCGUGGCAUGACUGAUAUUAUUCUAUAACUGACACUGGCUCUAGGUAAACAACUGAAUUAUCGGGUAUUAAAUACCCCCAGGACUCGAUAGCAUAAAAAAAAUAAAGCAUAGUAUAAUCUUGAAUACAUAAUAAUGGCUACUUGACCACAAUCCACGUAUUGAGAUAUUUCAGCAAAAACUUGUAAUGCAUUUACUUGUACAUGAAUGGGAAAUAUAUGCUAUCAUGGUUUAAUGUAACUAUUUCAUUCACAUAGGCAUUUUAUCAAACACUUGUAUGGCAUAGGCUCAUACGUAUACUAGCAUGUCAUGAUUUUAUCAUUUAAUUCGCAUGAACAUUCUAUCAAACACUUGGGAGCACAACUUAAUGCACAUAAUCAUGGAUAACACAUAAUCAUGGAAACUACGAAGUCCCAAACUUGCAAUUUCAUGGGUUUCACAUGCAACUCAUAAAAUUCCCCCUAUUUUCAUGAAUGUUAUCAUAAUCAUGGAUUGAAAACCAAAUUAACAUCAUAGAUACAUUAAUCACUUUGUAAAUUCAAAGGUUUAUCAGGAUAAUCACAAAUCCAUCACACAUGCUAUCCAAUUUCAUGAAACUUGCACUUAAACCAUGAAUUUGGAACCCAACUAAUAUCAUGAACAUGACUUCAAUCUAAUUCAAACAUGGAAAUCAUAAAUCAUAAAUCUUGAAAAUUUAAAAACGGAUUCUUAGACUCUAUGGAUGAAAGGGACCUAUAGAUGAAUACCUAACAUACCUUGGAAUGCUAAUUCUUGAAGGUUCUUGGAAAGAUUCUUGAGCUUGACCUUGAUUCUUGAAGCUAGGGAUUUGCUAAUUUGAGAGAGAGAGCUUGUUGAUUUGGGGAAAAACUAUUAAACAAUGAGUUCAAAACAUUUUUAGGGCUUAAAUAUCACACCUGGGCGGAAUAAAAUCAUAGGAAAAGACCCAUUUAACCUUGGAAGAAACUUUAAUUUUUUGUCAAAUUUUUUUGAACUGGGCCCUUGGCGCGACGCACCAUGAUCGCAUCGGGCCAUUGGAAACUGACAAUUGGGAAUUGGGCUGUGGCGAGAUGCGGUGAGAUUGCGUUGCCACUUUAAUUCUAAAAUUUGGACUCAUCGCGAUACAGUGGGAUCGCACUGGUACACUGGAAUUACAUAAUUUUGAAUAUGAGCCUUGGUGCGAUGCACUAGGAUCAUGGAAGCUCACUGGUUUUGACAAUUUCUAUUUUUUGGCUCCGUGAUGCACUGAAGUGCCAGUUGACACAUUGUUCCACUAAAAUGGCUCUAACUCUUCACCCGAGUGUCUGAUUUGGGCGAAUUUUAUAUCGUUAAAAAGCUAAUUGAAUUUUCUACGCAUUGGCAGGCUCUAAAACUAAAAAUACUAAGUAUUUAAAAAAUUUGUAUUGGAUCACUCAAGGACUUAGAGCUAAGUUAAGCUUGAGAAAUAUGGGGUAUUACAAUAUCUUCUCCUUGAGAAUAUUCAUCCUCGAAUGAGAUUGAUUAAGUUGAGGAUUACUAAUAGACUGAGUUUACACACUGAAUAUGCAUAUCUGGUGUAUGGAAUUCAUGAUUGAAGCUACUGAUAUGCUGAGUUUCAUACUAAAUAAGAAUAUUUGAUGCAUGAGUACAUGACUAAACUAAUUCAUGAAUGCAUGACUGAAUAUGCAAUGGGAAGAAAUACUAUGUUUAUAACUAUAACUGGGCAUGGAAUUUAGUAAAUCUAUGGAAGAUUGUCACCUUAAGCUAAGAAUACUGAUGAAACUGAGAUAAUUUACUAAACACACAUGAACGGGAAUAUAAAAACAUGACUGAGUCUAAAACAUGAUAUAUGAAUUGAAUAUAGUGAACUAAACUGAUUUCCUUGAAUACAUGCCAUGUCAUGGGAAUGGUCAUACAACUGAUAUUGGAAUGAGAGUGUCGACUUAUGAGUACCCGUUACUUCAGACUUGAUCUUAUUAUGUGAAGAGAUAAGAGAAUUGAAGGUUUAGGACAUGAAAGAUCGGGGGUUAUAGUGAAUCUCCCCCUUGGGAUAUUAUGUCCCCCGAAGAAUGCUGACUUGGCUAGGAUUCUGAGGAAAACUAAGACGAUGCACAGGGCACCUAUGAAUUAAAUCAUGACUGAAUAUCUAGGAUCUAAAACCAAGGUAUGAUAUAUGAACUGAGCUAAACUCAAAACUACUUGGAUGCUCUAUUUUGAAAUAGUCAUAUUCAUGAAACUUUGGAUAGUACAACUGGGUGAAAAGAAGGGAAAACUGUACAAACUUAUCUGUUCGACUGCUAAACUAAAUUCCUGGCUUUACGGACUAACUCGUACUGAAAACCUAUUAUUACCUAGAUCAUUUCUAUGACACUCUUUUUAUAAAGUUCUACUGACUUUAGGGAGUAUGGAGAUUUUGGCAUAGUCUGAAUAAAACGUUUAAAUGAGAAAUUACCUCCUGGCUAAAAUUCUGUAAUAUGAGGCGAGGCUUAUGGAACAUUAUCUAAAAUAUAGUGAUUAAGCCUUAUGUACUACCGCUACAAAUUUUGAAGCUUAAAUAUAUUUCUUGAAUACUCUCUCAACUAUACCCUCCACCUUAAUACAAUAAUUCACCUGAGACUAUUGAAAAAUAUUCCCAUGGGCACUGAACACGAAUGCGUAAACAUACUAACUUAUUUGAUCAACUAGAUGAAUGAUAGUUGAAUACUGGUAAUGUAAGAUUGAAUUGUACUUAACCUGAAUAACUGGACUAAAACUAUAGAGUACUAUGCAUAUGAGGUAAGGAGUGACUGAGGAACGUAAGGUAACUGAACAUGAAUUCGUGGGAAUGGUAUUAUCUAAGAAUGUAAGACUAAGAUCAUAGCAUGAUACUGAAAUACUAAGAUACUGAUAACUGAAUAAAUGGAAACUGUAUGCUUUUGUCAAGCAAACCUGAAACUGGACUUAGUUUUGUACUGAAUGCUGAACUGAGACUGUGACUGAGUUCUGAUAGCUACGUGAUGGGGACUGGCAUAAAUUAAGGAUCUAAAUGUACACUCACACUCUGCAUUUUCUCAACUUCUUAUCUCAAAAAGAAUUUUGAUUUUUCUUCAAUGACUAAAUACAACCUCUUGCUAGCUAUUCACCCACACACUAACACAACAUUCAAUCCUAUCUUCAUAACUACAACCUCGUGUAAAACUAGCAUACAACAAUCUUUUCUUAACAUGAAACAUUUACUCUUUCCNNNNNNNNNNNNUCACUACAUCAUUUCAUAAGAAGAGUUCACUGAAGGUUAAAACAUAAAGACCUGAAGCAUGAAUGACAUUAUACCGAACUUGACAGUAAACUGAGGCCUGAGGAAUAGCACAUUAACAUCCUAGAUUUAUCAAGAGAUCUAGACUGAGGAUAUACAUAACAAAAUCUAAAUUUAGCUGAUCAUUAGGAGUAUAGCAUAAGUCAUGGAAAUUGAGCAUACUAUAAAGCAUGACAUGAGUACAUGAGUUAUGAGCUGCAUGACUUGAGUUUGGAGUUUCUGUAUUCAUGGAACAUGAUUCGUAAAACUGAGGAAACUAGAACUCCUUAUACUAGAAAUUGAAAGCGUACAUAAUUUUUGAUAACGUGCAUGAACAGGAGCUAUGAUCAUAGAGUUGACAUGUAAGGAAUGAGUAGAUAUCGUGAUAGCUGAAGUGCCAAACUUUGCACCGAGGUAAAGACGGAUUGGGAAUCAACCUCUUCUACUGCUUUUCUAUACAUACUGACAUUACUACUAAAAUCUGAAAGUCUGACUUGGUUACUUAUUAUGCCAUCUCCCCUUAGCUUAAAUUCGUUAUUCUAAGUCUGUGAACCACUUAAUAAACUCUAAGUCGAACUGAAACCACUUUACUCUAGAGCCUGAGAUAUGACUAUGCUCACAAACACUAAACUCAUUUUGAAGGACUACUCCUGAUAAUGUAAGAUCUACUGCUAGUACUUUCUUCUGAUACAUGAUUCUUAGCUUUCUAUUGCCCUAACAAUCAUUAUCUAGCAACCCUUAUCACUAACUAACUUAGAAUUCUCAACUUUUUUUUCUACUAGUUCAAUCUAUAGAUUCAAACUUAAAUCAACUAAAACUGAGGUACUACCCCUUCAUCCAAAGACUGGUUCAUCAGGAAACUAAAAUGAAAUAACUCAAUUACUGAAAUUAACUAAAAGGAUUUUCUGAAAUACUGUAACCAAGAUAAUUUUUGUAUACUCGUCUGGCUGGAAUAGAUUUACCUAUUGAGGUAAGCACUAAGAAAGGUUCUAUUAAAAUUUCUAGUCUGACUUAAAAUUGACUGAUAUGCAAGGAUUUACAAAAGACAAAGAAGCUCCUGGAUCAAAUAAGGCAUGAAUAUGUAAAUGAAAGAUCUGUAACGUAUCACUGACCAUGUUAGGAGAACUUUCCUGAUCUUGUCAGGAUUGAAGGGCAUAAAUCCUAUUUGGGCAUUACCCACUAGUGGUAUUGGAAGUAGGACCCUGCUAGUUCGGGUGACCGAACUGAGAUGAAGGACAGUUGAAUGACCCUGUUGGCGUAAAUCUUUUACCCUCGGAGCUAUUACUUUACACUUUCGAAUCCUGUGGUAUGGCUUUCCAUAUUUAAAACAUACAUUUCUACCAGCUCUACAUAUACCCUAAUGGUUUCUACCAUAUUCUUUGCAAAGCGGGUAGGUACGGCCUAUUUUUAUACUACCCAAAGGUGGAGUGCCUGAUGUUCUACCUCGAGUGUCAUUUAUAAACUUUGGCACUGGCUCACUAUUUAUAGGAGGAUUUAGGGUUGAGAAUUUCUGAUGGAACUGGAAGCGGUUACCACCCUCUGACCUUUGCCUAAAACCACUUGUUCUGACUCGCUUAUUCUCUCUAUCUUUCUUUCUAUGCUUUUCCCUCUUACUCUGUUGAGUAUGAAACCCAAGACUAGAUAGGAAAAUCACCUUUAGGUUGUUCUGAGCAACUAUUGAAUAGGCUAAAGUAGUGAAAGAAGCUCUGAAUUCUGCAUGGGAGACAUGCUCAUCCAGGGGAUCUGCCUGAAUGGGCUGAUGUGCUGAUUGAUUUCCAUUUCUUCUUCUGUUAGUCUUUUUGGGAGGCAUGUUCUAUAACCAGAAGGAAGAAAAGGAUUAUUAGCUUGAGCUCAUGCUCACUCGCCCGACAUGAAUACUGAAAAAAGGGAAACUUUUCCUAAAAAUAUCUCAUAGCCUCCUGUCCAUAAGUGUGGUGUACUACACACCUAUGCACAAGACUCUACUUGAUAUGGAUUUUAGACUCCCUAGGAUUUUUUUGAACCCUAGGCUCUGAUAUCAAGGUAGUAACGAGCUGAAAGUACACCCUGGGUAUCAUACGACGCUUACGAUCCCGAAGGGCCACAAGCUAACCCAUGACUAUUAUCUGUUGUGAGCAUUGAAUAAUAAUAUGUGAUAAAUGUGAAAAAUAGGUUGAAAUUCCAUAAGGUUCAAAAGAUCUGGAAUACUGAUAAAUAUACCAAUCAAUUAAAAAUAUCUAAAAACUAAACACUAUCUGAACUGGUCUAGUCUAAAAGCCUCUAGCUGAAUUGUCUGAAAGUGGAGUUAAUGGGACAAAACCCAACUAACUCCAAACUACUGAACUAAUGAUAAACUAAAAUACUAAAAUAAAAACAUAUCCUCAAUAGAUGAGGACUCAUUACUAAAUCUGCGACUGCUGACUGGGUCUGUCUAAGCGUGGUCAGAAACCUGAGCGUCCAAACCUAUGAUAUGAAACAUCAUAAGGCAAUAAAGUAUGCGUCAAUAUGUGGGAAUGUACUAGUAUGCUAGAUAAGGAAAUGUUGAAUGCAAGGUCUUAUAUGCAUGAACAAUAACUAACUGAAUGAUAUAGAGAAACUGAAUGUAAGAGUACAUGAAUAACUGAUACUACCGAAAUCACUGAGUAUGCAAUAUUGUGGACAUGUGUAUAUAUAUAUAUAUAUACUGUAUCUGAGAUUUUAUGAAGCUGAGUACUAAGUUUGAUAACUGAGUAACUGAUAACUGAUGUUCUUAUACUGAUUGACUGUGUCUGACAGUCCUGAUUCUGUAAAAUUAAAUUGAGUUCUAAACGAAGACUGAAAUUGAAAUUGUGGGAGGUAAUCAUCUUACUGACAUGCCCCAAAUCUGAGCUGAUAGAGUCAAACCUGUAACCCCAUUUGGAAGGGUUCUAAUAUCGUGCCAUGGGUACUAAUAAAUAAACAUGUAUUUUGGUUGAUCCUAUUUAUAACAUAAGUGAUAAACAACGCAUAAAUUAAUAAAAGAACAAUAAGAACAUUACAAAUUAUAACAAAGGGUACUUCUUAAAUAAACUAACUACCCCAAAUAAACAUGCACAUAAAGUAAAUGUAAGAAAAAGAACAAAUUCGCAAAAUUAAACAAAGAUUAGUUUUGGUCUUAUUCGGAUCAGAGCCCCAACUUGUUAAUCAUUAUCCGACCUAAUAGUCGGAUUCUUAAACAAGUAAAAAUGUCAAACGUCGUGUAAUGUCUCUGGGUAUCAUCACUUCUGAAUGACUAUCUUCCCCACCCCAUCUAGGCUGAUUGCUAACCUAAAGGCGCACUAAAAAGGGAUAAAACUAAUGCCUCUAGAAAUGUCUAUCUCCCCACCUAUCGCCCAAGAGGCAUUGGGCUUUGCUAAUUUGGAUUUGUGGUCUAGACGAACAAAGAUAUGUUUUCUAGACCUCAAAGCGCCUAAAACACAAAAGAUGUCAAGUAGCAUAUACUGUCUCAAGUUAGCCUCUUGGUUAAUUAAAGAGUGAUUAAUGUGAUCAAGAUAAGUAAUUACUAUUUUUUGAUGUAGUUAAGCUAUAGUCAUGGUAUCUAUGUGUUAAGAAAUUAUUUAAUAUGAUGAAAGAUAAUUGUCAUUUACGUCAAAAUAAUGUGUGUUAUAAAAUUUGCCUAGGUUGUCAUAUAGCACAUAAAGCACAUAGAUCUUUGUCCCCUCCCCCAAGCAGUCCCAAAUUUUAUUAUUACAUCAGAAUAACGCUUAUACAAUAAAUUCCUACAUACUAAAAAAAAUAAACUACACUCGGGCGACUCUUCAAAACCCCACUUUAAUGACACUUGUUGAAUACAACAAAAUAAUAAUGCAAGCACAAGACAAACCCACACAUGAUUUGGCACAUCGAAACAAUAAAGAAAGGCAUAGCAAGCAAGCAAUGAGCAAUUAUUUCAAGCUAACUCAUGUAGGCAUACUUUCUAAUAUCAUAACGUUAUUACACUGGAUAUAUAAAAUGCAUCAAAUGCAUCAAUGAGAGAGACUCAAUAGUGAGACUACAAGUAAUAAUAAUAAUAAUAAUAAUAAUAGGACUUUGAAUAAAAACAGUAAAAGUAAUGUCCGAAUCCGACGACUACUGAAUUCCAAAAGUACCACUAAGUUUGAAAAAAAAAAGUAAUUAUUUUGUAUAUGGACUAGUUGAGAACUUUUGUGAUCCAUAGUAGUAGUGAAAGUGGGAUAAAAAAAGGUGCCCUCUCAGAGAGAAGAAAAAAAAGGGUUUAUAUAGUGUAGGGAGGGUGGUGUCAUCAAAAGAGUAAAAGGAAAAAAGUAAUUUUAUUACUUAAAUAGAUAGCAAAAUUAUAAGGAAAACUGAUAUAUUUUUUUUGCCUAGACGCAAGAUCUGCCUAAAAAUUAAGGAGAAAAUAUUUAAAAUAGCUAAUUGGGAGAAUUAAAAGGAAAAGAAUAAAAUAUUUAAAAUAGCUAAUUAAAAUAGCUAGUUGGGAAAAUUAAAGAAAAGAAAUAUUCAUCAAUAGGAAAGGCGGCUGAAACAAUUAAGGAAACGAAAUAAUCAUUAAGCAAAUUGUCAAAAUUACCAUGAAAAGAAAUUGAACAAUGCGUUGCUCACUACUAUCCGAUUUGUUCAAAUUUAACAUAUAAAUUAAACUGCAAUUUAAAGGUGUAAAAAUCAGUCACAGGAAAACAAAACCAACCAAAUAGACAAGUUAAGCACUAAUUAAAGAGUUGUACAAAUCAUCCAUAUAAAUCAUGUCAUAAUGGAAUAAUUAAGGGUAUGGAAAUCAGUCUAAAGAAAUUAAACCAACUACGCAUAUAAAUCAUACCGUAAGGAGAAGAAUCAAAUAUUAGGGAGAGAGAAUCGAUGUCAAAAAUCAGAGUCUAAUAACCAGCCAGGAAAAUAGGAUAGCAAACCCUUAAGAACACUAGUUGCAAGCCUAGCCAAAAUUAGGCUUAAAACAGUUCACAAAAAUAGACAUUUUCACACCUAUGGAUUUAAGCACAUAAGCGCACAUGAAAUUGCAAGAAUCAAUUUAAAAUUCGUAAUCAAGUCUUGUCAAUUUUGAAUCUAAAAAAAAUAUUGAAAGGCAAAGAAGGGAAGAAGAUAAUAACAUACUGGACAUGCAAUUAAAAUGAGAAAUUAAAACAUUGGACAGAUUCUUCAGAAUCUGUCAUAAAAAAAUAAUUAGUCCUCUCGGUAGGUUUGACCGGCAGUGAGGCGGCAGUGGCUUAAGGUUCUGUUGACUAGAGUAGUGGUGGCUGGUUGCGUGGAUCUGGAUGCUGGUGGGCGACUGAAGCAGCGACGGCGUCAGCAUGGAUGCUGGCGUUCGUGACGGCGGAAAUUUUAGUGUUAGAGUGGAGACAUAGAUUGGAGGUUGCUGGGGUUGAUACUGUCGUUGUUUUUUCGGCCGUAGACGGUGUUGCGGUGGCGGUGGCAGGCGGAUCCUUAGAGAGACAGGGGAGAGAUAAAAAGAGAAAGGUUAAGGGGGCCAGCAACGAGAAACAAAAAAAGAGAAAGAAGAUGCUGAGGCAGCUGCUCUGGUGGUUCACCGGCCAUAGUGGCUGGUGUUGUGGUGGAGGUUGGCUGGCGACAGCUUGGUUGUUUUAGAUAGAAGGGAGAGAGAGGGAAUGAUGUGCGGUUGAUUAAGGAUUUAGGGUUAGGGUAUUGAUUGUCUAAAAAUAAAAGAAAAGAGAAAUGUGAUCUUAGCUAUUGGAUAAAUUUGAUCAACAGCUGAGAUAUAAAUAUUAAGAAAUUGACCCAAAUUGGCUGAAAAUUUUAAAUUGAGUCUAAUUAGACACAAUUUGACUAGAAUUGUAAUAAAUUGGGUAAAAUUAGGUUAAAAUUAUUAUAGAUUGGAUAGAAAACAACUAAAAUUUAAAUAAAUUAGGAACUUGAAUUGAAUUAGGCUACUAAGUAAUAAUGACGAGAACAAAAUAAUAAGGCGCAUGUGAAAUUAAUGUUAUAUAAAAUUAUAGAUAAUAGUAAUAAUAAAUACAAUAAAUUUAUAAAUUGUGAGUGUGUACAUUUACGUAAAAAUAAAUAUAUUAAUAAAAUUAUCAAAAAUAUCAAAUUUGAAUUAAUAAGUUGUGAAAAAUAAUACUAAAAAGUAAUAAAAUAUUUUAUACAUUUUAAAGUCAUGAAUGUGGCUUGUCCAAAAUUAUUUGAUAUCGUUAAAUAAUUUUAACAAAAAUAGCAGCCUAAGAGAACAUCAGGAGGUCAAAAUUGGGUGUCAUCACGUGGCACAUCAGUGAAUAAUACACUAAAUGUCCAUGUAGGCAUACGUAUAUGCCACAUGGGCACUAAUGUUGACAAAAAUACGAUUUUAAUUAGUCGGGAGAUAAUAGGACCAUGCUAAAGUUCGAGAGUAUCUCAGCAUUUUCGUGUAUAUUUUGGGUGAAAACAGAGUAACUUUCUCUUUGUUUUUAUGAAUUUGUGAUUUUACUUGAUAACUCGCUAAAGAAGAUUUUAAUUUAAUUUUUUUGAUAUUGGAUGAAUAAAAAAACUUAAUAAACUCUAGAUUAAUUUUAAUUAUCUUUCCAUCCACAUAGAAAAUUUCUGAACUAUUUGCAUGAAAUAUGUAAUACCCCGCAAAGUCCUCUUCCAGUCUGAGCCUUAGAGCGUACUCAGUAAAGUGGAAAUCUGAGGCUAAAAGUUUCAAAAAUAUUUUCCUAAGUAUAAAUUAAUUUUAGUCAUGUGGAAUUUCUCUAAUUUCUACUUUUUUCAUGUAGAGCAAUGAAUAAGCUUUCUAUCGAUACCAAAUUCGCCCAAAUCGGACACUUGGGUGAAGGGUUAGAGCCAUUUUAGUGAGACAGUGUGCCACCUCGCACCUUAGCGCGUUGCACAGCCAGCCAAAAUGACAAUCGUCAAAAUCCAAUGAGCCUCCGCAAUUCCACCGCAUCGCGGUAUAGUUUCAAUUCCCAACCAAGAUGGCAAUGCGAUUUCCACCGCGUUGCACCGUCGUGCAGUUUCUCAAUUGUCCAUUUUCCAGUGAACUAGCGCGAUUAUGGCGCGUCGUGCCAGCAUAAAAAAUUGGAAUUUUUAGUUUAAUUCCAAGGACGAAAAGGAAUUUUUCCCAACCCUAAUAUAUACCCACUUUACACAAGAAUUGGCCUCAUUUUCUCUCUUUCCACUCUACAAAAAUUAGGGUUUUCAAGAAAAUUAAAAUAUCCUCUCUUCUUCAAGCAAAAAUCAAGAAAGAUCUAGAGAAAUCAAGAAUCUCUCCAAAGGCCUUCAAUAAAAGAGUUUCCCCAAGGUACGUAGAUGUUGAUUCUUGGGUCCCUUUCAUCUAAGAAGCUCAAAACCCCUUUUUAAAACUUCAAAAUUUUUAUGCUUAUGAGAUUCCAUGAUUUGUAUGAGUUGAAAUUGAUGUUCCUUGUGAUGUUGAGUUUUGAUUUAUGUUUGUGUACAAGAUUUGUGAGCUUUGACCUUAGUAUGUGGAAUUUAUGUGAUGCGUUCAUGGCAUUUGGUUGUAGAAAUGGUUGAAUAAGUGAAACAUAUCCCCCAUAGGUUUGAUAAAGAGCUUAGUUGAAGCAUAAGGGUGAUUGUAGUAUGUUGAAGAUGAAACCCCAAAGUGUGAGUUAGUCUAUGCAUGCCUAGUAUUUGAUAAAAUGCCCAAGUGGAUGAAUUAUUCCAUGAUAGAGGGAAAUCCCUAACUAAGUGUGAACCCGUGCAUGUCUAGUGUUUGUUGAAGGACUCUAGUGAACAAGUGGAGAUAUGAUGGUAGUAAAUUCCUCAAUUAUGUGCUCUUUGAUAUCUGCUAAGCUUUUAAUACAUGCUAAGUGAUUAGCAAGUAAGUUGAGACAUGAUAGUAUGAAGUUUUCCCCAAAUCAAUUGAUAUCCAAGUACAUGUCAAGACUGAUUUAGGUGUGAAGUACUUGAGGUAAAACCUUGUUGAAGGAAGUAUAAUCUAGUAGCAUAUUUCCUUACGCUAGUAUAUGUUGAUGUUUCCUAAAUACUUGAUGUGAUACCUUAAUGAUUGUAAAGGUGAAGGUAUGUUAUGUUUCCUAAAUACUUGAAGAGAUGCUUUAAUGAUAAUGAUGAUGAAUGAAUGAAUGACUAUGAUGAUGAAUGAUUCGACUGUGAUGAUGAAUGAAUGGUUGUGAUGAUGGAGGAAUAAUUCUACUUUAUUUUAUGCUAUCGAGUCCUGGGGGUAUUUAUACCCUGUAAUUUAGCUGUUGUAUAGAGCUCGUGUCAGUUUCUCGAUAAUUCCAGUCGAGCCAUAAUUCUCAGAAUUCAGUGAACUAUAGAACUUUGUAUCCUCAGAUAGUUACAGAACUUAAGAAAGCUCAGUAAUCUCAGUUAUCUCAGUAAUCUCCGUAUCGCUAGUUAUCUAGCCUUAGUCCUGUAAUCAACUCAGAUCUAAGAGUAUUCAAGUGUUCAAUUCUAAUCUAAGAAACGAUUUAAGUAAUCAUAAUCUAUUCAAGCUCUGUAUCGUCAGUCAGAUACUGUGAUUCAAUGCUAUUUUCGUCAGAUAUGGAACUAAGUGAUCUCAGCGUAGCUUAGUCAGAUAUUUUGAUAAACAUGAUUAGUAUCAGAUUUAGUUCAGUUGUGUUCAGUUAAAAAUUUAGUCAGAGUCUUUCAGUUGGGAGUAGAAACUAGCAUCGAGCAAGGAAAGAGAUGACAGCUCCUCCUGUCAGUGAGAGAGAGAGAGAGGCCGAAGUCGUUAGUAGCAAUCUCUGACCUCUAGAACUAUGUAGCCAGCUCAAGAUACAGGAGUCAUCAUCUGGAAAAGGCUGUCACCUCCAGAGGGAGAGUAUUUGACUAUUAUAUUGCCUUAGGUUGACUGCCUGGUAACGUUCAUCCAUCAGAGAUGAUUGACCAGAGAGAAUUCUUUACCCGUGGCACGGUAUUGACACCCUUCUAACUGGGGUUACAGGUUGGACCCUACCUAUGGUAGGGGUAUGUCGGUUAAGUAACUACUUCCCACAGUUUCAGUCUCAAUUUUAGUAUCAAUCUUCAGAAAUUAGGACUGUCAAAUACAGUCAUCUAUCUUUAUGAAGAACUCAGAUAGUUCCAUCAAUUCAUGGACCAUCCUGUCAGAUAGGCUUGGUCUCAUAUAUAGUUCUUUGAUGUCAUAUUCAGAGAUAUGCCUCUAUAUAGGCUUGAUUCACAGUCUCAGAUUCUAUUGAGUAUCCUUGUUGUCAAAUUUAGAUAUAUUCAUAUUUCUUAUCAUUGAUAAUAGUUUUUGAAAUCAUCCGUUAGAGAGGUUGAUCUCAAAUCCUGCCAGUCGAAAGUAGUAAAGCUCAGAAUUCAAUCCUUGAUGUAAGUGCAUCCAGAUACUCAGUUAUCAAUAUCAGAUGAAUCAGUGAUUCAGUAUCUCAGUGUCAGUAGUGAGUUCAAUCUGCGGUAAAGUGGUAUCCGAGUUUCAGUAUCUAGAGUUGUGAUGAUUGUGAUUAUAGUCUGUGCAUUCAUGUAUGUGUUCUCGUGCGACAUUUUCAUGAUUAUACAGUUUAGAUAUUGUGCACGCACGAGCCUUUGAAUUUAGCCUUACCUUGUCUACAUACUCAGUACAUUCCUGUACUGACGCAUUUGCGCUAUAGUGUUUUAUUUGGCACCAUAGGUUCAGAGGCACAGAACCCAGAGUUUUCUCAACAGUUCCAUCCCAGUCAGCAGCAGUAGUCGUAGCAGUGAGUCCUCUUCUUUUGAGAACGAGUUUCAAUUUACUAUUAUUUACAUAAGAUUUUAUUUAUAUUUUCAGUUAACAGAGUUAGUUAGGGUCAUGUCCCAUCAACUCCAUAGCUCAGACAGUACAGAGGCUUUUCAGACAGAUGUCGGAUGUAUUAGUAUUCAGUUUUUUGUAUUUGAGUAUUUAUAGAUGUGUUGAACCUUAUGGUUAGUCUCCGCAUUUAUUUUAGAUAUUAUGCAGUAUACAAGUGCAGCUAUCAGAAAAGGGUUAGCUUGUGGUCCUUCAGGGUCAUAAGCACCGUGUGACGUCUUGGGAUGGGAUCUCGGGACAUUACAAAUCCAAAGGUCAAAUAUCGCACUUUUAGGACGAAAUCAAGUCAAAUUGCACAAUUUUAUUGUCAAUCAGUAAUCGAUCUUCUUAGUAAAGACACCGAAGCACAAAAACAUAAUCAAAUCGUACUUCAUAAAGGGUAGAGAAUUGAAUCACAUGAGUUCACAAUAGAGCAGUUAAUACAAACAUUUAUAAAUUUUUAAACGAUGAAGAGUACAAUUUUUUACUACAUUUUGGUGCAAAAUCUAAACACAACUUGUGUUGCAUGCUAAAAUGUCUUUAAUAUUCAACUAUUACUCAUGUACUCGCUGAAAUUAAAAUAAAACACGAUAAUUUCUCUUAAAUUUUUCAAUGAAACUAUAAAUCUAAAGUAUACGGUUAACUUAAAACAUUAAUAUACAUAUUAGAGUAAAUACAAAAUUAUUUUAAAAAUAAAAUUUACUGACAAAUAUAAAGGGAUGUCAAUGUAUUUCACAUUUUCGCUACCUUAUUUAAUUAAAUAAAUUAUCCAUCUUUACAUGUUCAAGAGAUGUUGGAUUCAUUUUUAUUAUUUAAAUAAAUAUCAUAUUUAGUGUAGAGUUUAAACUCAUUAAAGUGAGGUACACGCAUGAGGUUCGUACACCAAAACUAAUAUAAAAAAUAUAUGACAAGAGGUAAGAGUAAAUUCCCUAAGUGAUCAUCCAUAUUUGGAAAGUGCUACUAAUAUCACUUUUAUUUUUUUUUAGAACUAUAAUAUCAUUCAACUGUCACUAUUUUCCUCCAAAUAUAUUUUACACAAUUAAAAACUACUUCUCUCCUAGUUGGAUGUCAUACCAUAUGAAACUUCUUCUUUUUUUCCUUAAAUAAUAAAUAAUACAUUAACUAACCCAUUUAACUCAACCAAAUUUUAGACUGUCAAAAAAACUAAUACAAAGCCUAAAAAUUUCCUACACAAUUCUAUGUCAAACAUUACAUUAAGGAUACAUAAUCUUACUUUAUUUUCUAUAAUUAGUUGGACUUAUGAUUAUAUGCCUCUUCGCUAAUUCUUGAAUUUGAUUAGGGAUAUUUAUUAAUUUUAAGUUUAUUAAUCCCACCAUUUACAAAAUAAUUAAUUUCAUGAGAUGUCCUAAUCCAUUAAAAUAAUUUUGUCUAUCUUAUUUCUGUGCCAAACGACCCCUUAAAGUUUUACAUAAUGAAUGCCAAUUGAAAAACAAUGUACAAGAGAAAUAUUUGCAAAAUAAAGACUACAAGAAAAUUUAUACGACUCUUUCAAAGAUAUAAAUGAUUUUAUUAAGAUCCUAAAAGGGAAUAAUUUACAAACUCAUUGAUUCUUUAUAUUUUUAGUUUAACUAGUUUAACCGCACGUGUCUCACACAUCUAACAUUUGAUACUUAAAGUUAAAUAAUUGUAUCUAUUGCGGGAAUUUUAAUCAAGUGUAAAAAGUUCAAAUCACUUUUCAAAGAUCGUUCACACUUUAAUAUAUUAGUGUAAACAUAAACACACACACACAAACACACACACAUAUAUAUAUAUAUAUAUAUAUAUAUAUAUAUAUAUAUAUAUAUCUUUGUGUGUGUGUUUAUGUUUAUAUUAUAUAUGUUUAUGAAGUUCCAAGUAGUUGAUGGAUCAUAACUUUUGUGUUUGCUAUCAAUACCUAUUUCCCUUACUGGCAGAGACUAAGAGAGUCUCAUCAAUUUGAACCACAUCUGUGGUGUGAUUUUUUUUUUUCUAUAUUUAAAAUCUUUUCGUGUUUUUAAAGUCAAAUCUUUAUAAAACGAUUGAUUACAUUCUUAAAAUACUUUAAACUUUUUAAAAUUUGAUACUUCUUAAAUUUUUCUUAUUCUAAUACUUUUAUAUUUAUUUAUAAAUUUUUUAAAUCUUCUUAAUAUAAAAUUUAGUUGAUUUAGAAUUAUUAAACUAAUGGAAAAAGUAUUAGUUAUCAUUAAUUCUAAUGACUUCUAAUAAGGAUAGGUUUUACCAUAAAUAUAUUUAAUCAAUUUUAAACUCUUUAAUAUUAGGAAAAAAAUGAAAGACGAUUUUGUCGAGAACAAAGACUUUUAAUGAAGGAUAAAAUGUUUAAAUAAUAUUUCCGAGGCCUUCACACUUUUAAUAUAUUAUGGAUAUGGAUAUCGAUAUAGAUUAUAGAUUAUAGAUAUAGAUUAUAAAUAUAGAUUAUCUAUAUUAUAGAUAUAAAUAUAGAUUAUAGAUAUAGACAUAGAUAUAGAUAUAGAGUAGAGAUAAGAUAACUUUAUAAUUAAGAAGAUUGACGGGUGUGGAGUCAAUAUUUUUCGAGUUACCGUUUAUUAUUAGUACAAACAAUUUCUUUUGAUAAGCAAAUACAUCUAAAACAACAUCAUAGCGAGAAUUGAGAAAUGAGAUUAAUAAUUUCCUUAUACUUUGUAGUUUCUUCAUCUCAGUUUAUUUCAUACAAUCUUUAUCUUAAAAGUUAGAACAUGAUGUUUGGUUGAAUUAUUUGAUGAAUAUUAAAAAUCCUGUUAUUCCCUGGAUCAAAUUCAAGAAUCGGUGGAAAGAUAUAUAAUCAUGAGUCUAACAAAUUAUAAAAAAUAAAGUAAAAUUAUGCAAAAAAAUGUUAUGACGGAAAGAGGUAAAUACAAAAAUAAAGAAAGUAAAGAACACCAAAUUUAAAGUGAAAAAACCCUUCAAGCGAAGGUAACAACAACGGGAUCACAAAGAUCAAAAUUGCUUCACUAUAACAAUAAUAGGGUUGCAAAUAUUCUUCCAAUGGCCACACAACAAGAUACAAAUUUGGAGAAGAAAUAGCUACACUAACAAAAGUAAAUCAAGAGAAAUCACUCGAAACAGAGCUACUAUUCGAAACACAAAACAAGAUGCUACGAACCUCAAAAUCCGAUCUCCACCAUUCAAAUCAAACAACAAGAUUUUUGAAAUACUCAGUCAAAAUUUCAGACCUCUCCAAUGGUGAACAAGGUGGAAAACACGAUUUGAAGUUGGCUAGUCAGAGAGAAAAAAUUCACAACAAACUCUCUUUCUCUCUUCUCUCUUUGGUAAAAUCUCUCUCAAAAACCUCUCUUAUGUGCUAAUGUCUACCAAAAACAAAUACUAAUAAACAUGAAUAAUUCUCUCUGAAAUAGUCCUAUUUAUAGAUGAUGGGUGGUGCUUUUCCUAAAGUCAAACCAACUCAAAAUAAGAAUAAAAAUCCAAAUCCUUUUCCAAAUAGGAUUGAAAACCAAAAGAUAAUAUGAUUAGGCCAUGGGCCUUUGGCUGGAACAUGAACCACGACCCAUAAACUCCCCCUCCAUCCAAGGAUACAAAUGUUUCUUCAGGCAGAGGAACUCAUGAUAGGCUUCAUGCCUGGCAAAGUUCUAUAAUACUCAUGUUUCUCAACAACCACAAAUUUUAUUAACAAAUCUGAAGGAUUUCCAUUAUUAUUUAUCUCAACUUAUAAACUUACAUCUAAGAAUAGCACCAUAUGAAUAAAAAACAUUUUCAUAACAGGAGAGAAAAUUUUAUCAAAGUCAACUCCCUUUCUCUGGCCGAAGCUUUUGACAACUAGCUUCACGUUAUACCUAUGUGCAGAGGUAUGUUGAUCUUUCUUUACUCUAAAGAUCCAUUUGUUUUUUAGAGCUUUUGAAACAUCCUGGCUUUUGACCCUUAGAAAAUUCCCUAGAAUUCUGUUCUUCAGACCCAAUACGACUCAUGGGUACUAGCUGUAUGUUGGAGUAAAAGUGGUAUGGUCCUAUCGUAUGCUGACUAGUUUUAGUUAGUGGGAUGGUUUUGGUCACUGGAAUGGGUACGAAUUUAGGUCAUGAGUCGUAAGGGUUUGAUACGAGUCGUAGAAGGGACUCGUAUGGUGGGAAGUAUUUGAUCCUCCUGGUAUUUCAUUCUGCCAGGGAUACGAGUCAUGGAUACGGAUCAUGGAUACGGAUCGUAUGUUAUGGUUAUGACUUUAUUGGAUGGGUCGUAUACUGUACAAUGUUUGAUCCAAGGGUUGAGUAUUGGAUAUAAGUGGAGGAUACCAAUCGUAUAGGAGGUACAACUCGUAUGGGUCAGUUGUAUCCCUGUGAUGGGUUUUUAGGGAAUUUAAGUGGGGGUAUUCUGGACAUUUCCCUACUUACCCUAUGUAAUACCCCAUACUAAUCUUAGCUCAGUUUAACUCUUAGUAGUAUGCAUAAGAGGCUUAAAUCCUGAAAAUUUCACUAAGUGUUUAGAACUUAGUAAUUUUUAAGACCUUUUAACUUUGAGGAUUGUUAAAUUAGUCUUCCCAACCCUGAGAUGUUGGUUUUUGAGUUAAUGCAUGUUCAGGGUGUAAGAAGCAUAUCUCAGGGAAGUUUUGGAUUUUUCAGAUAAGGAUUGGGUCAUGUUUGGAUCACGAUUCCAGUAGCUCAUUGAGAUAAGGCCGAGUCACAAUAGUAAUAGCGAUGAAACCCUUAUCACAUCACAGUGACCCUAUAAACCGUAUUCCAAUUAUGAAUUUAAUUGCAUGAGGGGCAAUUGUGUUAUUUUCCCUUAAUUCAAUUUGUCAAUUCAUGAAUAAUAACAUCCGUUAGGGCAUUAUUUGCCCAUCUUCUUCAAUUCUCCUCUCAAAGAAACCCUAUUCACUUCCCAAGAACAUCAAUUUCCAUUACUUUCUCUCUAAGGAAAAAAACCAUUCAAGUUCCUAAAUCCAAGAACCUUUAAGAAAGUAUCAAGAUUGGUGUUUCUCUUUCAAGAUUAAGGAUUUAAGGUAUGUGGGAGUGCACAGAUGGGUCUGUUUUCACCCAUGUAGCCCAAGAAUCCUCUUUUUAUUUUUAAAUUAUGAGUUUUACAUGUUUCAAGUUGAAUUAUUUCUAUGAAUCUCUUGUUGACUUCAAUUAUGAGUUAUGGUCUCAUGUGUUUUCUAGUAAAAUGAAUCAUAUCAUAUUUGAGUAUUGAAAUUUCCAUACUAUGUUCAAUUGAUUUUACAAUGAAUCCCCAAGUUAUGAAUUUAGCUAUGUUAUCCUAUGGUCUUCCCAUGUUCAAGUUCAUGAUUCCCAAGUAUUUGAUGAAAUGUCUAUGCUUUUGAGUCAUUGAACUAUGAUUCAAUCCCAAUGUUUUAAGCUUUACUAAUGUAUUUUAUACUCAUUCAGUGUUGGUGGGUUAUGAAGACCCGAUACCUAUGUGAUUUACAUAAAUUUAGCUUUUCAAGUAUUUAGGCAAUUAAUCCAUGAAUCUUAUCAGUAUACUCAGAUAUCCAUAUUCAUGAUGAGCAUUAUGAGUUUAUGUGUUAUUAAUUACCCCAGAAUUCGUAUGCACUGUUAUUUUCAGAAUACCAUGACCUAAGAUUAUCAGUUAUUAGUUAACAGUGCAUGCACCAAUUAGUAUUCUGGUGUUAUUCAGUUGGGAGUAGGAUUUAGCACCGAGAAAACUCAGGGAUGGGGGCAUUCUUGCCAGUUUAGGGUUUGAUCCUAAGUAGCAAUCUCUGAGUUACAGAACUAUAUAGCCAGCGUAGGUUUGAUAUGUCUUCCUUCCAGUUUAGCGUUGACACAAAUCACAUGAAUAUCCUGGCAGUAUAGGGUGACUCCUUAGUCCUUCGAGACACCAAUUUAGUAGAUCCACACAGCCAGUGUUAGUACCCGUGACACGGUACUAACACCCUUCCUACUGAGGUUAUAGGUUGGACCCUAAUUAACUCAGAAUGGGUAUUUCAGUUAGAUGAUACCUCCCAUAGUCUCAAUACAGUAUUCAGUACAGUUUCAGUUCAGGUUUUCUUGACCAAAGCAUACAGACUCUCAAUUAUUCAGUUAUCAGAUUUCAGUAUUUUAUUUUAUAGAUUAUUGCAGAAAUUUAUCUGUGCUUAGUCUUGCAUUCUCAGAUAUUAUAAUUUCAUGCAUUCAUGCUCAGUUAUCCCAUGUUGUUUAGUUAGUUCUUACCUUAUAUGCAAGUACUCCACAGUUUUAGUCCAGUUUUUUAGACGUUAGUUAUUCAGUAUUCAACUAUCAGUCAUUCAGUUAACUAGAUCAGCUUAGUAAAUGCUGUGUUUAGUUUUGUAUGUUUAUGCAUUCAUGCUCAAUAUAAUUGUAUAUUCAGAUCCUCAAGUUAGGCAAAUUUCUAUCAUGUAGUUUUAGACCCAACAAUCAUACAGUAUCCAUGUUUUACUAUUUUCCAGCUUCAGUUCUACUUAUUCUACAGAAGAAAAGAUAUUAAGAAACUAAGUGUAGUGAUUUACCAGCUUAUUAGAUUGUGUUUGUUACUCAUGUUUUAAGAUAUUUCAACUUUUAGUUUAUUUCAGUCUAUUGGUGAUUUUACUUACACUUAAUAUGCAUGUUUUAAGAUUACAUAUGAAAUUAGUUUUACUUUUUGCAUUCGCCCCUUCUUAGUAAGUACAUUCCAAAAGUACUAAUCCACAUGUACGUCUGUGUAGCUACAUUAUUUCAUAAUGUAGGUACAAGUUGUAGUCCAAACAUCAUAAUCAGACAGUUGUAAUUUCUAGCCAACAGGUGAUGUGUUCUUCUAUUUUAGGGACUUCAAUUAGAUAUUGUUAAAAUACCCCGAAAGUAUACCCUGGACAUCACACAGUGCUUACGAUCCCAAGGGACCACAAGCUAACCCAUGAAUUGGUACCUGCUAUGAGCACUAAAUAGUAUACUGAUAACAAAGACACCAUGUGUAGAAAUUAACUAAAAAUGCCAUAAGGUUUAAUGCUGAAAAUAAUAUUGAAUCAUAAAAUUGAAAGCAACUAUCUGAAAAUUGAUAAAAACUGAUAAUAUAACUGACUGUCUGAAAGUGUCUGAAAGCCUCUAACUGACUAAGAAGUUGAUGGGACAAGCCCCUAACUAACUCCAACUGACUACUAAAAUGAAAUACUGAAAUAGACAGAAACAGUCCUCGAUAUAUGAGGACUCACCACUGCUUCUACUGCAGAUGCACUAAAAUAUCUAAGUAAGGUCGGGAUCCAGAGAGUCUUAACCUAUGAUAUAAGACAUCAUAGCACAAAAAAUGAGUAUAUAAUUAGUACUUUGAAUGUACUGGUAUGCUAGAUGAGGUUAGGUUGUUAUACAUGGGUUAUGUGCAUGAGUAAUAACUGAAUGAAUGAGUAGCAUGAGGUAACUCAAUAACUGAUAUGAAUGUGUGAGUGUUAUAAAAUCUAAAAAUACAUGACCAAGUAUAUAACAUUAUUUUGAUAUAGCCUAUAAACUGAAAUACUGAAAUUUGAUAAUUGAAGAACUGAUAAACUGUAUGCUAUGGUCAAUCAAAACUGAAUUGAGUUCUAAACUGAAUACUGAAAUAGAAAUUAUGGGAGGUAUAAUCUAACCAACAUGCCCCAAAGCUGAGUUGAUCGGGGUCUAACCUGUGACCCCUGUUGAAAGGGUGCUAGUACCGCGCCACGGGUACUAACAAUGAUUGUGUCGGCCCUAAACUAACAGGAAGACAUCUUGUCAAUCCUAAGCUAACAAGAAGACUCAUGAGAAAUGUGUCAACUCUAAAAUAACAGGAAAACAUCUUAAACCUACGCUAUCUAUGUAGUACUGUAACUCAGGGAUUACUACUAAGGGUCAAACCUUAUACUAACAGGAAUGCUCCCAUCCGUGGGUUCGCUCGGUGCUAAAUCCUACUCCUAACUAAACUGACACUGAUUAUGGGACUGAACUAAGUUUAACUAAAAAAGGAACUGACUCGAAUUACUGAACUGAUCUAAGUUUAACUGACAUGAUAACUGACUGAACUGAAAAUGCUCAUACCUGUCUGAAACAAUUUUGAAAAUGCUGAGAAUAAGUAAAUAACUAAAUUUUAGGCAUUCAUAACCCCUAUGACUCAAUAACAAUAACAACAGAGACACAUGAAAGCAUUGAAACCAUGGAAGGAAAUCAUUGUUCACAAUCAUUCACUUAAGCAUUUCAUCAAAAUAUGAGGGCCAAGAGAUAAAGCAUGGGAAUAGUUAAAUCAUGUGAUAAUAACAUAUUUGCAAUAUGAAAAUCAUGGAUUAAGGAUUUAACAUGCAAAUAUCAUCCUUCAAAUGUGUCAGGGGCUAAUUUAACGGAAAUAAUUUAGAAACAUGAUAUAAAAAUCAAAAUUCAUUAAAGUUCAUGGAUAUAAUUCAUAAUAACAUGUAAAGAUCAUAAUUUUAAACUUGAAAAUGGAUUGUUGUACUCCAUUGAUAAAAAGGACCCAUGAAUGAACAUCACAUAUACCUUAUAGCUUUAAUCUUGAAAGAGAAUUAACUUUUCUUGAACUUUCUUGGAUUGGGAAACAUAACUUCUUGGUUUUCUUGAAGAAGGGAUAGAAUCUUGUUCUUGGGAUAUGAUCUAGAGAGGACACCCUAAUCUUGUUAUUGGGAAUAAAGAGGGUUAAUGGCUUUUAAAAACUGAUUGAUAAUGACUAAAUACGCUUAUAAGGUGAUUUAAGUCAUGGCAGGGUAUGGUUUGAGGUAAGCAAAAGAACAAAAUACCCCUCCGAAGCUAAAUAAUAAUUGCUAAAAUUUUUAGUUGAUGACUUAGUUGAUAGCUUAUUAACUUAAGUUGUCAACCCAUAGUUUGAUUUGGACCCUUGCUGUCUAAGGGUGACGACUUGGCUGAUAAGUCAUCACUUAGUUGAUGGCUUAUCACCUCAAGUCGUCACUUUGUAGUUGAGGUUGAUCAUAUUCUGGUUAAGGAUGAUGAAUUGGUUGGUAAUUUGUAACUUAGUUGAUGGCUUAUCACCUCAAGUCAUCACCUUGUUGACAGACAGAUAUGCUGAUGUAAAAUGAGCAUAACUUUUCACUUCGAUGUCAAAUUAAGGUGAAAUCAAGUGCAUUGAAAAUAAGACUCAAAGACCUUUCAUUUGAUAUAAAGUAGGACACUUGGAAAAAUAUAUUAUAGGAUAUACACUCAUCUAAAAUGGACCCUAGCUGGAGCAUUUGUUAAAACCCUAUCGAUAGAAAAGUCCUCAUCUCGUCUUUAAGUUAGGAGAGUAUUAUGACCUCGAUCAAUAUACAAGGAUAUUCCCAUAUCAUAUAUUUAAUAAUCACAUACAUAUAUACAUACAAUAACUAGGUUCAAGUUUGUAUGCAUAGGAACAACGAUUUGAAUUCUAGCUAAAAAAUGUGGGGUGUUACAUUAUCUCCAUCUUAGGAACAUUUGCCCUUAAAUGAGACUGGUUAGCUGAGAAUAAUAGAAGAACUAAGAUCAUAGACUGAACGUGUAUGACUAAAAACAUAUUUACAUGACUGAGUUUAAAACAUGACACAUAACUGAACUGAAUUUCGUGAACAUAAGCAAUGACAUGAGAAUGGUUAUAAGGCUGAGAUAGAAACGAGAGAGUCAACUUAUAAGUAACCAUUAUCUUAGGCUGGAUAUGGUUUAGUGAAGUAAAUUUAAGAGUUUUAGGACAUGAAAAUUCAGGCAUUACAAUACAUCUUCCCCUUGGGAUAGUUUGUCCCCCGAAUGAUACUGAUUUGGCCGAAAUACUAAAAAAAGACUGAGAUGAUAUACAAAAUACUUAUGGACUGAAUCAUGACUGAAUAUCUGGAAUAUGAAAUAAGGUCUGAGUAAUAGAGGGUCAAUGACACGAAUUAAUAAAAGAGGUUUGAACUUAGGAUAUGUAUGAUAAGAAUAUGAAUUUCACUGAUCAUUAAGAGUAUAGCAUAAGUACUGGAAUUGAACAUACUAUAAAUCAUGAGUACAUGAGUCAUGAGCUGCAUGACCUGAAUUUGGAGUUCAUAAAUUUAUGGAACAUGAUCUAUAUUGCUGAGCAAACAGGAACUCCUUAUACUAGAAACUAAGAGAAUACAUGAUUUUCGAUAAGAUGCUCGAAUAUGAGCUAUGAUCAUAGAGCUGACAUGUAAGGCAUGAGUAGAUAUCGUGAUAACUAAAGUAAAAAUACUAAAAUAAGCAUGGGUUGGGCAUCUUCCUCUCUAGUAUUAUUCUACAACACUGGCAUCACUACUAGAAUCUGAGAGCCUGACCUGGUUUUUUUUUUCUAUCAUUUCCCCCUUAGCUUUAAGCCAUCACUCUAAGUCUGUGGUACUAGACACUGAUAAGGUAUCUACUAGAGUUUCAGGACUAACACUAAAUUUAACCACUAUUUAGGGGGUUACAAAAAGGAAGUGAAGUUUUGGGGUCUACUAAAACAUAUAAAAGAAUAUGAAAGGACUGUAACAUACCUGUAAAUACAUCAGGAUAACUUUCCUGAUCAUGUCGAGACUGGAGUGCAUAAAGUCUAUUCUGGCGUUGACCACUGAUGGCAUUGGAAGUAGCGCUCUGCUGAGUCAGGUGACCUACUGGAGCUAAAGGACGAUUGUGCUGACUCCGUGGACCAACCUUAGGAUAUUUUCUAACUCUAUGGCCUGGCUCUCCAUAUCCAAAACACACAUCACUGCUAGCUCUACACAUACUUUAUGAUUCCUACCACAUUCACCGCAAAAUGGACACUAGCUGAAUACAAAACUAAGGCUUAAAACUUUUGAUGGAACUAAGAACAGUUACCAUCCUCUGACCCUGGCCAAGUAAAAUUAAAACUACCUGUUCAAGCCCCUUACUCUCUCUCUCUUUCUCCUUAGCCUUCUCCUCCUCAAUCUGAUGAGCAUAAAACAUAAUCCUAGACAAGUCUAUCUCCUUAAUCAACAUAGAAGUCCUACACUUCUUAACUACGCUAUCAGCUACACCAGAAACAAACUUACUUAUUCUAGACCUAUUAUCAGACACCACAUCAGGAGCAUACUUGGCCAACUGAGUAAACUUAAGCGAAUACUCCUUCACACUUAUAGUACCCUAUUUUAUAAUACUAAACUCUAGCACCUUAGCUUCCCUCAACUCUAAAGGAAAAAACUUGUCUAAAAAAGUCGUGGCAAACUCCUCACACUCUACAGGCCCUGCAUCUGUUCCUUUAUCCUUCUUCCACUACUUAUACUAGGUGUGAGCUAAAUCAUGCAACUAUUAAGCAUCCAAUAUGCACUCUCACUAGAUGAGAAACUAAUAAUAUCAAUCACCUUAUGAACCAUGUUAAGGAACUCCUAUGAAUCCUCAUCAGACUUGGAUCCCAAAAACAAAGGAGGAUUCAUCCGAGUGAAAUUUGAAUUCUAGUUGUGCCGGUAUUAGCCACUGGAUUAGCUAGAAUAGUAGCCUACUGGUUGCUAUGAUCUAUUACUGAGUGGGCUAAAGUGUUGAAUGCAGCUCUAAACUCAACAUGGGAAAUAUGCUCAUUAAGGGGAUCUUCUUAAACAGGCGGAGGGAAUGAUUCCCGUUUCUUCUUUUAUUAUUCUUUCUGGGAGGCAUAUUCUAUAAAGGGAAGGAAUAUUGAAUUAGAAAGAAAGUUUGAAUAGAGCUCAUGCUCUUUUACAUGACAUGAACACUGAAAGAAGGAAAACUUUUCCUAAAACAUCUCUUAGCCUCUUGUCCAUAAGUGUGGCACGUUUCACACCCAUGUACAAGACUCUACUCAAUGCAGUUUUAUGACUAUACUUUAUGUAAUUCCCCAUAAAAUUAUCUUCCAGUCUGAGCCUUAGAGCGUGUUGAUGAUAGGCGAAAUUACGCGCCUAUAUCAAUAUAUUUUGCCCAUAUUUUAGCCUAGUUUCGAGAACUAAUUAUCUAUUUCGUACACUUUUAGUCCUUUUUCCUGUAAAUGAGCUAACAAAUGUGAUUAGGAAAGUUUCAGGUAUAAAUGAUGCAAAAUACAGCAAUUUAUGGCUUACUUGACGCAAAAGAAAGCUCACAAACGAGAUGGAAAGGAGCUGGACGCAUAAAGGACUAAAUCUGCUGCAUGGAAAAUCUGUCCCGGGCUAAAACAGCAUUUCUGAAGACUUUGGGACUUACAGACACAAAGCUGGAUUUUUGCCAUAAUACAUUAACCUAGUGCAAUUAGGUUAUGUGUUUCAUCAUUCUAUUUGGAUUAUAAUUUUGUAACCUUACCCUAGUACAAUUGGGUCAAGGAUUUCAUUAGUAUAUUAGGAUUUGGUUAUUUAUUUUAUUAGUUUAGUAGGAGUAGGAUAGGAGUAUUAUAAAUACCCUAUCAUGUUAGAGAUUUUCAAGAAGGGAGACAUUCUGACAAUUCAUUCAUCUCCUUACAAUUAAGACAUCUUCCUACAACCCAUUCUCAAUUCUUCAUUCUUCUACUCUUAAAUUCCACAACAAGAGAAUUGUUACUUGCUACGGAAUCACUAAAACCACACGCCAAACACCUACUAUUCACGCCAUCCACCAUGCAAAACGUGAUAUCCUUCGCAUUCAUGGGUAACUAAAUCUCUUAGUUGGGGUUAUGGAAGCCGAAUGAGUUACUAUCUAUAGCUAUGAGUUUGUGAGUUCAAGACAAGUAUAUUGCUUAUAUCAUUAUUCUCUUCAUCUUAAAUCUACAUUCUUUGCGGUUCAAACACAAGAACACGCCAUUCUAACAUCUAACCUGUUCGAGAGAAAGGUUAUUUGUCUAGAAAAGAAGACGCAUAGACCAACGCCAGUCUAACAUCUGACUUGUUCGAGAGAAAAGUUAUUUGUCUGGAAAAGAGAUAAUGUCAAGGUAGUAGGACACCCUUUCCUAUUAAAAAGCUAGUGCCGUACCUGGACUAACUUCUUGGAGAAUUCGUACCGUUAGUCACGCUUUAAGCUCGAGAGAGUUAAAGUGAAAUAGUCCUUGUUUAGGUCGAGAGACGCUUGGAUUUACCAUCGACUACAAUUCUCUAUAAGCAAUUACAUGUCAAGACUCUACACACUCAUAGCCAAUAGAGACGUAUACCUCAGAAGGUGGACAUAACCCCAACGCCUCAAUUCUCAUUGUUUACAACACACGUGACAAUCUCUCUUUAUUUUGCUAUUUUCAGUUCUUACAUUCUUGUUUUGGUUACAUACUACAAUCCCCCCUUUCCUACGAGACUUGCACUAAAAGUCUAGUAAUUUUUCUUGCUUGUUGGCCAAGCUAUUCUCUGUGGGAUCGAUACCCAACCCAGGUUGGGUUCUAUAUUUGCUAACGACCGCUUUACACUCCCACGAGAGCUGUAGAUUGAGCGUUAUCAAAAAUUGGCGCCGUUGCCGGGGAAUACGAGUGUCAAUCAAGUUCGUGAAAAUUACUAGACCCUUUGGUCAAAGAUUCUCGUACUUUUACGUUUAGUUUUUGUUUUUGUUUAUUGCAGGUUUUUCUUUUAGUGCAUGCCCCAUACUAGAAGUUCUGGUCAACCGUUAUUACCAAUCAAUCCGGAACCACAACGAAUCAGAAGAAUGGAAGCACAAGCGGAAAUCGACAGGAUGGCUGCUCAACAUGAGCAAGCAAGAUUAGCUGCUCUUGCCGCUGCUCAAGUCCAACAACAAAACAUUGAUAAUCCUGGACGAGCAACAAAUCCUGACGAUGAAGAUUUAGGAGAUGACGAGUUGAUCAACCCAAGGCAUGGCGCUGAAAUGGCAACACCUACCAACAGACGAGGUCGACAAGCUCGGUACAGAUAUGAUCGCCAACCUUUGCAACCAGCUUUCGACGAUGAUGAUGAUGAUCUUGAUGGUGCCGGAGCCACUGGAGCUAUAAUUCCACCACCAUUAGCGCCCGGAGCCAAGUUCAACAUCACUAGCACCAUGAUUCAGUUAUUGCAACUCAAGGGAUUAUUUGGUGGACUAGCAGGCGAUGAUCCGAAUAUGCAUCUCAUCAACUUUAUUUCUACAUGCAAGUCUUUUGACAAUCCUGGAGUUGGUCAGAAUGCUAUUCGAUUACGUCUAUUUCCAUUGUCUCUGUCUGGGGAGGCAACAUUAUGGUUGAAUGGGCUGACUCCUGAUUCUAUUACAAAUUGGAGGCAAUUGAGAGACGCUUUCCUAGAAAGAUUCUUUCCGCCAUCCAAGAGGGCUCAAUUGAGAGAUGAAAUCAGCAACUUUCGUCAGCUUCCCUCUGAAGCUCUUCACGAAACAUGGGAGAGGUUCAAGACAAAGCUAGCGAGAUGCCCAAACCAUCACAUGACUAAUGUUCACCUCAUGGAGAUCUUAUAUAGAGCCUUGAAUUCAGUAACUAAACCAGUGGUGGACAACGCAGCUGGAGGUUCUUUUAUGGACCUCACCUUUGGUCAAGCAAGCAACAUGCUAGAUCGUAUGACGAAACAAAGUAGAGCUUGGCAUACCAGGGAUUCUGAGGUAGCAAGCCCCACUUUAUCUAUUGGCAUGUCUGCAGAUCAAAGAAGGAGAGAAGAAGAACGUGAUCAAGAUAUGGCGCACAUGAAAACCCAAAUGGAUCUUCUUACAAAGCAUCUAUUAGGGAAGACUGAAAAAGUGAAAUCUAUUGCGUCAAAAGGAAGAGACGAAUCUGAUUCAGAAGAGGAGGCCAACUACUUGAACAAUCAGGGGGGUUUCCGUGGGAAUGCCCAAGGAAACCAAGGUCGGAACUAUUAUGACAAAUCUGGAGGUAAAGACCAAGGUAGUUGGAAGAAA
This 95437-nucleotide long non-coding RNA is filed under the name Capsicum annuum. RNAcentral's name for it is "long non-coding RNA (CANN_LNC015933)". The record is from RNAcentral. Lineage: Eukaryota; Viridiplantae; Streptophyta; Magnoliopsida; Solanales; Solanaceae.